RNAcentral lists this long non-coding RNA (116597 nucleotides) under Brassica napus (rape). Its description in RNAcentral is "long non-coding RNA (BNAP_LNC010491)". The record is from RNAcentral. Lineage: Eukaryota; Viridiplantae; Streptophyta; Magnoliopsida; Brassicales; Brassicaceae.
GGAAGAAGAAAUCCAAAGGAACCACUAUGUCUAUCCGUAUCAAAUAAGAUUUGGGAUAUCGUUUCUAGUUUAGCUUGGUGUUUUCUCAUUACUCUAUUUUUACUUUUUUUAGCAAACUUCUUUGUUCCUCUGGUACUGUUUCCGUUUUAGCUUGGUGUGUUUUUUCUCUAUCUCUAUUUUUUUUUACGUUUUAUUAAACUUCUUUGUUUCUCUGUAAUUGAACAACUAUGUUUCUUACGCUGAAAAUUACAAGCACAGUCAAAGAUGUGUCGUCUUUUCCCCUCUUGUGCAUCUAAACGCCAACUGUUUAGACGUGAGAUGACCAUUGAACAGAUGAUCCAGAUCAACGCUAUAAACAACACAUGGCUUUAGAAAAGGAUAUACAUAUUAUAUAUGGAUAUUUCGAUUGUUCAUAUCAAUGAGACGCAUAAAUUCAUAGAAACUAUAGACUUUGCAAAUAUAAUUAUCAAGAUUCCAUUUUGUGUAUAUACAAAGUUCAAAAGGUUUAAAGCUUAUGAUUUUCGAAUGUGACAAUACAAAAUAAAAAAGUUUGCAUUUUUUUUUUUUUUUUUUUUUUUUUUGAUAAUUCUGGUAUCUGGACAGUUACAUUCUUAACUAUCCCCGUAAGGGGUCUAGCGCCCCAACGGAAGAGAUGUUAAAUCCGCUGUGGCCGGGGAUGGAAGUGUUUGCAUUGAUUUAUCUUGUGAUUGGUAAUAUUCUCAUUGAUAAUGAAUGAUGAAUAGAAGAGGAAGAGAAAUGGCUAGUAAAGGGGUCUUGUUUUCUCCCUGUCCACACUCUCUUGUUUCUAAUUCAACCUUUGAUUGUUUGAUUAAAUAUGUAUAAUCUAAAUUAACAAUAACCAAAUAUAUAUAUACUCAACUAAAAUUUGGGUUAACGAUCAUUGUCCAUUUUAUAAGAAAAUUCCUCUUGGAUCUUUCGUUUUAUAUUUUUGUUGACUGACUUUUUUACCGAAUCCAAGUCUUGCUUCUCUUUGUUUUGAAGUCCACGAUCUCAAAAAGGAAACAGCCAACUGAUUGGUCACUUUCACAAUCCAUCUGGUACGUUAUCCUUUGAUUUUUCAACAUCUUUACUAUUAAACCAGGAUCUUAUUGUCCUUUUUACCUUACUCUAUCCUUUCUUUACUAACAUUGCAUGUUUCAUUAACGGUAAUCAAGUAAUAUUAAUAACACAUAUAUAUAUUGGACCAUUUUUUCAGGAUCCAGCCCACUGUCCACAUCAGAUCUCUUUUGGGUCAUUUGGGUCGAUUAAGAAAUCAGAUCCAAUUCUCACAUUUUUUUUUCCUUUCGGACAUUGAGUCCAAGUUCAAAUAAUUUUUUUUCAACUAUAAUUUUCUUAAUAUAAUUUAAGCAUUCAUAAAAAAAAUUGAUUUUUUCGUUGAAAAGUAUAAAUCUUUAUUAAAAGUAUAUAAUUAUUUGUAUUAAAAAUAUUAACCACAUAAUAAAAUUAACUUAUCAGAGUUAUACCAACUUAAUUCAUUAAAAAUAAAGUUUAAUUUUUUAAACAUAAAUAGUCAUUUAAAAUGAAACACGAUAAGUAAAGAUAAAAAGUUUAAGUCUUUUAUAAAAUAAAAUACAAAUAUAUGAAAUAUGACAUUUACUAAAUAUUUUGACCAUUGAAAAAAAAAGAAAAUAAACCCGCGCUUUGAAAGCGCGGGUCAAAAUCUAUUAUUAUUUUAUCUUAUUAAAACUGAAGUACAAAAUUGUAGUGUUUGGAGACUUGAAUAUGACUAUUCAAAAAUUUUGGAGUGUUUGGAAACAUGGAUUGUAGUCUUUUAAAAAAAAAAUUACUUUUGUCUGGAAACAAUGAUAGGAGUAUUAAGCAAAAAAGUAAUGGGUUUAUGUUAUUAAGAAAAAUUGAAAGUUCAUCAUAUUAUAAGAAACUAUAUAUCUGGACCAGUUUUAAAAUAUACGAAAAUUGGUCAAUCUAAUUGCAUAAAACUUUUUUUUCUAAACUAUCCAUAUAACAAAAUUUAAACUUUAUAUACAUAUUUCAAAUCAAAAUAACAAUUCAAAGUUGAUUUAUAUCAAAAACUGAUUGAAAAAUAUACGUAUAUUCAAAAAUGGAUUUUUACUAAACUGUUUUUCAAUAACCAUUAUAAAAAAAUGCUGUCAAAAUAUAUAAGAAAAAUAUAAUACAAAGCUCAAUUUGAAAUACCAACUCAAAUUAUGGUUUUUAUAUUUCAUAUUAAGUUUGUAAAAUAUAAUAUAUGUAAUUAUUUAUAUGAUGGUACGUAUAAAAUACUAUUAAUUAUAUGAUUACUUAUAUGAUGGUACGUAUAAAAUACGAUUAAUUAUAUGAUGACAAUAUACGAUAUAUAAUAAUGACUAAGGAUGGACUUUCGGGUAUCCAUACGGGUUUGGUUCUGAUCGGUUUGCGUUUCGGGUUUUCGGGGUCAAAGAUUUCAGCCCUAUUAGGAUGUUUCUAAAUUUUGGUUUGAGUUUGAUUCAGAUCUUUGAGGGUUUGGUUCGAGUUUGGAUAACUCAUUUAAAUUAUUUUUAAAGUUUUAAAUCAUUAUAUAUUUAAAUUUCUCAAAAUCGAUAAAUAAAAUAAUAUAUUAUCUAUAAAUUUGAAUAAUAUCAUUUUACCAAACCCUAAUAAUUACAUGAAAAACAAAUAUCAACAUAUUUUUCAAAAUAUACACCCGUGCAGGCGUGUAGAUCAAAAUCUAUAAUCAUUUAUUUUAACAAUAAGCCAAAUAAAUAUGUAGAUUGGAGAGGGAAUAAAACAAAGCCAAAGAAACACAUAGUUUACCAGAGACACUCUAUGUGUCGAAUUUAUUAUAAAUAAAGUUUUACUAAGAUAAAUACAUUCAAUAAUUACAAACAAAUAAUAUAUUUCAUAAAAGUGAAAAAUAAUAGCCGCGCUUUUGAAGCGCGGAUCAAAAUCUAGUUAUACUUGGAUAUGGGCAUCAAGUUUGAUGAUGAGAUUCAUGGUCUGUGGCUUCUCGGUACUUUACCGAGAGCCACUACAUGAUCAUGAUGUGUGUGACCUACGAGCUUGGACUCAAACCCACGAGCCAAUCAUGUGAUGAAUCGAUUUCCUUCUUUGAUAGUAGACUGUUAGAGGAAUCGAAGAAGAUGAGAUGAAACGAGAAAGAUGAAAAAUGAUUCUGUUAUUCAGUUACAGAGUUAGUUAAUCUGUUUAUAUAUUAUAGAGUAACCGGUUUAAUUACAUGGUUUAUACUAAAACAAUUAUACAAUCCCGGUUAACUCUAAUACCUCUCCUCAAAAUGGCAUGUAGAUUGAGCUAAAUGACAUCUUGUUCAGUAAGCUAUGGAAGAUUGCAGGAUAUAAGGGCUUGGUAAAGACAUCCGCUCUACGUUUGCUUAGCAGAAACAGAGACCUGAAGCAGCAGCUCUACGUUUGCCAAGCUUGGUGUGAAGGUUUAUGUCCUUAAUCAUCAAUUAUCUCUUGGUAUGCUUAACCAAAGAGUGAGGAAGUUGGUUUAGCCGGUUUAGGUAAUAACCAAGUCACAUGUAUGUCACGUGUGUAUUCUUUGUAAACGACUAAGAUAAAGUCGUCGUAUCUUCUUCUUCCUCAUUAACAGAAGAAACGAUCUGGGUGAUUAGAGCUGUAACAGAUGGUGAGUGAGAGCAGCAUUGUAGAGAGAGAUCAAGAGCUCGAGUUGGAGCUGUUCUAGUGGAUUGCUGGCUGAGCCCAGCCCCGGUGAGUAUAGCUCCUUCUCCACAUUGGAGGAGAGAGGUGAACACCGCGCAAACAAGAUUCUUGUGUCUCUUUUCUUUAUCGUUUCUAAUCUCUUCUUUCACACAAAAGAAUCCGAUCAACAAUGAGUAGUUAAGCGACUGAGAGUCUAAGGAGUGGAUUGAGCUUAGGGAUCUUCACACUUGAAUCUUUCAAGCUCCAUCUGCAUAUCCAUCAACAUGUUCAUCCGUUGCAACUCAAGCUCCUUUGCAGCUUCCAUCCUCUGCUUCUCCAACUCAACCAUCAUCCUCUGCUUCGCACCUUCCAUCCUCUCGUACACCUCCCCCAACUUCAAAAUCGCCCUCGCCAGCUCCCUAUACACGACGACCCUUCACACAGAUCUACAUCUCCUAAAUGACUAAAAGCUUUAGAACAAGCAAAUGUCUAUUUGGCUAAAUAUUGACUCUUUUUGAUUACUUCCGUUGUACAAAUUUCAUGUUUUGUCCUCAGUAUUUAGUUAUUUCACGAGCUAUUUUUAGUACUAACUUCACAUUCGAUUGAGUUUGUAAAGGUCUCAUUUAUUUUUCCUUUCUGUCUUCAACUUACUAAGCCAUAAUCACAGUGUUCUUGUAACGACCCGGUUCAUCAAAAUCGGUUUGGUUUGGUUUAAUUACAAUUUUAAUUAUAACUUAAACCAUCCUCCUUAAUUUUUGGUCAAAUCGUGCAAUUUAUAUAUCAUUGUACGCAUCUCCCUUCCUCUCAUUUGACCUAGCCGUAAUCACCAUCGCAGCCAUUCUUCAUCGCUAUCUUCUUCUUCAUAUUAACCAUCUCACGUCAUCUUCACGUUCUUCUCUCAUCACGUUGUUUUCGUGAGGAUGAAUUGAUAUGGAGUAUUGCCGUAUCACCUCCGAUCGUCACCACCGUUGCGCUUGUGAACUAAUCACCACCGUCCACCACCACCACCUCUCGUUGGUCAGCACCAGAAUCAUCAUGUUGACCCAAGGCAGAGCUGGAGAUUCCUUACCGUGUCGGAGCCACCGUUCAUAACAAACAAUCGCUCGUUUGAUCCAAGCUUGAUGGCGACUUGUUGUGUGUGCCAUCACCACCUCCACAUGUGUUACCACCGGAGUCGGCACAGCCUUGCCGUCAGAGAUCCAUCGCCAUUUCAUGUAGUCGUUUCGUACUAGGCUUGUGAUAUACGGAAAACGCGAUCAAGCCGAGAAGGAGGGGAACCGUGCGAAACUGGAGCCACAUUCUCUUCACCGACGACCACCGAUCUGGGCCGCCAUGAGCCGUUAGCCACCUGAGAGCUGAGCCGUGUCACUGGAGAUAUGGACUUCGAACUGUAGCUAUGUCCAAGAAGGUUAAGUGUAUCAUUAGUUGUUUCUUGUGAUACAAGGAACAUAUUUUAACAUGCACUUUUACCAUGGCAUGCGCAGGAAGCGAUCAUGGACCUUAUGGGGACUUGUUUGCCAAGCCAUUCCCUCUAAAGCCUAGAUGUUUGAUGAGGCAUAUCAGUUCCCGAGUAUGACCUGAUCAAUCUCCGAUCUUGGCUAAGGUGAGGGUCUAUUCCGUAAAUCCCGUACGAGUGUAGAAUUCUCUCUAUCGUAGUUUAUAUUUUGAAUCAUGAUCCGUCUGUUUGAAUUGAGUCUGUUUGAGUCUUGAUUGUUAGUCAGUUCAUUCAUAUAUAUAUCCGUAUGAGGAGAUGCGGGGUGUAUGGACUAGCUAUAUGCUAUCAUCGCAUUGUUUGUGUUGUGAUGCUUUAAGCAUCUUGUUUGUUCAUGUUAGAGCUAAACUUCCAUAGUGGAAGUUCUAUUUACUCAAGUCAGUGGUUUGCGUGUUUAGCAUCCCAUACCUCACGGAGUAACUCCCUGUUGCUCACCCCCAUCUUCUCAUUGCAGGUGAGCUUGCCGAGUAGUUGGAUAUCUGGACGGUUUGGUGUCUUGGAGAUCACAUAUUUUAUUCCGGUUUUACAUUCGAUUUAUUAGACGUAUUUUUAUAAAUCAAUUUGAAGAUGUAAUUCUUUUGUAUUUAUUUUAUUAAAUGCUUUGGUAUUUUAUUCGGUUUUGAAUAACUCGGUUUGAUUCGGUACUUUUCGGUAAGUAGCACGCCGGUCUCGAAAGAGGAGGAGACGGGUGUUACAGUUCUGCUAAUGAUUUCCUUAACCACAUCGUUUAUCAACAUGCCUUUAACUAAACAAGUUGGAAAUUAUAACCCUCUGAGCUAUCUAGAGGGUUACAUUUGACUUUUAAUGUUCUGAGCCAAUUUGAAUCUCCGAGCCCUAGAUAUCUUCAUUUCCGUCAAGGCUACGCAAGAUUGCUCUCCAGAGCCUCCUCGUGCCACCAAUGUAGUAAUCGAAGUUGUGUGAGAGCAAAAGCCCUCUCGAGAGCUGAGGUAUUGCUCUAUUCAGGAUGAUCGGCUCCUAUAUAUGUAUUUUAAGAUAAGUUUUGAUAAAAUUAUACAAAGCUCUUUUGAAUUUGGAUUAGGGCUAAUGUUUCAGUAGGCUUUGCUCCUGUUUCAACUCUAAUAUUAACAAUUCACUUGCUAUGUUUCAGAUGAGUUUGUUGUUUUCUUGAAGCUGUUUCUGCGCUUUGUAUACUUGUGUGCGAUCUUGUUUAAUAAGUUUGUAGAGUUGGACAUGAAUGUAAUGAUGCUCUUGUAGGCUAAAUCAUCAAGCGUUGAAGCAUCUAUGUAGUUUAUGGCUGUGACAACUCUGCUGAGGUUGACGUGGGGAUUGUAUUUACCGAAGUUCAAAAGACUUCCCACUCCUUUAAGUUCCUGUCUUUACUUUUCGACCCAUGACUGGCUUAAGUUUUCUUCUUGUAAAGAAGGUUUUCUCGGACUUUCUCUUGGUCUUCUCUCAAGCAAGUACACAAGCUGCCUACAGGGUUGCGUGGCCUUAACAUUAUAGAACCGUCUCUCUCUCUCAGUCUGCUUCGAAAUCAAUGAGGAGGGAAACUGGGACAUAGUAUGCUUUCUGCAUUGAAAGUAUACUAUUAAAUAUGACCAGAGAAAUUUCCACAUAUCAUGAACUUGAUAUCGAUUAGGAAAGUUUUAUCGCAAGUAUAAACAUAAGCAUAGUAAGUCUUUCGUAAGUAGUUGUUUGGUUUGGAAUUUUUUGUUUAAAAUUUUUCGUAAUUAAUUUAGGGUACCAAUAUGUGUGGAAAUUGAUAGUGGAUUUCGACGUGAUGUAUAAUGGAUUUUUCUGUGUAAUAAAUAGAUGGGUAUGGAAGCACGUUACUCAUCACCAAUUUCCUUGUUCUUUUUGCUCUUUCUUUAUUUCAUAUUCAAGAAAGAUAAAUUAGCUUAAAGAAGGAAUGAGAGGCUUUUGGAACUUAACGAGUACCAUUUCUCUUACUCUUUCUAUACUUUACUUAUUCGUUUACAAUGAUGAGGACGUGUCUGCGGUUCCUACUAGACACUUGUGUCGUCCUGAUCAAAGGGAUGCACUUCUCCAGUUCAAGAACGAGUUUGAGGUUCAAAACUCUUCCAUUUCUUAUUAUAGAUGUAUUUAUAGUGGUAUUAAACCUCAUGAGAAGACCGAGUCAUGGAUGAAUAACAGCGACUGCUGUAACUUGUUGGGUUCCUCCUAGAUGGAGGUAACCCAUUGGGUUUGGUUUUGACAACUAAACUUGGUGUUGGACAAUGGUAUUAGCCCAUGAAGUUAGUAUUGGGUCUUGGGAGUUAAUGACCCAUAAUGUAAGUCUCCUAACCUAAUUUGGAGAGUGGUUGCAGACACAACACGAACAGACAAGAUCAGACUCACAAUAAUAAAGUUUAGAGAGAGAGAGAAAGAGAAGAGAGAAAAGGAGAGAAGAAAACAGUUUUCGUCUCAGUUUGUCAAGACAUAUUUGGAGGGUCAAACGGAACUUGAUCGGGCUGAUAUUUUGUGGGAAGCUUCUUCAGUCAGUGGGUUAAAGGUUCACCGAAGGGAUUUGGAUUUCAACGGUUGGAUCUUCUGUUGUCUGGGUUUUAGUGAAGCUGGUCGUCACAGCUCUUCAGCAAGGCUGUUUUGGCUGUUUGGUAAAUCCAACGGUAAAAUAUUCUCUGAUUGAGCUGAAAUUUGGCAGAUGUAUUGUUGACUUGUUUAUCUUGGAUUUGUACGGUGAGAUUAGUCUCUGGUUUCCGGAAUCCUUAUGAGCUGAGGUCGUUUGGAUGCUGCCGGUUUUGAAGCUUUGUGUUGCUCUCUUGUUGUUGUUGUUUGUGUUGGAGAUAACUCUUUGAAGCUAGUGUCUCUGUUCUGUUCUGAUUGUUGAACAGGGAGGACGUGGUUGUACUCACAAACAUUUAUAUAGUGGAUUGUUGAGUGGACUACGGUCCCGUGGUUUUUUCUUCUCACAUCGAGGAGGUUUUCCACGUAAAAAGUGAUUGUCUCAUUUACGUUUCUGCUUAUACUAUAUUCUGCCAUCGUCAAAGUAAUUUCUUCACAGGUUCACACAAGGUCAGGGGAACACGACUUUGAGUAUUUCCGCUGCGCCGUGAGACUUUCCCCAACAGAGUGGUAUCAGAGCUUCUGGUUUUAGAGCUUUGGUUUUGAUAACUUUGGGUUAUUAUUUGCUUGUGUGAAAGAUGGAAAAUAUGAGCAGGAUGAUAAGCUUGAAUGGUGCUAACUAUCAUCUAUGGAAGGGCAAGAUGGAGGAUUUGCUCUUUGUUAAAGAAUUCCAUGUUCCAGUCUUCGAGGAGCAGAAACCUGAGAAGAAGACGGAUGAAGAGUGGAAGCUGCAGCAUCGCCAAGUGUGUGGGUUGAUAAGGCAGUGGGUAGAUGAUAAUGUGUUGCAUCAUAUUGAGACUGAGACGGAUGCUCGUUCUUUGUGGAAGAAGCUGGAGCAGUUAUAUGCUAGAAAGACCGGAAACAACAAGAUGUACAUGAUCAAGAAGUUGAUUGAGCUGAGGUAUCAGGAGGGGACUCCGAUGACAGAUCACUUGAAUGCGUUUCAGGGAUUGCUCAACAAGCUGUCUGAUAUGGGCAUCAGGUUUGAUGAUGAGAUUCACGGUCUGUGGCUUCUCGGUACUUUACCGGACUCUUGGGAGGUUUUCAGGAUGUCUCUUUGUAACUCCGCGUCGGAAGGUGUUAUUUCGAUGGAUUCAGUGAAGAACAGUGUUCUUAAUGAGGAAGCAAGAAGGCAGUCGAAUGCUAGCAGUUCGCGUUCAGAUGUCUUUGUUACUGAGUCAAGGGGGAGAAGUACAAGUAGAGAUCCCAAGAGAGACAAGAACAGGAGCAGGAGCAAGUCUAAUAGAUUUGCUAAUAUGGAGUGCUACUUCUGUCAUAAGAAAGGGCACAUGAAGAAGGAUUGCUGGAAGUUGAAAAACAAGCAGCAAGGAAAUCAAGAAGAAAAGGUGGAUCGGGUGACUCUCACCGAAGAUCAGUUUCUCAUUCUUCUUGAGGGUGAUGCCAUUAAUGUCGCAUGCCAGGACACCAGUUGGGUGAUUGACAGUGGAGCUACUACUCAUGCUACAUCACAGCGGGAUUUGUUUUCUACCUAUACUACGGGUAAUUAUGGUUCUGUGAAGAUGGGGAAUGAUGCGAUGGCUCAGGUUGCUGGCAUUGGUGAUAUAUGCUUGGAGACUAGUCUUGGGACUAGGUUGGUGCUUAAGGAUGUUAAGCAUGUUCCUGAUAUUAGGAUGAAUCUGAUAUCGACGGGAAGACUUGAUGAUGAGGGCUAUUUCAGUUUGCACGGUGGUGGUAAAUGGAAGCUCUCUCGCGGUUCUUUGAUUGUGGCUCGAGGUGAGAAGUCUUCAUCUUUCUAUUGGAUGCAGGCUAAGGUCUCCAAAGAUGUUGUUAAUGCGGUGGAGAAUGAUAAUGCCAUGGAGUUAUGGCAUAAGAGACUCGGUCACAUGAGUGAGAAGGGAAUGGCUGUGUUGUCUAAGAAUGAGGUGAUCUCAGGAAUCUCUGGUUUGCACAGUGUUCGCAUUGCUUUGCGGGAAAACAACACAGGGUAUCUUUCAAGUCUUCCGCACCUUCUAGGAAACCCGAGGUACUGGAUUUGGUACACUCAGAUGUGUGUGGUCCAAUGAAGACAAGAUCUCUUGGUGGCGCAUCAUAUUUUGUGACUUUUAUUGAUGAUCAUUCAAGGAAGUCGUGGGUAUUUCCUAUGAGGACGAAGGAUCAGGUGCUGGGAUAUUUCAAGCACUUUGUGGCAUUGGUUGAGAGACAAACGGGGAAGAAGCUGAAGUGUAUCCGCAGUGAUAAUGGUGGAGAGUAUCUUGGACCAUUUGAUGCUUAUUGCAAAGAGCAUGGAAUAAGGCAUCAGUUCACGCCACCUCAUACUCCACAGUUGAAUGGGUUGGCUGAAAGGAUGAAUCGGACGAUUGUCGAGAGGAUGAGAUGUUUGAUCUCACAGUCAGGCUUAUCGAUGACUUUCUGGGCAGAAGCUUUGAACACGGUGGUUCAUGUGCUGAAUUUGUCACCAAGUGCUCCAUUGGAUGGUGAUGUUCCAGAGAGGGUUUGGACUGGUAAGGAUGUUUCUUACAGUCACUUGAGGGUCUUUGGGUGUAAGGCAUUUGUUCAUAUUCCCAAGGUUGAUAGAUCGAAGCUUGAGAUGAAGUCGCGGCAGUGUGUGUUCAUCGGUUAUGGUCAUGAUGAGUUCGGGUACAGAUUUUAUGAUCCCGUUGAGAGGAAGCUCGUAAGGAGCAGAGAUGUUGUGUUUAUGGAAGAUCAAACGAUUAAGGACAUUGACAAGUCCAAAAAGCCAACUCAGAUUUUUGAGGGUUUGAUCGAUACAGAGGCUACUCCUUCUACAUCGGUUCACGGUGAGGUUGAGGUUGAGGUUCAGGAUAAUGCACCCAGUGCAGAUGCUCCCGCACAUGAAGAUGGUAGUGGUGAUCAUGGUGACGAUCAUGGUGAGACACCAGCUGCUGAGAACCAACCUACUAUUGUUAGAAGAUCCGAGAGAGGUCUUAAACCGUCGACAAGGUAUGAUCCUAGUGAGUAUGUAUUACUUACUGAUGGGGGAGAGCCUGAAAGCUAUGAUGAAGCUUUGGAGGAUGAACACAAGGAUAAGUGGUUUGGAGCCAUGGAUGAGGAGAUGGAUUCUUUUGAGGAGAACCAUACUUUUGAGUUGGUGGAAUUGCCUAAGGGCAAGAAGGCUCUGCUUAAUAAGUGGGUGUACAGAAUUAAGCAUGAGGAUGAAAAUUUGCCACCUCGACACAAGGCUAGAUUGGUUGUGAAAGGCUACAGCCAAAAGAAGGGAAUUGAUUAUGAUGAAAUCUUUUCUCCUGUUGUGAAGAUGUCAUCCAUUCGGGUUGUACUUGGAUUGGCAGCGAGCCUUGAUCUAGAGGUUGAGCAAAUGGACGUGAAGACUGCUUUCCUUCAUGGUAAUUUGGAGGAAGAGAUCUACAUGGAACAACCGGAAGGCUAUGUGCAAAAGGGCAAAGAAAAUUUGGUUUGCCGCUUGAAGAAAAGCCUUUAUGGAUUGAAGCAAGCACCAAGGCAGUGGUACAUGAAGUUCAAGUCUGUUAUGGGGGAGCAUGGUUAUGCAGAGACUGAUUCAGACCAUUGUGUAUUUGUGAAGGUGUUCGGUGAGGAUGAUUUUAUCAUCUUGUUGCUGUAUGUCGAUGAUAUGUUGAUUGUGGGCAGGAACAUGGACAGAAUUAAGGAGCUGAAAGAGCAGCUAGGUAUGUCCUUUGCCAUGAAAGAUAUGGGUCCAGCGAAACAGAUUCUCGGUAUGAGAAUUAUUCGAGAUAGAGGUGAGAAGCUGAUUCACUUAUCUCAGGAGAAGUACAUUGAAAAAGUACUUAAGCGGUUUCACAUGGACAAGUCUAAAGUGUUGAGUACUCCUCUUGCUCCACACUUAAGACUGAGCAGUCAACAAAGUCCGAAGACAUAUGCGGAGAAGGAAGAUAUGGCGAAGGUUCCAUAUGCUUCUGCAGUGGGUAGUUUGAUGUAUGCCAUGGUCUGUACAAGACCAGAUUUAGCCUACGCCGUUGGAGUUGUCAGCAGGUUUCUCUCCAAUCCGGGAAGAGAACAUUGGAAUGCUGUGAAGUGGAUUUUGAGAUAUCUCAGAGGGACUUCUGAUCUGAAGAUUACAUUUGGGGGUAAGAAGCCUUUGCUGGUCAGUUUCACUGAUUCUGACAUGUCUGGAGAUGUUGAUUCUAUCAAGUCUACUUCGGGUUACUUGAUAACAUUUUCGGGUGGAGCUGUGGCAUGGCAGUCAAGGCUGCAAAAGUGUGUUGCACUAUCUACCACUGAGGCAGAGUUCAUUGCCGCAACUGAAGCUUGUAAAGAAUUGUUGUGGAUGAAGAACUUCUGUGAAGAGAUCGGUUUCAAGCAAGAGAAGUAUGUGUUGCUUUGUGAUAGUCAAAGCGCUAUUUGUCUCGGGAAGAAUUCUACAUUUCAUUCGAAGUCAAAACACAUUCAGAGGAGGUAUGAUGUGGUUGCUUCUAAGGAAGUGGAACUUGAGAAAGUUCAUACGGAUGAUAAUGGAGCUGAUAUGAUGACGAAGUCAUUACCGAGGGGGAAGCUUGAAGUAUGCCGAGGGAUAGCCGGAAUGGCUGUUUCCUCCACCUAGUCGGAGGGGGAGUUUGUUGGGUUCCUCCUAGAUGGAGGUAACCCAUUGGGUUUGGUUUUGACAACCAAACUUGGUGUUGGGCAAUGGUAUUAGCCCAUGAGGUUAGUAUUGGGUCUUGGGAGUUAAUGACCCAUAAUGUAAGUCUCCUAACCUAAUUUGGAGAGUGGUUACAGACACAACACGAGCAGACAAGAACAGACUCACAAUAAUAGAGUUUAGAGAGAGAGAAAGAGAAGAGAGAAAAAGAGAGAAGAAAACAGUUUUCGUCUCAGUUUGUCAAGACAUAUUUGGAGGAUCAAACGGAACUUGAUCGGACUGAUAUUUUGUGGGAAGCUUCUUCAGUCAAUGGGUUAAAGGUUCACAGAAGGGAUUUGAAUUUCAACGGUUGGAUCUUCUGUUGUCUGGGUUUUAGUGAAACUGGUCGUCACAGCUCUUCAGCAAGGCUGUCUUGGCUGUUUGGUAAAUCCAACGGUAAAAUCUUCUCUGAUUGAGCUGAAAUUUGGCAGAUGUAUUGUUGACUUGUUUAUCUUGGAUUUGUACGGUGAGAUUAGUCUCUGGUUUCCGGAAUCCUUGUGAGCUGAGGUCGUUUGGAUGCUGCCGGUUUUGAAGCUUUGUGUUACUCUCUUGUUGUUGUUGUUUGUGUUGGAGAUAGCUCUUUGAAGCUAGUGUCUCUGUUCUGUUCUGGUUGUUGAACAGGGAGAACGUGGUUGUACUCACAAACAUUUAUAUAGUGGAUUGUUGAGUGGACUACGGUCCCGUGGUUUUUCCUUCUCACAUCGAGGAGGUUUUCCACGUAAAAAGUAGUGAUUGUCUCAUUUACAUUUCUGCUUAUACUAUAUUCUGCCAUCGUCGAAGUAUUUUCUUCACAGGUUCACACAAGGUCAGGGGAACACGAUCUUGAGUAUUUCCGCUGCGCCUUGAGACUUUCCCCAACAUAACUGGGAUGGUAUCACCUGGAACGGCAAGUCUAGUGAAGUGAUCGGGCUAGACCUUAGUUGCAGCUACCUAGGUGGCCAGUUUCAUUCCAAUAGCAGUCUUCAAAACCUUCAUUCUCUAACCACUCUUGACCUUACAGGAAAUCGUUUUAGUGGACAGAUCAUGUCUUCAAUUGGAAACUUUUCUCAUCUCACCUCUCUCAACCUUUCACAAAAUAAUUUCAGCGGGUUCAUUCCUUCUUCGAUAGUAGACCUUUCUUAUCUCAUCUUUCUUGAUUUUUCUAUUAAUAGUUUUUCGGGUCAGAUUCCAUCUUCGAUUGGAAAUCUUUCUCAUCUCACCUAUCUUGACCUUUCUUCUACUCAAAUUUUGGGUCAGAUUCUAUCUUCUAUUGGAAAUCUUUAUAAGAUCACUUAUCUUGACCUUUCUAACAACAAUAUUGUUGGUGAAAUCCCAUCUUCUUUUGGCUAUCUAAACCAGCUGACCAGCUUAUAUGUUGGUCUCAAUAGGCUCAAUGGAAGCUUUCCCAUUGCACUACUGAAUCUGACAGAGUUGUCAUCUUUAUCACUUAGCUACAACCAGUUCACAGGCAUAAUUCCUCAUAACAUCACUUCACUCUCCAGCCUUCUUCCCUCUUCACCCUUCCUUCUAUGGAUGUUGUUACUUUCUCUGAUAACCAACUCAACGGAACUCUUGAGUUUGGGAUUAUAUCUUCACCACCUAAGCUACAAGUGUUAGCCGUUGGCAGUAAUAACUUGAGAGGGCCAAUCCCAGAAACAAUAUCCAAAUUUACCAACCUUGAAGAACUUGACCUUUCCCAUUACAAUACACAAGGUCCAAUUGACUUUAGUAUCUUCUCACAUCUCAAGUUGCUCGAUUAUCUUGACCUAUCCCAUGUGAACACGACCACUACCAUUGACUUGAAUGAUUUCUUGUCAAAUUUUAGGAGGCUCGAUGGGUUGUUUCUCUCAGGCAACCAUGUUUCUGCCACAAACAAGAUUCCAGUUUCAGGUCCCCCAUUACUGCGUUAUUUGCACUUGUCAGGCUGCGGUAUGACCGAGUUUCCGGAGUUUGUAAGAAACCAACAAUAAAAUCAAAGGUCAAGUGCCUGGCUGGUUAUGGACGCUACCAAAUCUUACUUACCUGAAUCUUUCCAACAACACUUUCACCAGCUUUAAAAACUCAACGAAACAUGGGCUAUCUAUGAUAAACUUGUUAGCCUCCAACAACAAUUUCACGGGAAAUAUUCCAUCUUUCAUAUGUGGUUGGCGCAGUCUUGCCACUCUUGAUUUAUCAAACAACUACUUCAGUGGUUUAAUCCCUCUUUGGCUGGGAACUCUCAAGGAGGAAUUCCGGAGACUAUAUUUGAAAGCUUAAGAACGCUUGACGUUGGUCAUAACCAUCUGACCGGAAAACUUCCAAGAUCUUUGAUCCAUUUCUCUAGUCUUGAAGUUCUGAACAUGGAAAGCAACAUUAUCAAUGAUAUGUAUCCAUUUUGGUUGAGUUCUCUACCAGAGUUAAAAAUUCUUGUGUUACGUUCCAAUGUUUUCCAUGGACCGAUACAUCAAACUUCAUUUCCUAAGUUGCAAAUCAUCGACAUAUCUCACAAUCACUUCAAUGGAGCUUUGCCAUCAGACUUCUUUGUUAAGUGGAGUGCUAUGUCAUCACUUGGGACAGUUUAUGAUCAGCAGAACAAAAUGUACAUGGGGGAUUCCUAUUACCAUGAUUUAGUAGUUUUGAUGAAUAAAGGUUUAGAGAUGAAGCUACAGCAUAUCCUAAAGAUCUACACAGCACUCGACUUUUCAGGGAACAAACUUGAAGGAGAGAUCCCAAGGUCCAUCGGUCUACUAAAAGAGCUUCAUGUGCUCAACUUGUCGAACAAUGCUUUCACCGGCGUCAUCCCUUCAUCUAUGGGAAACCUGACAGCUCUUGAGUCACUAGACGUUUCCCAAAACCAGUUUUCAGGAGAAAUUUGCAAGAGCUAGGGAGCCUCUCAUUCCUUUCCUACAUGAACUUCUCUCAUAACCAGCUUACAGGUCUAGUACCAGGCGGCACUCAGUUUCGAAGGCUGAAUUGUACUUCCUUUGAUGGUAACAUGGGACUUUUUGGCCCUUCUCUUGAUGAAAUUUGCAAAGACAUUCACACUCCAACACCACAUGAAACGUCGGAAUCAGAGGAAGAAGAAGAGGAAGAGGUGUUGAGUUGGAUAGCAGCUGUAAUAGGAGUCAUACCUGGUAUUGCCUUUGGAUGGGUGAUUGGAUACAUACUUGUUUCCUACAAACUAGAGUGGUUCAUGAACCCUUUUCUCCGAAACAAACGCAGACGCAGCAGCAACACAACUCAUUAAAGAGGUAAUAUAUUCGAGAGUUUUAAGUCAACUUGUUAGCAAACAUUUGAAGAAACAAAAAUAUUAUAGUCAAAUCUCCUGAAUAAACCUCCUUGUUUUCUUUGUAUAGGUCUUUUAUAACCUACCUGAGGAAUCUGAAAGAUGAAAUCGGAGGCAAUCACUAUGUUUAUCUGUAUCAAUGAGGAUUUGGAGUAUCAUCUCCGGUUUAGCUUGGUGUUUUCUCAUUACUCUGUUUUUACUUUUUAUUGUUAAGCUAGACGGGCUUCCAACCUAAAAGCAAUUGGUGAUAAGUGGAGUGGUCCAUCUAUCUUAUAUAUUACUUAGGAUCCCUUCCAACUACCGAUGUGGGACACUUUGUGUCUAAUACGCCCCCUCGAGAUGAUGGCUCUUUGAGCGUCAAUCUCGGAAUGCUCGGGAAAGGAUCGAUAGGCCAACUUGGGCCAGAUCGAUGGAUCGGAUUGGACUUCGUGGAUCGGGCUCUGAUACCAUGUUAAGCUAGAUGGGCUUCCAACCUAAAACCAAUUGUGAUAAGUGAAGUGGCCCAUCUAUCUUAUAUACUACUAAGAAUCUCUUCCAACAUCCGAUGUGGGACUUUGUCCCUAAUACGCCCACUCGAGAUCAUGGCUCUUUGAACAUCAAUCACAGAAUGCUUGAGCAAGGAUCGAUGGACCGACUUUGGACUGGAUCGAUAAUAGAUCGGGUUGGACUGCGUGGAUCGGGCUCUGAUACCAUGUUAAGCUAGAUGGACUUCCAACCUAAAACAAUUGGUAUUAGACACAAAGUGUCCCACAUCGGUAGUUGGAAAUGAUCCUAAGUAAUAUAUAAGAUAGAUGGACCACUCCACUUAUCACCAAUUGGUUUUAGGUUGGAAUCCCGUCUAGCUUAACAUGGUAUCAGAGCCCGAUCCACGAAUUCCAACCCGAUCCAAACAAUCCAAUUCGAUCCUUGUCAAAACAUUCCGAGAUUGACGCUCAAAGAGCCAUCAUCUCGAGGAGGCGUAUUAGGGACAGAAGUCCCACAUCGGGUAUUGGAAGUGAUCAUUAGUAAUAUAUAAGAUAGAUGGGGCACUCCACUUAUCACCAAUUGGUUUUAGGUUGGAAGCCCGUCUAGCUUAACAUGGUAUUAGAGCCCGAUCCACGAAGUCCAACCCAAUCCAUCGAUCUGGCCCAAAGUUGGCCUAUCGAUCCUUGCCCGAGCAUUCCGAGAUUGAGCCAUCAUCUCGAGGGGGCAUAUUAGACACAAAGUAUCCCACAUCGGUAGUUGGAAGGGAUCUAAGUAAUAUAUAAGAUAGAUGAGCCACUCUACUUAUCACUGUUGUAAAUAGAGGGUUUAGAGACUGAAUAUUUCUCUGUGUGUUAUUAUUGAUCAAUAGUGGUUCCUUAUAUAAGGAUUACAAAGAGUAGAUAAAAGGAAAGUAUCCAAAACCUAAUCCAACAGGAAAUAGGAAAACUAAAGAUAACAAGGAAAAAGGAAAACAUCAUAAUCCUAAGACGGUCUAAACCGACCGUCUCUCUCUCCUCGGACGACCGACUCUCUCUCCUCUUGGUCACGGCCACGGCUGGGCCUGGUCGUGGCUGAUGGGCUUUCUCCUCUUGUCUUGGUUAAUGGCAAUCCACUCCAUGAUUUAUAACACUCCCCCUUGGAUGCCAUAACCAUACAGGAUUUGUAGUACGCUUCAUGUUGCCUCAUUAAAACCUUAUCAGGAAAACCCAGUGGGACAAAACCAUGAUGAAGGAAAAAGAGUACAACACGAACUACUCCCCUUGAUGUGAACCUCAGUGUCGGUUCUACAUUCUACGCAUCUUGGUGCGUGAUAUUUCCUAUAUGUAUAGGAUGGGAGUAAUCGACCAGUUUCAUUACUGAACCGUAAUUAGACCACUUCGACUUCUUAGGUCGUUUCUCAUGUCCUUUGACAUCGAGUGUCCCGGUAAAGCUAUGUGCUAAGCAAUGUGAAUCACAUUGUCCUCGGAGAUCACUAUUGGGUCUUUGCAAAUUGUGUUUGCAUGUGUCCAUGGUCUAGACGUGUUUGUCUACUGUCAAACUCUUUUCUUUGACCAUUAUAAUCACCAUCGACCAUGUAUCAAUCUGGUCGAUCUAUGAUCGGGUCAUAGACCUCGUCUAUACGUGUCCACUACUUGUCUCAUGAGUGUUCAAGAUCAAUGAUCAUUACUGUGAGUUUAUAAUCUCUAAUUAUGGCUCUGUGGCCGAACACUCUCAUGGAUGUGGACAUCGAUUUCUUUGCCUUAGGUAAUGCCGUAUUCAUUAUUCUUUGCAUUCCUAUCUUAAUGAUGAUGAUGGCGUCUCAUGACCUUAGUUGCUGUGGAUCACAUCACACGCUAAGUAUACAUUAUUAGGUCAUGGACUUCGGCUUUCACGAGCUUAUGGACUACAAUACUUUAUAUCCGACAGGUAAGGAUAGAUUAAACAUCUCCUCUUACCCUUACGACAAAACUUUGUGGAGUUUAUACAGCAGCAGACCGUUCUGCUAUGCCGGAUCCUUAAGGGAUCUGAUUGUCGGAUUGCAACCUGAUGGUUGAUCUUUUCUACUAGCCCGUGAUCUAGAAGAAAGGACGGACACCUUAAGCUGAAGGGCCGGACGCAUUUUAUGGCCGAUGGGCUUAGAGCCGGAUGCCAUUUAGCAGAAGGGGCCGGAUGCCAUUUAGCAGAAGGGGCCGGACGCUUUUAGCUGAAAGCCGGAUGCCUUUUAACUUAAGGGUUGGACGUCUUUAGUCGAAGGACCGGACGCCUACAGAUACAUUAUGUAUCAGUCUACUAACCUCCUUUAGGUUUAGUACAAACACAAGGGAUUUCAAAUGUAUAUGGACUGUUAUUGGAUUGUCUUUUAUACAACUCCAAGAUCAUGCGUGAUCGCUUUCUUUUACAUACUAUAUGCAGCUGAUUUUCAGUCGAUGAAUCAGCUUAGGAACAAAGCUGUUCUUUCAAUUUUAUCCAGUGAUCCAUAUGCUGCUUACUACAUCGUUGUAUCUAAUUUCUUUCUUAUGACCAGACCAUUUUCAAUUUCGAAAAUCUGUAGCAGCAUCAACCACAUAGGAGUUUAUCUCCUUAUAAUAUGUUCCUUUGAUCUCUGUGAGUACAAGCUAUAAUCGAAUGCUGUGAAUAGGAAAACAUGAACACCUUUACAUCAUGUACAUCUCUCACGGUUUCUUUACUUCUCACAGGAUCCAUCUAUUUCACUGGUUUAUAGGAUGGCGUUUCUGUAUAUAUGUAUAUGGCCAAUACGCCCAUCACUUUCUUUAGAUACUUUGAACCUCCACGUUUUACCUUUUCUAAUCUCUAUGAUCUUUUAUGAUUGUAUGAGUACUCUUUCGUGGGUUCAUGAUCCUCGUUCAUCUCUUUAUGUUCAAGUGCUAUAACUUUAUGUAUCUUUAUACAAAUGUGUGUGUGUGUGUCGACACUUUCAUGUGGUUCCAUUAUGUUCCAGACAUGAUCUAUAGAUUUGAGAUCUUAUUAUCCAUGACCUUUGUUACCUAGUAGCUUGGCGUCCCAAUACUACAUGGUUUGGUACCUUAGAUGUGUAGCUGCACAGCCUUUUCUCAAUGUCUGUUUGGUUUCUAGUAUGAUCUCGGAUCUAUCAUUCCAUGCACCAUUCUUUUCUAUCCGAGAUCCCUUUAUCUUAUGGAACACUUGGCCUAUCUUGUAUAGACUCUAUAGCAACUUGAUUAUGUCUCUUCUAGGACAUUCAUUUGGUGCUAAGCUGGUUAGUCAUUUCUCGGGUCAGUGUCUGGCAUUUCGAUUAGCAUCUUAAUUAGCUAUCUUUAUAAUCUUUCUUUGGACGUCUUAAAUCAUAAUCUCUAGUCCGAGGAUCUUUGCCAAGACAAUGAUGGUUAAAAUCAUUCUUAUCAUUCUUUUAUCCAGCUUAUAAUCUUUCUCCUUUAAUGUUUGGAUAGAUGGAUGCAAUCCGUGUACUUGGCCACAAUCCGAUCACCCAUGUUUGGCUCAAGUUUUCUUUAUAAAUCGUGGGAGAAAGUAAUACUCCUAUCCAACAUAUAUUCCCAAUCCUCUUCUGAGGUUCCAUCUUAGACGGCACAUAUAUGUAUGUGGUGGUUUAUUCAAAAUCUCUUAAGAUGGUAUAUGUCUGGUUUUAUGACCCGUAUUCAAUCUGAGAUGGGAAUAUCUAUGCUCACUUAUAUGGCCUGAUGCAUUUUGUCAUUUAUAUACAUGUAAAUUCAUAAUGUCUCCAAGCUUAUAGACUUUAUAGUCUUAUCCUUAUAGGUAAUGGCUUACAUGGCCGAUAUCUUAUAGGUAAUAGCUUACUUGGCCGAAUCCUUAUAGGUAAUGGAACGUGUGCGGCCAAGCCUGCACUAUGCGGCCAAGUCACGACCAAGUCACGGCCGAGCCGUUUAUUCUCAUGGCCUCUUUGGUUUGGCCGUUUGUAUCAUGGCCUCUACGGCCGAGGAAUGGUCAUUUAUGGCCGAGUAAUGGCCGAGCCAUACACGAACUUGUAGUAUUGAUCAUGGGUUUAUCCUCUCUCCCCCUCAUGACCAUACUAUAAGUUUGUGGUGCUUGGGACAAUUAAGCCUAAUGAGUUUCCCUUUGUGUACAUGUUUCACAACAUGAGAUCUUUUACGGGAUAACUCUGUGCCUUUUCAAUCUUUGCAUCAAGUUUAGACUUUAGGAUGGCUAAUCCUAUCAUGCCAUAUAGUGUAAAAUUUCGUGGUGUUAUCUCAAUAUGGUUACCACAUCUCUUGCCUCUUUAUCAUACUGAUCUGUAGCAUAGUUUUGAUCAGUAGAGAUCAUAGGUAUAGUCUCGACCACUUUCUUUCAAGGUCUUAGGCGUUUUUCUUCUUAAAAUCUAAAGGAACUUGUUUCCUUCCUUACCCAUUGUUUCUACUUGGAAACCAUACAUUAUAACUUCAAUGGGUCACAUGUUCUUUUGGGUGUGUAUAAUGCCUUUUAAGGCAAUGCCUUAGCCAUAGUUUCUUUACUAUGCUUACUAUACCCAUUCAUGAUUUCUUACUUGGUUUUAUGCCCUUUAGGCAACUCUUUAAAAUCAUUUAUAUGUUCAAGUAAGAUCAGGCAAGACAAUGAAUUCAAAACCAAUUCCAUUGUAUAUAUAAAAUCGUGAACCAUCAAGUAGGUUAAAAGCAAAUCACAAAACAAGGACUUUAAAAUAAAAUGUCGAGAUCCCUCUUAGUUAAAUAGAUAAGCCGGCCUGUCCAUCUAUUGCAUUGGACACGGCUGCCUUGGAUUCAUCUUGAUCCAUUUCCUCAGGAUAUUUCAUCUCACUGCUUUUCUUUAGUACCUUGUCAUUCUCAAUCACCGUUAGGCAAGAGAUCAGGUCAUUGUAAGUGGUAGAACCUCUUUCUAUGUAGAUAUGUUUUGACAACAAAUCUUCUGGAUGGAAUGUGGAGUAUGUCUUGAAUAGACAAUCAUUAUCUGUUACCUCUUCUCCACAUAAUCUCAGUUGGUACACGACCCUGGACAAGGCAAAGUGAAACUCGGCCACUGUCUCAAAGUCUUGGAAUCUGAGACUCAUCCAUUCAUGUUUGACCUUUGGUAAUAAUACCAUAGUGUAUCUGGACUUUAAUUCUGUCCAAAGGUCACGAGGAUUCUCAAUAUGUAGAUACUGAUUUCUCAGUUCCUCAGUGAGAUGAUGGCGCAUUAUUGUAAUGGCUCUUAACUUUUCACUUUUAGUUGCAUAAUCACCCUGAAUGAUACUCCUUCCGAGUCCUCUUGAUUUCAGGGUAACUGAAGUGUUCAUUGCCCAUUCUAGAUAAUUAUCUCCAGAGAGAUUUAGAAUGGCAUAAUCCAUGGGUUCAAAUCUCGGCAUCUGAAAUCAUAUUAUCAAUCAAUUCAUUGAUUUAGAAUUCUUGCAACCAAUUUAAAUAAUCAGUGCAUAUGAUUUCAUAAGUCUAUCUAUGAUACUUAGGCCAUACGGCUUUUUCAUUUGUGAUGCUUAUACCUCACGGCCAUACAACGAUCUUAAGGAUCGGAUCAUGAUGCAAUCCGGUUUAUAAAAUCAUCCGGAUACUAGGCCACACGGUCACUUUGGUAUGCACUAAGCCACACGGCUUUUAAUCAAUCAAGGGCACAAAGCCGCAAGUGUGGGCAAUGUAUUAGGCCACAUGGCCAUAUACAAAAGGAGAUUAUUAAUCUAAGUGUAUUCAAUCCUAUUGCUUAGUUGCAUAUCUAUUAAGAUUUACCAAUUUCAAGGUUGGUAAUAUUAGAUUUUAGAAUCAAGCACUCUAGCAACCUAACUCUCAUUCAAUAUGUAAAUUCUUUAAAUCAAUCUUUCAAGCUUUAAGUAAUGAGAGAUUUAAGGUUUCAAGGCCUUUAGGAAUUUCAAACGAGAUUAAGGGUUUCAAGGCCUUAAGGAUUUCGAAUUUUGAGAUUAGAUCUAUCAAUACUAAAAUCUCAGAUCAAUCAAUCAAACAAUCAAACAAUUUAGAAACCUCAAUGAUCAAUAGAUCAGAUGAAGUCAAAACCGAUUUAAGCUUUUAGGGUUUCUAGGGUAUUUCGAAAACUUUGAUCUUUGAUCAAGGGGAUUUGAUUUGAGAUUCAAAAACCUUUAAGGUUCUGAUUUUAAUUGAUCAAUGGAUCAAUCUCGAAUUAUGGUUUAGGGGAUCGGACUUAUUCGAGCUCCGAUUUACUCUUUUAGGGUUUUAUCUAUUUAUCCUAAUGCUUUCAUCUUAGAGAUUAGUUUUAGAGUUUCAAUCUUUACAAACAAUCAGGUUCGAUUCAUGUUCUCAAAUUAAGUCUGUACCUUUGUUUUGCAGGUCUGAACCGGACCACCAAAGAUCAGAGACGAGCUGAGACGAACGGACGCGGAACGGCUCCUAUUGGGUCGCGUUGCCGAGAGCUAUCGCGAGCUUGUUUCUUCUCGCGGACGGUUUCGUCUGGUCGGGGAUUUGGUCUGAGCUGGACGCAAGCUGAGCUGAGGCUGAGGACGUUGAUCACGGACAGGGAACGUCUGAAGCUGAGCUUGAUCAGAGUUGAGCUUGAUCGGAGUUUGCAAGCCAGAACGCAAGCAAGAACAAUUUAGGGUUCUUCGGGAUUAUAUCUUUGCACGAACUCCUCUUAGCUCAUGAAAUAAAAACAAGGAGUAUUAGAUUACAUGAACACCAUAAUCUGAACAAGAUAUCAUCAAACAACUAAGGUAUGAUAAACUUAUCUUUCACAGGUUUUGAAUUUGGCUGGAAAAUCAUGUUGGUUCGGAUUAGGGUUCCAAAGACCAAGACGCCGCCAUGUAUUGUAUCUGAGAUCGUGGGCGCGUCUGAGAUUAUAUCGACGAACGGUUUGCGCUGAUGGAUUCGUUUCGUAAAGAGCUUCAAUUUGAUAUGUGGCUCGUCGUCUGGUUCCUCGGGGUUUGAGAGAUAGAUCGAUUUUAAGUUGCGUCAAAAUUAGGGUUUAUGUGUGACGGAUUUUAGGUUAGGUUUUGUCUCAGGGUUUUGGAGUCUAUCGUGCUGAUAACGUGUUGUAAAUAGAGGGUUUAGAGACUGAAUAUUUCUCUGUGUGUUAUUAUUGAUGAAUAGAGGUUCUUUAUAUAAGGAUUACAAAGAGUAGAUAAAAAGAAAAUAUCCAAAACCUAAUCCAACAGGAAAUAGGAAAACUAAAGAUAACAAAGAAAAAGGAAAACGUCCUAAUCCUAAGACGGUCUAAACCGACCGUCUCUCUCUCCUCGGACGACCGACUCUCUCUCCUCUUGGUCACGGCCAUGGCUGGGCUUGGUCGUGGCUGAUGGGUUUUCUCCUCUUGUUUUGGUUAAUGGCAAUCCACUCCAUGAUUUAUAACAAUCGCUAAUUAUUUUUAGGUUGGAAGCCCUUGCAAACUUCUUUGUUUCUCUGGCAUUGUUUCCGGUUUAAGUUGGUGUGUAUUUUCUCUACUUCUCUGUUUCUCUGUAAUUGAACAACUAUGUUUAUUACGCUGAAAAUUACAAGCACAGUCAAAGAUGUGUGUCUUUUCCGCUCUUCUGUAUCUAAACAUCAACUGUAUGGACGUGAGAUGAGCAAUAAACAGAUGAUCCAGAUCAACGCUAUAAGCAACACAGGACUUUCAUCACGGAAUUGGAUGAAGGAAAAGCUACCUGCGAUGAGAUGCUUGUCCCGGAGCCAGCAAGGCGUCUGGAGCUUCAACCAAGAUCAUACCGUCCCUGUUCAAGAUAUCCUAGUGAAAGUGAAUGAAUCCAUCGAAACCUUGUUGAAUCUGGUUAGGUGUGUCUUUGGUUUAAGGGCUGAAACACCAACGGUGAUCACCGUCAAGCUGCCUCCAUGGAUGCAUGGCCCAGAAGGAGCCACAAUCGCCCCACUGAACAUUGUAUCAAACACCGAUGUGGAGAUAAUGAUGGGUGCGCAUGAGUGGAACACAGAACCAAAACUCUCGGUCAUUAUUGGAGCGGAGGAGGUUGCGUGGUACCAGUUCGUAUGUCGAACAACGUUCACCAUAGGGGACAGAACGUUCUUGACAGAUGGAGUCUCCGAAGAGCAACACCUAGCAACCAUCAACGGUAAGCAAAAUCAAAAUUAAUAAAAAAGAUCUAUAGUUGAACCAGAAGAAGAAAAAUAGAUAAUUAAUUCUUUCCUUCCAAUUUUGUGGCAGAGAUAAUUGGAGAUGAGGAGAUAAAGUGUCCUAGGCGAUUUCUAGAGGAGCUUUUUAACCAGGACAAAAUGGCUGUUAUUUUUCGUUUUGCGAUGGAGGUUGAGAAAGCAAGAAAUAGUCUUGAUUUGAAUUUAAGCGUAUUUGAUGGAAACGGUGAUCAUAUAGUCCCAGACAUAGGAAAUCUUAACGAGGUCGGUCCAGAGUGGGGAGCAGGAGAGCAAUAUGGUGGUAUUGAUGGAUUUGGGGAUAUGGACGAUUCAGGUAAUGGACCAUAGUAUUCUUUAAUACACAAGCAUUGUUUCCUUUCGGUUACCGGAACUAAGACGUGUUAGAUUUCAUUUUAGAUGUGCCAGCAUAUCAAAAUGUCCCGGGGGGCCAUCUUCACGCGUUGAUAUCGGGCCGGUGUAUUGGCAAGACUUGAUGUCCAGCAGUUAUGCACUGCAGCUUGAUCGAAUUUAUGGGGUGGAAGGCUCGGAGUACGUGGGAUACCAACCUAGUGAUAUCGCUAUUGGGGGACCUGAGGCUAAGCAAAGGACACAAGCUUUACCGGUUUUUCAUGGGUCUCCGGUUCUAUCAUCAUCUGCUGUUACAAAUCUCCCAUCGGUGGGGUCUGAAGGGAACGUCAGUGGUGCGACAGUGGUUCAUAGAGGUACGUUGGUCAUUGUAAAUAGUAUUUUGCUAUACAUCACAUAUAGACGUCCUAAUGUGCAUAAUGUUAAUAAGGUGUAAUGGUUCUUUCACGGUUGCUGUUUCAUAGGAGGAGCAUUGACAAUCGUUCUUCAGGACAUUACGGGGGAUGAGGAGAAUAACGCUAAAGGAGGCGAGGAAGGCAAUAACGACGGCCCGGGUGGUGACCAGUAAACAUGAAUCCAAAUGCGUGUGGUAGUAAAGGGGUUGCAGUUUUUUGUUAUGUUUAAUAUCUACGGUCUUGAUGUUUCUGCAUGUUGUUUCUACAAGCUGGAAAAGGCGUAUUUCAUAAGGUUGUCCUGUAAAAUACCUGUGGCCUUGGGGUUUGUUUUUGGUUUGUUGGUCCCGGUUAAGUGUGUUCCUCUAUAUGUAGUGAAUCCUAUCGAGUAAUUUAAAAUACUUGGGUAUGUUUCGUGUAAUGUAAAAUAUUUGGGUAUCUAUCGACUAUUGCAAAAUAUUUCGUUCUCGCCAAUCUAUAAGUAGGAUCUUGUGUAAUAAAAACCCGGGUUUAGUACUUAAUAACCAUAAAUUUAUCCUAAAAUCCGGCAAUGUUAAUUGAACUACUCAACGAUAAAGAUGAAACAGUUUGACAUAAGUGGUGUGGUCAAUGGUACUUAGACGAAAUAUAUUUUGGAUAUGUUUGAUGUACAACUAUCACUAUGUAUUAAGUCAAAUAUGUAUUCGGUUAUUAACACACCUACUAUGUCGUGAAACUUUUAGUUCGAACCUGAUAAAUGAUGACAUGAGAGUUAGUAGAACGAAACAAAUGGUCUCAAUAAAACAUGUACGAAACAAAGGAGAUUGGAACAGAGUUUGGGCGAUAAAAAUGAAACAAGUCUAGCGUAGGACAACGGAGUUUUAACCCUAAACCCUAAAGAAUCUGGUGAAACUCAUUGAGCAUGACAGCGGCCCUCUGGGAUUCUUCGGUAAGAACUAGCGGGGUGACACACCUGAAUGUGUCUGGACCAAACAAGGCAUGAGUUUGCAUGAGCAAUGCUGCUGUAAACCCUGAAUCACCAGGGGGCAGCGUUAACUGGAACGCCUUUUAUUCUUUCAACCGACAGAUUUUGACCAUCAACUCUGUCAAUGCGACCACAAUACUUGAGGAGAAGGAGGAACAUCUCGGCAACAGGGUACAGAUCUCUUGACAACAGAGCAUCAGUGCGGACAACGGGGUUGCAAUCUAAAACGUAUAUCUUACAUGAUGGGCAGUCAACACAAAUGCCAAUCCAAUGCUUGUUCGCGAUGAGGAAUGGGAAAUAGAAACUGGUGGUGUUGCUAUCUUCAGAUCCAGUUUUCUUCAAACAAUCUGCCAGCCCCUUACUGAACGCAUAAUCUUUUUUGAUUUUCGCUUUCUUAAACUUGGGAUAGUUCCUAGUAAACAUUGUCACAAAUCGGGUAUCAAAGAACUCAGCGGUCUUGUCGCUCUUGGCCUGUACGUGUUUAUUGAAGGUUGAUCUGACUAGAUGCAUAAGUAUAUCCAUCACCUAACAUACUAAAAAUAUUAGGUUUCCCUUCCGAGAAGCAAGCAUUUUGGAAGCAUAUUUGAUUUUUAUUAACAGUACCUUAGCGGGUAGGAGCCUGUUCUUAUCAGCAAUGCCUGAUGUCCUUCGUGUUGAUAGAAAAACCGUCGACGUUUAUUAAACAGUCACCAAUAAAUAAUCAGCAGGGGAGUCAGUGUACUAAUGCACAACAAAAACAGAAAAAUUAGGUUACGUGUUAAAAUAACCGGGAGUUAGACAACCCACCGAGGCGGGGUGAAGAUGUGUAGAUAAACCAGUUUGGGGAAAUGUUAAUGCAGUUUACGUAAAUGAACUCCGGCCUCUUAUAUUAAUAACCGGUUACACAAAAAGUGUAUAGGGAGUUACCAUGGUCUAGUUAUGAGUGUUGUGAGCUUCGUGUACUUCUCACGGAGGACCGCAUUCACAUAGCGGUUGUCUGCACACAUCUGGGCUUCCCAAGCUCUGUUUAGGAUUGCAUAACUACAAUGGUAGUCAUUGACCAGUGCUGGUGGAACUGUCCUUAAGCGUUUGCUUUUGCGGCAAAGAGGACCGCCCUCUCCAUUUUCAUCGUUGUCUACAUCAGCAUUUACUAAAACAUCGGCAACAGCAUCAGUUGGUCUUCCCAGCUCAUCAUGAGUUAAUCCGAGCGAGAAAGAAUGAGCCUGCAUAAGUAUAAUUAAAGGGCUGUGAUUAACAAUAAAGCGAUAUGACCAAAAAUUCCUAUUUCAAAGCAAUGAUUUACCAGUGGGUCGUUCUCAUGCUUGGUAAUGCUGGUAGCAGACAAGGAUGUCUGUUGCUGAGUCUCACCUUCCUGAUGACCACUAGAGUGGGUGAGAGAUUUGUGCUUGUUAGAUCUCGCGUCGGAAAGCUGUUAUGAAAAAUUUUAAUAAAUAGAAACUCAGCAUAAGAUGAAACCAGAUCUGCAGACUAUAAUUUGGCUACAACACAGAGAAACCGGAUCUAUGUACUAUAUAUAUAUGCUACAACCCAAUAAAACAUGUAGUAUAAAUAGGUGAGAACUAAAACAAGAAACUAGAGGCUUACCGGGCAGCGUUGGGCAGACCGAGGAGGUGUGGAAUACUGACUAAGGCUCGCUCUCCAUCACACUAUUAAUAAUCUGGUCAUUGGCGUCUUCACCUGAUGGCUUUGCAUGUCGGGAGGUACCUGACCUGCUUCUAUUGUCAGCCGAUGGUGUAUGUUCUUGUGGCCGUUGCGAAGGGGUAAUAUUCCGUGUUUUUAACGGUUUUAAACUCGUUUUGGAGCAAUUAAAUGGUCGGUUUUAAUUAAUGUUUUGGUCUAUUUGAUGCGUUUUGGUGUUCUUAAGUGUAAUAUGCAGGUUACUAGAUAGCUUGAAAGAAAAGAACGCAUUCGGGAUUUAUUCAGAAGCAAGAUGGACCGAACAAUGGACCGAAUGAGAAGUAUUGAUCGCACAGNNNNNNNNNNNNNNNNNNNNNNNNNNNNNNNNNNNNNNNNNNNNNNNNNNNNNNNNNNNNNNNNNNNNNNNNNNNNNNNNGAAGAAGUUCAUGAGAGAUGUGAACCACUAUUACUGGGAUGAUCCCUUCCUCUACAAGAGAUGCUCAGAUGGUUUAUUCAGGAGAUGUGUUCUGGAGAAUGAGAUGCAAGGGAUUCUUUUCCACUGCCACAGUUCAGAAUACGCAGGCCAUUUUGCAACAUUCAAGACGGUUUCUAAGGUCCUGCAGGCUGGUUACUGGUGGCCUACACUUUUCAGAGACGCCCAUGAGUUUGUCUCAAAGUGUGAUGCAUGUCAGCGGAAGGGUAACAUCAGUAAGAGAAAUGAGAUGCCCCAAAAUUUCAUCCUUGAAGUUGAAGUUUUUGAUGUAUGGGGAAUUGAUUUUAUGGGCCCUUUCCCAUCUUCUUAUGGAAAUGAGUACAUCUUGGUUACGGUUGAUUAUGUCUCCAAGUGGGUGGAAGCAGUAGCCAGCAAGACAAAUGACUCUAGUGUUGUCAAGAAAAUGUUCAAGACAGUCAUUUUUCCAAGAUUCGGGAUCCCGAGAGUGGUUAUAAGUGAUGGAGGCUCUCACUUCAUCAACAAGACGUUCAAUAAACUGCUGAAGAGAGUAAAGCAUAAGGUAGCUACACUUUAUCAUCCUCAGACAAGUGGGCAGGUUGAAAUAUCGAACCGAGAAAUCAAGGGGAUUUUGGAGAAGGCUGUAGGCAAAACAAGGAAAGACUGGGCUGUGAAGCUUGAUGACGCCUUAUGGGCGUAUAGAACCGCCUACAAGACUCCCUUGGGCACCACUCCUUUUAAUCUGGUCUAUGGAAAGUCUUGUCACCUACCUGUGGAAUUGGAGUACAGUGGUUUUUGGGCAACGAAGUUGAUGAACUUCGACAUUAAAACCGCAGCAGAAAGGAGGAUGGUUCAGUUGAACGAGCUGGACGAGAUUCGGUUGAACGCCUAUGAGAACACCAAAAUCUACAAGGAAAGAACUAAGGCAUGGCAUGACAGAAAGAUAAUCCCGAGAGACUUCGCUGCUGGAGACAAAGUCCUUCUGUUCAACUCUAGACUCAAGCUAUUUCCUGGAAAGCUUAAGUCUCGUUGGUCCGGACAUUUCACCAUCACAGAGGUUAGACCUUAUGGAGCUGUCGUCUGGGAAGACAAUGGGAGGAAAUUCACCGUCAAUGGGCAGAGGCUAAAACCUUACUUCACAGAUGCAAAACCCGAAGAAGGAACCAACAUUCCUUUAUCGGAACCCGAUCUCGCCUAAGGACAACAAAAUAGUCAGGCUCGCGACUUUAAACAAGCGCUGACUGGGAGGCAACCCACAUGGUUUGAUUUUCUUUNNNNNNNNNNNNNNNNNNNNNNNNNNNNNNNNNNNNNNNNNNNNNNNNNNNNNNNNNNNNNNNNNNNNNNNNNNNNNNNNNNNNNNNNNNNNNNNNNNNNNNNNNNNNNNNNNNNNNNNNNNNNNNNNNNNNNNNNNNNNNNNNNNNNNNNNNNNNNNNNNNNNNNNNNNNNNNNNNNNNNAAAAAAACUCUCUACGUAUUUUUCUCAGACCCUGUGAUGAUUAUUAGACUAUUUCCUUGUGUGUUGUGUAUUACAUUAUAUAUUGACCAUUUUUCAGGACUGUUGGCGCAGACAAACCGAGGAACUACUUGACCAAGCAACCUCUCCUUAAAUCUUUUAUCAAGUCUCGGUGAAUUGUAAUCGACUCAAAUAUUUUUGACCAUUAAUGAAUUUAAUUUCUUUUGACCAGGAAUCAACAUCAGGAAACGGUACACCAUAUACACAUUCAGGAUUUUCUUUACCACAUUUUACCACUCUUUAAUAAUCCUGAAUGGCCAGACUCAUCAAUAGUUUGGUACCUCACCUACACCUUACCCUUUUAUUUCAUCUCCAUGCAUUCUUACACACUGAUCAUAUGUGCAUACAUGUGCAAAAACAAUGGAGAGAUUAGGGUAGACAUGGUUCAUCCGACUGCUUAGGUAGGAUCGGAACAUUUAGGUGGUUAGACACGGACCUGUGUGUCUAGAGGUGUAAAUAGAAAAAUUGGGUGUUGUAAGUGUGUGAUUGCAUCGCAGUGUAUAUAUUCGAUUUCGGUUUGUAUAAGUUUUCGUUCUGAAAUAUAAAAAAAAAAAAAAAAAAAAGUUCAUGUUUAUAUCUCAUUCAGUAGAUUUGAUUUAGACAUUUUAUUUUUAUUUUGUGUACCAGAGAUGAUGCGUUGUUUAAAUUUGGGGUUAGAGUUUGAGAUUUGUUGGGUUUUGAUCAUUUGAGACUUGAGCAGUUCGGAGCUUUUCACUCCUUUUUACCCACUCCCCUCAAUAAUAGACAGAGGAACUCGACUUUUGAGACUCAGAAAAGACCAGGGGCGACCAAGGAGGAGAUUUACAAGUUCUAGAGAGAGAUUUGAGUGUUUUGUACUUGUUUUGGUGUGAUUUGUGAAGAUUUGUAAAGGAGUUCAUCUCAAAACCAUUUGGAGAAGAUCUUCUGAACCUUUACUCUGUUUUAAUACAAUCUUAUCAUGUUUUCUUCAUCAAAAUCGUUUUGUUCUUGCUUAGUUAUGUGUGAGUAGUCAUCUAGUUGGGUUUAGGGGUUCUCAUAGGGGAUUUCUUGAUGUUUUGAUCCAUAAAACGUGUGUAGACUAAGGGAUUACGUUUUGGUUCUUCAUCUAAUGGAUUUCUUACUGCUUGAACUGAAUUGAUCACUUAGUUCAUGAUUUCAGAUUGUUUGAUGCACCGAAAGUGAUUGUUUGAACUUCCGAAAAUACUUUAGAUGAGCAAAGUGUCCUUAACCCUCGGAAGUUGAUGUUAUUGCGCUUUGUGAACAUAUUGAACCUGUUCUUAAUGCUUGUUUAGAAAUUGAAACUCAGCGGAAGUUAGUGUGGAGAUUUCUAUAACAUAGAGAAUUAGCGCUACGGAAGUAGGUUAAUUCUAAUAUCGUGUUUGAGUUCUAGACGGUUCUUAAUAUAUCCCUGUGUCUUCCAUUAAUUGUAUCUUGAUUAAAAAGAAAUCCCUGAGAAUUCCCAAUGCCCAACGUUUGUUUUAAAAUAGUUUUCAAAUCGUUUAAAUCAUCUUUUUACAUGCUUGUUUAUGUUUUGUGACACCUAAGAAAAUUAAAUAAGAACCAUCAAAAAUAUAUCUUGAUUCGCUGUAGCUAUUAACUUGUCUGCAACUCUACGUGUGAUCAUCGGUCCCUGUGGAUUCGAUCCCGCAUUACUACUGCGUACUUUAUUGUGCACUUGCAGUUAGAUAAUCGGGUUAAAACUCGACACAUCAAGGGGGACAGUGUCCUUCGUGUUCUCCAAAAACUCGGGUCUGGGAUGUCUGAAGGUUGUCGUUGUUCUGUUCAGCAACCUCUAGAGGUGACUUGACAAUGGACGCCAUAAUUUCCUGUUUGAAAGCUACAAGCAUUGCAUCGAGUGGUCCAAGCACAGUAGCUUGUUGUUGGGCCUCUGCGCUCCGGAUUAUUGAUGCAAUUGAGGCAUCUAUUUUUGAAAUCUCGGGUUUCAUGACAGCAAGAACAAUUGGCUUGAUAGUAGAUUCAUCUAUGACUCCAGCGGUGGUUUCCUUCGAAGUGGUUUGCUUCGAUGUGGGUUGCUUGCGUUUGGCCGCAACUUUCGCUGACUCCCUCAUUCUCUCAACUUCCUGUUUUGUUAGGCCCCCUUUAAACAUGUACUUUGAAAAACAAUGAUUCGCAUGAAUCAGCUUGUCGACUUUAGUAUCUUCGACAUGGUCUUUUACAACAAGAAUGGAUUCAUCAACCGGGUGAAGAGGGUCUUGGGGGAAUGAUACUCAUAUGGGCUAGCCAAUAAAACCGUGAACUUUUGUUGACUUUUUUAGUUUAUUAAGAAACUUACGAUUGACUGACCAUAUUAACACACCGUUAACCGAGUUAACAGAUAAAUAAGCGGAUGUUAAUUUUGGGUGUUAAAGCAUACGACGUCGUUUCAUAUCUUUGUCUGAUUAAAGACAAACGACGUCGUUUAUAUAGGUUUGUUAUUAAAAAUAUGUGUUUCCAACGGGUCGAACUCGUGUACUCGGGUUUAAUGGUAGGGGUUUUUGCCACUGAGCUAGUGGACUUUGCAAUAGAUUUACGAACACAGUUUCUUUUAUUCUCUUCGAAGCCGAGUUAAAAGACAAAUGAAUGAAACGACGCGUUUUAUAUAGCUUUUUUAUUAAAAAGAUGGGCUUCCAUCGGCUCGAACUCGUGCACUCGGGUUUAAUGGUAGGGGUUUUUGCCACUGAGCUAGUGGACUUUGCAAUAGAUUUACGAACACAGUUUCUUUUAUUCUCUUUGAAUCCGAGUUAAAUGAAUCAAAAAUCAUAAAUCCAGCUCGAUUCUCUUCGAUCUCGUCCUUAAGAAUCUCGAUUCUCACCUUUCCUUCUUCGAGUAUCGCAUGAUGAGUUCGGAUCCUUCAACGCUUUUACGGAUCCUCGAUCUCUCCGGCGAUGACAAACUCACAGAAGCAUCGCGUUCUCCACCCUUCUUCGACUCUUGAAUAGCUUCGUCACUCCCGUAAUCGAAAUUCCUCAUCGCUCCGAAAAUCAUUACCUCCCUUCCAUUCCUUGUGAACUUCGUCUUUACCAUCUCCUCACAUCACAAGAUAAAUCCCCAAAUUGAUUUGAGAAAUUAGGGUUACGUUCAAACACGGGUUUCGUUUUCUUUGAUUUCAAUCAAACACAUCUUUUGAUCAAUAAAAAUAAACAUGUGUGGUAAUCUUCCGAAAAGUCCACUAGCUCAGUGGCAAAACCCCCUAAGGACCACGACUGCACGGGUUCGACUCCAGCCAACAACAAUUUUAAUUAAGCAAAACGACGUCGUCUUGACAUUUUGUCUUUAACAAAACAAUUGGAUGAAACGACGUCGUUUCACUAAACGACAGUAAUUAACAGUGAGUUAACACUGUCUUAACUGUCGGUUAACGGUGUGUUAAUCUGGUAAGUCAACCGUAAGUUUGUGAAUUAACAAAAAAUGUCAACAAAAGAUCUGAAUUUUAUUGGUCAGGCUCGAGUACAUGUUUCUUUUGGCAAUUUCUGCAAAGUUCAGUGUUUUUUGGCCGAUUUCUCAAAGUAAAAUCCCUUUAGUUUCUCACACUACACGCAUGAUCUCCCAAACCAUUAUUUUUUUCUCGACACGAAUUAACUCUCGAUCAGAAACUGUAAAAUUUUAAAUUAUUUGCAACAACUCCAUUAAAUUGUUUUUUUUUUUGAAUGAAAGUAAAAUUAUAAUCAAACAAAAACUGUGUUACAUCUUGUGCUUCUGUUUUACUUAUGAACUCAUAAGGCAAUAAAAAUAAAAGAUUCUAACCACCUAUUACGAUGGUGUUAGAUCUUCUCUCGUGCCAAACCAAGUACGCAGACUUCUCUCCAAAUAGGCUUGGCCUCUUGCUUUGACUGCAAGCAGAUGCAAUCUGAUCGUUUUAUCAACGAGUUUGCUCAGAGUAAUGGCAUCCUUUGGUUCUUCACCAUGUCUCCUCGAGUUUCUUUCCCUCCAGAUACUGUGAACUGCUGCCUGCAGGGAGUAUCUGAUAAGGAACAAUUCUGUGGCAGGAAAGGUCGAGCCAGAUAUUAUAGUGAUAAUGGUAUUCCAGUCUGUGGUAAAGCCAUCUUUGAGAAGCCCUUGUACCAAUGAUUUCCAAACCUUAGAUGAGUAGGUACAUUGGAAAAAGAGAUGAUGGCAAGUCUCUUGCACUUCAUGACAUAGAGUACACUCUGCGUUUAUGGUAGCAUUCCAAGCUUGCAUUUUAUCUCCUGUUUGCAACCUGUUCUUUAUUGCAAUCCAGAUCAUAAAUGAGUAUUUCGGGGUGGACUCGGGGAACCAUAUGCCUCUGCUCCAAGGACAGAUAGAUUGCCUCGUCCUCAGCUGAUGCCAUGUCUUUUUAGUGGAGAAUCGGUUUCCAAAUUUUCCUUCUUCGCUUCUCCAUAACGGGACAUCAUCCAUGUCCCUUAACCCUCCAAUGCGCAAUUUAUUUAUGUCUUCCUCUAUAUCAUUUAGAAUGCGCUCUCUAUGUCUUCGCCUCCUGUUAUUUGAGAGGACAUCUGCCAUCGUAGCAUUUUCCACAAUACCAAGCGCUAUUUUACCUCUAUCACCUACGGCUUCCUUUAGGCAACCAAUCUGCGACCAGACAUUAUACCAAAAGGAUGUAUGGUUCCCAUUUCUGACAUCUAUACGCAGAAAUUGCCUUGCUAUGUCUCUCAUUCGUAGAAUCUUCUUCCAUAUCCAAGACCCCAAAUUUGUCUUAACUGAGAUCGACCAGAAAGACCCUUUCCUUAUCAAAUAACAAUGUAUCCACUUGACCCACAAGGAGGAUCUAGCAGAUGAUAUUCUCCAGAUUAGCUUCAGGCAGUGAACUUUGUUUAUCUCCUUUAAAGACCUGAUUCCCAAGCCUCCUUCAUUCUUUGGUAAGCAAAUGUCUUGCCAGCUCACUUUUGCUUUUGUAGGUUUUAAAACAGGGCCUGACCAGAGAAAGGCUGCGCAUAGACUUUCUAUUUCCUUCAAACAACUACCUGGGAGUCGAAAAGCCGCUAGCCAGAAGUUUGCUAGACUCAUGAUUACCGAGUUGAUCAGCUGUAGCCGCCCUGCAUGGGAAAGGAAACGACCAGUCCACGAGCUCAUGCGCUUUCUUAUCUUUUCCACCAAUGGCAUGUAGUCACUUACUGUCAUUCUCUUUGUGAGGAGGGGAAGACCUAAGUAGCGGACUGGUAGCUGUCCUGAGGCGAAGGGGAAGCUUUCGAGGGUCUCUGCUUCUUGUUCCACUGUUGGACCUGCCAUGUAGAGAACUGUUUUCUCCAAGUUGAUUUUCAGACCCGAUAUCACUUCAAAGUCUGCAAAGAUCCUAAGAAUACCUGCAAUAGACCUUCGUGUGCCAUCAGUGAAGACAAGCAGAUCAUCAGCAAAGCAUAAAUGUGUCAAGAGGAUGUUCCGACAUCUCGGAUGGUACCCUAUUUCUUUUCUUUCUACUGCCUUGUCAAGCAUAUUUGAUAAUACAUUCAUGCAUAUGACAAAGAGGUAUGGCGAUAGUGCACAACCCUGCCUCAGCCCCCUCUUGCUUUGAAAGAAACCCGCUAGUUCCCCAUUUACUUGUACUGAAAACGAAGGCGUGCACACACAUAGCUCAAUCCAAUGGAUAAAUUGCUCCGGCAUGUUCAAGGCUCGAAGGGUAUUCAAGAGAAAUGGCCACUGAACAGAAUCGAAAGCUUUUGCUAUAUCAAUCUUCAUGGCACAUCUUAAUGAGAUGUCCUCCUUGUGGUAGUCUUUUACAAUUUCAGUGGCGAGAAGUAGAUUUUCCACAAGCAAUCUGUCCUUCACAAAUGCGGACUGAUUGUAAGAUACACAGCGAGGGAGGGUGCCUUUCAGCCUGUUUGCGAUGAUCUUUGAGAUGACCUUAUACAAGACAUUACAGCAGGCUAUGGGUCUGUAGUCUUUCAUCUCCAUCGCCUCAUCUUUCUUUGGUAUCAACGCAAGGAUUGUGGUGUUGAGGCCCUUUGGAAGAAACCCCUUGCUGAAAAAAGAAUGCACCGCUGUGGUAAAAUCCUUUGAGAUGAUACUCCAUGAAACCUUGAAGAAUUCAACAGUAAACCCAUCAGGUCCCGGAGAUUUUCCACUAGGCAUUCGAAAUAGGACUUGUUUGAUUUCUGCAUCCGUUACCGGUUUAAUGAGAGUAUUAUGUUCUUCGUCGGAGCAGCGGAAGUUGAUGAUUUGCUGCAUCUCCUCUACUGUUUUCUGUUUCAACCCAUCCGGUAUAUGAGAUAGGGAUUUAGAGAAAAACCUCUCAGCCUCAUUUUUUAUUUCUUCUUGAGAUCGUACCACCUGCCCCGAUGCACAUCUAAUUUCUCUGAUUGCAUUCCUUGUCUCCCGAAUCUUAACGGCGUUGUGGAAGGCUUUAUUGUUUUUGUCUCCUACUUGCAACCAGUGUAACUUCGAUCUUUGCUUUAGAAUUUUUUCCUCAAUUCCAGAAACCUUCUGCCACCUCUCAGCUGCUAAUAGUUCUGCUUGUAUAUGAUCGUGGGAGGGAUCACUUAAGGUAGCUUCUUGCUUCUCACAUAAAUCUUGAUAUGCUUCCCUGACCUUCUUGGUCAAGUCACCCAGCUUCUCCUUGCUCAAACUUCUUAUCAGUGGUUUCAGGCCUUUGAGAACCUUUGAAAACCGAAACAGAGCUGAUGUGGACUGAAACAAUGGUAUCUUAUCUCUCCAAUAUUCUUCUAGCCUUCUAAGAAACUCUGGCAUUUCUGCCACUGCAUUCGUAAACUUAAAUGGUCUGCGUUUCCCAACAGCUUCAGGCUUCAAGUGGAACCUUCCUCUCAGGUGGUCUGAGCAACCUCCAGAUUCAAAGACAUUAUAGGCUUGAGUUCUCCUGUGAAGCCACACUUCAUUAACUAGGAUUCGAUCCAGUUUCUUACAUAUGAUCCCUUCAUCCCUCCUAUUGCACCAAGUGAACUUAGGGCCUUGAUACCCCAUAUCAGUGAAAUGACAAUACUGAACCACACUUUCAAACUCUCUCAUUCCUGUGGUUGUGAUCCCAGAGUCCUGAUAAUUUGAGUGCUCUCCUCCCCCCAGUAUUUCAUUAAAAUCUCCCAUGACUAUCCACUCCUUAUUUCUGAAUAAGGGUGAGCUUUGAUGUGACUUUAUAUCGUCCCAUAGCUCUCUUCUCUGCUCUACUGUGUUCUCCGCAUAGACGAAAGAACAAAAGAACUCUUCCUCCUCACCCUCCAGCAGAACUGAGACCGUGAUCAUUUGUUCUGACUUGAAAACAGGUGUGAGCCUGACGCGAGGGCUCCAAAGAACCCAUAUCCUUCCCUUCCUACUAAACUCGUAAUUGCUUAUACAAGACCAUCCUCUGCAGACUGAAUCAACAAUUGCAGCUGAUUUCCUUUCCUUCACUCUUGUUUCCAGCAAGCACCCAAACUGAAAAUCUUUACUUCUUAUCCAAUUAUGGACCACUGUGUGUUUUGAUGGCUUGUUGAAGCCUCUUACAUUCCAAAAAAACCCAGUCAUUGGGAAGAUUUGUUGGAGCUUCUUCUUCCUGAAUUACCAGGCAUGUUGAUCGCAAGGAUGACCUUAUGAUUCGUCUUGGAGUUUCGUGGGAUAUAGGGUCUUUUGUAAGUACUCUCUCCCUUUUCCGACUUUUCCUCAUCCCCUUUUGUCCCUUUCGUUUCAAACUUUUGUUUUCCUCCUUGUACUGUCUGUCCCCCUGCUACUUCAACUUGAGCUGGGUCUGAUGUCACAUCUUCCUCCAAAAGCUCUCCUCCUUCACGUUCUUCUGCCAUGUCCUUCCUUUCAUUUUUCUCACUCACCCCGAUUUCCUUCUGCUUUACAUUCCCCUCCAAUAUCACAGUUUCCUCCGGUAUUUUUGUAGUUUCAGAUUUCUCAUCCUGCUUCAAACUCUCAGAUUCCUCCAUAUUAUCUUUAACACUUUGCUUCUCUGGUUCUUCCACCUUCUCAGUUUCCUCUAGAUCAUUUAGCACUUCAGAUUUCUCAUCCUGCUUCAAACUCUCGGAUUCCUCCAUAUUAUCUUUAACACUUUGCUUCUCUGGUUCUUCCACCUUCUCAGUUUCCUCUAGAUCAUUUAACACUUCAAAUCUGGAAGCUAAUUUGACAUGACCGUACUUCAGCUCUUGCCUUUUGCUACUACUUUUACCAUUUGAGACAUUAUACCACUCUUCUACCACCUGUCCCUCUUCAAUUUCAUCAUCCUGCUCAAUGUUUUGCAAUUCUAAUUUAUCAUUCUCUACUACGAACACAUCGACCUCAUUGCCUCCACUCUCUCCUUGCUUUUUACUUGAUGUCUCCGUAGCUACUUUGGCUAGUUCCUUUGCCAUAUCCUGAACUGACAAUUCGUUACUCUCCUUUUUGCUCCUGACACAUGAUUUCUCGGCAUGUCCCCAUUUUGCACACGUGAGACACCGUAGAGGAAGCCAUGGAUAGAUGAACUCAACAUUGAAAGCCUUGCCAUUUUUUGUGAAUGUCAUCUGCUGCGGUAGCUCCUUUGUUAAGUCGGCAUUAAUAAACACCUUUGCUAGCUUGAAGUUUGUGCAAGACGCCGUCUCAGGGUGUAGUCUCACAGGGUAGCCAGCUGCACUUGUGAUAAAACUAAGCCCCUGCCAAGAGAACAUAUGCAUUGGAACAUUUUUGAGGUGGACCCAUAGUGGUAUAGACUUCACUUCUGGCUUCUCCUUUAGUUCAUCUGGAGUCCAUUUGGUAACUACCAAAGGUAUGUUCCCAAUGUUCCACAUGCCUCUUCGGAGAACCCUUGCUCUCACAUUAGCGUUUGUAAUGCGAAACUUCAUUGUAGUACCAUCAACCUCUUGUACAUCAAUCACUUGCUUCUUGUCCCCGUACGACCAAAUCUUGUUUACCACCGCAUGAAUACGAGCAAUAUGGGGAGCUGUGUCCAGGAAUUUUCCAAUCAAGUAAUCUUUCCAUAGUGGAUUUGCGUUGUUGAUAACCUCAUCUGGUAUCUCCACCGUUUGCUGUCCCUCAGACUCAGUGAUAGCUAGAUCGUAUUUUCUCAAGAUCUUCUUCUCUUGAGCCGCUGUAACCCAUGACAUCCCUUUUGAUGUCGUCGACCCCGAUUGACUCUUCGCAGCCAUACCCGGACCCUCUUUCUGUGUUUGUAACACCUGAACCGCCUCCUGACCCUCACCGCAGCAUCCCCCCUCGACGUUUGUUUAUUUUCCAGCCAUCGACCCAGCUCCCGAUCCGGGUCCCAGAUCCUCCUUUUGCACUUCUGCCACUCGCCCUACCCCCUGAGCACCUUCAACACUCGCCAGCACCCUUGAGCCGUCCGGCGGCUUCGUCAUGACGUAACCGCAGGUCGGAGUCCUUCGAAAUCGCCUAUCUCGCGAUCGCGUUGGAUGGAACCGACCGAAGAUCUGGAGUGUGGAGGAGGAAGUUGCCGGACGAUCUUGAAAAAAUCGCAGUUUGUUUCGCAAUCACUGUUCACUCAAUCGUUACUGUUCACUCAAUCCAACUCCUUUUGUCUAUAUUCACCAUUUUCAACUCCAUUAAAUUGGGGUUGAGUGUUUGCACUUACUUUCUUGUGUGUUUAUGGAAACGUUAAAAAGGUGUUGGGGACUUUCAUCACGGAAUGGGAUGAAGGUAAAGCUACCUGCAAAGGAGAUGCUUGCCACUAAGGAGUCUGCUCUGAUGUAUGCUGAGCGUUUGGUUGAGCUUGCUACUUCUCUAGGUUUUGAUGGUUGGCUGAUGAGUUUUGUAACAUAUCUGCAUCCAAAACAUACUACUAGUUAAGUGGAGAGAAGGUCAUUUCGUUUAUGUAAGCUGUUACAUGCAGAUUAAUAUAGAGAACGAAAUAGAUGAAGAACAGAUUCCUAAUUUGAAGGAAUUCGUAAGCCAUCUAACAAAAGUCUUGCAUUCAUCUACUCUUGGGGCUUUGGUUAUAUGGUGAGUUGUUAACAAGUUCUUUCUUUUGGUAUAACCACUUUGAUCUGAUCACCCUUUUUAAUUGCAGGUACGACAGUGUCACUGUUUCUGGCGAUCUCAAAUGGCAAGAUCAUUUGAAUGAGAAGAAUAAACCUUUCUUUGACUUGUGUGAUGGAAUCUUCAUGAACUAUACAUGGAAGGUACCGUUUUGGUUUUCGGUUUGUGUUUCUUCUAUUUGCCUUUGCAUGUUAUUUGAGUAAGUGAUGAUAUUUCAGGAGAGCUACCCCAACCUAUCAGCUGAAGUUGCUGGGGACAGAAAAUACGAUGUCUACAUGGGGAUUGAUGUCUUCGGUCGCGGAUCCUUUGGUGGUGGGCAAUGGACUGUAUGUUUUCAGAAACUCUUGCGAACACCAAUUAUUUUGUCAUUGUUUUUCUUCACUGUCUCAUCAAUAUCUAUAUAUAUGCUAGGUUGAUACUUCUCUUGAUUUGCUGAAGAGAAACAAUGUAUCAGCUGCCAUUUUCGCUCCCGGAUGGGUAUAUGAGACUGCACAACCUCCUAAUUUUCAUACAGCUCAGAAUAAGUACUACUCUUCUUUUGCCUGUUUGUUUGUAAAAUAAAUUGCCAUUUAUUUGUCAUCUUAUUAUCGUUCAUUCGUUCUCUUCAGAUGGUGGUCACUUGUUGAGAAGUCAUGGGGAAUAGUCCAAACAUAUCCACAAAUCUUGCCUUUUUACUCGGAUUUCAAUCAGGUAAACUGAGAUUGAUCUAGUCUUUCUUCCUAUCAGUUAUCUGAUGCUCCAUGGUACAACAUAUCUUGCCAAAGUCUCCAGGUUCAACCAUCUUAUAGUCAUUCAUUGUACAUAUAAUAUUAUCUUCUCAUCUGAUUGUUGUGUUAUUCACGUCAGCCACUCCUAGAGUUCAAGGAAGACAAGUUCUAAACUUGGACUCCUGCUUCGUUUCUCAUCCCCAUCACACGAAACUAAAUCAAUACUUGUGGCCCCACAAGAACCAAUCCCCAUAUUAGUAGAUCACAUGUUCUUGAAGUGCCUUGUCAUGGAUGGACACACACUGAUUGAAAUCUUUGCCUUUUGCUACGGACCAUAGAACUCGACAAAGACAUCAGAGUACGUUGCAUUGCUCGGUCACAUCUCAAUCAAAGAUCAUGUUCAGCUCCUCCAGCAAAACUUCGUUUCCUUACAUCAUGGGUCAUCGAGGCUCAUAACAUACAGCUUGUACCGUGUAAUUCCGGUUCUAAGAUCCUCAGGGUUAAGCUAGAAUGGAGACAGAAACAGCGUGAAGACUCUGUUCUCCCAGUGUACAAUGUGUAUGCAGAGAGUGUGAAGUCAACUGAUGUACUAAGAUCGAGGAAGGUUUUGGAGAAACCAAGAAGCGAGAGAGUGUUCCUCGGAAUCUCUCACGUACCAGCCUACUACGUUUCGGAACUGGUGCUAGAUUCGGACGUGAAAGGAGUCAGCUUCGUGGUUCAAUCCUGUGGUGAAGAUGGUUCAUGGAUGAAGGUAGAUGAUUCCCCUAACCUUCUUGUGGACUUGGAAGGUCUCUCGUAGGUUGCUUGAAACUAUGUAUGAAACGAUUAAUAAUGUAUAUUACAAAAUUACAUUAAUCUAGAAAGUGGGGAAAAACAUAAUAAAAAAAUCUGAACCAAGUCUCUUCCGUAUGGAAGUUUUGGUUUCUCAUCACUAGUAGUCUCUUUUCUGUAUAUUUUAUCGAAUGAAAGUGAGAUGAUUAUCACCAAAACUUGUUAUUUAUGGACGUGAGAAAGAACAAAUGCGGAAACUGAUUGGUUCAUCAACAUUUUUUUUUUUUGUUUACUACUGCCAUAUAUUGAAGAAACAAAAUAGCGAUGGAGUAAAAUCUUGGCUUCUUCCCGACGAUCUCGCCCUGAGAAAUAUUAUUUGAAGAAUAUACUCACUAUUAUAUGGCUCGAUCGUGAGUACAUUUAAUUCACGACGAAGAGUUGAUUCUUCUGUCACGAAGAAUGUUCUCAUUAUUAUAUGACUUCGAGCAGAUUGAUAUUUUUGUUCAUUUUGAUUGAUUCUUUUAUUCUUUUUGUCAUUUUGCAUAUAUUUCUCAUUUUGGAAGUCAUGAGGAAUAAACCAAAAAUAAAAAUAAGACCAUUCGCCGUUGAGUUUUCUUGAAAAGGUUGAUGUUUGUUUUCUUCUUACUAAAUGUAAGAGAUUCAUUCUUAUUUUGAAAUUCUAUCAAAAUUAAACUAGUUUAGCAGUUAAAUUAGUUCUUUUUUCAAAGCAAGGAAUGUCAUAAAAUCUUGAACUUUUAAAUAAUAAGUAAAAAAGAUAAAACAUUUAAUAUCAAAUCGAAAGACUACAAUAUAUGCAAAUAUGCAUGGGUCUCGUAGUCGUAAACGUUAGUACUUUUGGGUCAAUAUGCAUGGGUCGUUAGUAUACGUUAGAUUAAAUCCAAAUGUAAACCUAAGCAAAAUAAAACUUCAUAAAUUACGUUUUCUUUGGUUUAGACAAUUCUUUUUUUUUUUUUGAAAAUUCAUGUAAUUAGUGUAGGGGACCAAUAUGUGUAGAAAAUUGACUAUCCGACACAAAGAUUUUGCUUUCGACGUGACGAAUAAUGUAUUUUUCUCUAUGGAUUUUUUUUUGUGGGGAGUAAAUACAGAGUCUAUUAUUGUGUAUAUAAAGAAAUGACCAUGGAAGCAUAUUACUCAUCACCAAUUUCCCUUUUCUUUUUGCUCUUUCAGUUUUUGAUAUUCAAGAAAGUUAAAUAAGCUUAAAGAAGAAUGAAAGGCUAUUGGAACUUAACGAGUACCAUUUCUCUUACUCUUUCUAUACUUUUUUUAUUCGGCUACAGUUAUGAGGACGUGUCUGCGGUUCCAACUACGCACUUGUGUCGUCCAGAUCAAAGGGAUGCACUUCUUCAGUUCAAGAACGAGUUUGAGGUUCUAAACUCUUCCUUUGCUUAUGAUUGUUAUUUAGAUGAUUAUAUAGUAAAGCGUCAUCCAAAAACGGAAUCAUGGCGGAAUAACAGCGACUGUUGUACUUGGGAGGGUAUCACGUGCAACGUCAAGUCCGGUGAAGUGAUCGAGCUAGACCUUAGUUGCAGCUACCUAGGUGGCAGGUUUCAUUCCAAUAGCAGUCUUCAAAACCUUCAUUCUCUCACCACCCUAGACCUUUCAAGUAAUCGUUUUAGUGGUCAAAUCAUGUCUUCUAUCAGAAACCUUUCUCAUAUCACCUCUCUCGACCUUUCAGAAAAUGUUUUCAGCGAGUUCAUUCUUUCUUCGAUUGUAGACCUUUCGUAUCUCACCUAUCUCGAUCUUUCAUGGAACUUUCUUUCUGGUCAGAUUCCAUCUUCGAUUGGAAAUCUUUCUCAUCUCACUUCUCUUGACCUUUCUGGGAACAAUAUUGUUGGUGAAAUCCCAUCUUCUUUUGGCAAUCUAAACCAUCUGACCAGCUUAGAUGUUGCUGUAAAUAGGCUCAAUGGAAGCUUUCCCAUUGCACUACUAAAUUUGACGAAGUUGUCAUCUUUAGAACUCUAUUACAAUCAGUUCACAGGAACAAUUCCUCAUAACAUCACUUCACUAUCCAAAUUGACGACCUUUUAUGCAAGUAACAAUGCUUUCACUGGAACCCUGCCUUCUUCUCUCUUCACCAUUCCUUCUAUUGAUUACGUUAAUUUGUCUGAUAACCAACUCAACGGUAAUCUUGAGCUUGGGAAUAUAUCUUCACCACCUAAGCUACGAGUGUUAGUCGUUGGCAAUAACAAGUUGAGAGGGCUGAUUCCGGGCACGAUAUCUAAAUUUACCAACCUUGUCAGACUUGACCUUUCCCGUUACACAACACAAGGUCAAGUUGACUUUAGUAUCUUCUCACAUCUCAAGUGGCUCAAACUUCUUGAUCUAUCCGAUUUGAACGCGACCACUACGAUUGACAUGAAUGAUUUCUUGUCAUAUUUUAAGAGGCUCGGUGUGUUGGAUCUCUCAGGCAACCAUGUUUCAGCCACAAACAAGAGUCCAAUUUCAGAUCCCUCUUCUUUGUAUCAGUUGUACUUGUCAGGCUGCGGUAUCACCGAGCUCCCGGAGUUUGUAAGAUUGCAAAAUAUGGAGAAGCUAGACAUUUCUAACAAUAAAAUCAAAGGACAAGUGCCUGGCUGGUUAUGGAAGAUACCAAAGCUGAUUUACCUGAAUCUUUCCAACAACACCUUCACUGGCUUCGAAAACUCAACGAAACAUGGGCUAUCUUUAAUGGCCUUGUUAGCCUCCAACAACAAUUUCACGGGAAAGAUUCCCUCUUUAAUAUGUGAUUUGCGCUUUGUAUUCAUUCUUGAUUUAUCAAACAACAACUUCAAUGGUUCAAUCCCUCGUUGUCUGGGAAAUCUCAACUAUACUCUUACAGAUCUAAACCUUGGUCAAAAUCAUCUUCAUGGAGGUCUUCCGGAGAAUAUAUUUGGAAACUUAAGAGCGCUUGACGUCGGUCAUAACCAACUUACGGGAAAGCUUCCAAGAUCUUUGAUCCGGUUCUCUAGUCUUGAAGUUCUGAACGUGGAAAGCAACUUCUUCAAUGAUACGUUUCCAUUUUGGUUGAGUUUUCUACCAGAGUUAAAAAUUCUUGUGUUACGCUCCAAUGCCUUCUAUGGAACGAUACAUCAUACUUCGUUCCCUAAAUUGCAAAUCAUCGACAUAUCGCACAAUCACUUCAAUGGAGCUUUGCCUUCACACUACUUUGUGAAGUGGAGUGCUAUGUCAUCACUUGGGUCAAUUUAUUAUCAGCCUGAUGAAAUGUACAUGGGAGAUUCAUAUUACCAUGAUUCAGUGGUGUUGAUGAAUAAAGGUAUAGAGAUGGAGCUUGUACGUAUCCUAAAGAUCUACACAGCACUCGACUUUUCAGGGAACAAAUUUGAAGGAGAGAUCCCAAGGUCCAUUGGUCUAUUAAAAGAGCUUCUUGUGCUCAACUUGUCGAACAAUGCUUUCACUGGCCACAUCCCUUCAUCUAUGGGAAACUUGACAGCUCUUGAGUCAUUGGACGUUUCCCAAAACCAGCUUUCAGGAGAAAUUCCGCAAGAGCUAGGGGAACUCUCAUUCCUUUCGUACAUGAACUUCUCUCAUAACAAGCUUACAGGUCUAGUACCAGGAGGCACUCAGUUUCGAAGGCUGAACUGCACUUCUUUUGAGGAUAAUCCGGAACUUUCUGGCCCUUCUCUUGACGAAAUUUGCAGAGAUAUUCACACGCCAACACCGCAUGAACCGUCGGAAGAAGAAGAAGAAGAAGAGGAAGAGGUGUUGAGUUGGAAAGCAGCUGUAAUAGGAUUCAUACCUGGUAUUGCCUUUGGAUGGGUGAUUGGAUAUAUACUUUUUUCCUACAAACCACAGUGGUUCUUCAUGAACCCUUUUGCCCGAAACAAGCGCAGAAUCAGCAGCACCACUACUCAUUAAAGUUCUUUGUUGGCAGUUUUUUUUUACGUUUUAUUAAACUUCUUUGUUUCUCUGUAAUUGAACAACUAUGUUUCUUAAGCUGAAAGUUACAAGCACAGUCAAAGAUGUGUCGUUUUUUCCCCUCUUGUGAAUCUAAACAUCAACUGUUUAGACGUGAGACGAGCAAUGAACAGAUGAUCCACAUCAACGUUAUAAUCAACACAGGGCUUUAGAAAAGGAUCAAUACUAUUAAAAAGGAAAAAGUUUUAAAAAAUCUACUUAAAAAAAAUUGUUGCAUCCUUUCAUUUUUAGUCCAACCUAUAAUAUAUAACCAAAUAUUAUAAUAACAUUUAUUAUAACAACCAAAUAAGAUUCUAGCGAAUAUCUUUCUCUAAUAGUUUUGGUAAUAUAUUAAUUCUCUAAUUGUUAGAUAUUUGUUCAUUAUUUAGAAAAUCUGUGUGACAUAUCUGGUCUAUUAAAAAUAUGUAUCACUAGAUAUUACGGAUUACGGUUACCAAAUAACAUUUGAAAAGAGUUUUUGUAUAUAUGUCGAUAUGUUACAUUGCAUUCAAAUAUAUAGGUUACUUUCGUGGUUUUCAAAUGAAUCAGUCCAAAUCUUAUAGUUUUCUAGAUUCCCUAAUAAUAUAAUUGUACAAUAUUAUACUAUAUUUUCUUAUAUCACACAUUAGUAUAUUAAAUAUAUAUUUACUUAUCCCAUGCGGUAAUAUAGUUAAAGGGAUAAUGAUGUAUUCCUAUAUACUAGGGACUUAGGUUUAUCUACACGUUCAUAGAUUCUAUAUUCUCGUUGUAUAAGUACCAAGAUUGGUUGAUGAAUAAACACAGACUUUACAUUAUAUUUUAUGGUAUCAGAGCUAAGAUUUCAUAACUUAUUUUUUUUUUUCAAUACUAUUGAUCUUCUUCUAUCUUCUACUACUACGGUUCAUCAACCAUAAUGGCUGAGCACGACACGCCAGCUGUUUCUACAACUACGCAGGCGACUUCCAGAGAUUCGUCACCAUACUAUCUACACCCAUCAGACAAUCCUGGAGCCCUUAUUACUUCUGUUCUACUUAAACAAGACAACUAUACUGAAUGGGCUACAGAACUCCGAAAUUCUCUCCAAGCGAAACAGAAAACAUGUUUUAUUGAUGCUACCAUUCCAAAACCUACAGACGGACCAGACUUAUCGCGAUGGCUUGCAGCAAAUUCUAUGAUUGUCGGAUGGAUUCGCACUUCAAUCGAUUCAAAACUCAGAUCAACAGUUACUCAUGUGCCUGAAGCACACAAGCUUUGGGAAUCUCUGCGUUUUCGUUUUUCUGUCAAAAACGGGACCCGUCUACAUCAGCUACAAGAUGAAAUAACAAAUUGCAAGCAAGAUGGACAGACGGUCCUUGACUACUAUGGUCGGUUAACUAAACUCUGGGAAGAGUUGCAGAAUAUGAAGACAACUCGACCUUGUACGUGUGCUGCUGCGACUGAUAUUGAAAAAGAAAGAGAAGACGCGAAAGUUCAUAAAUUCUUGUUUGGUCUAGACGACUCGCGAUUCUCUGCCAUCCGUUCUCGCAUCACCGACGAAGAUCCAUUACCGGAUCUCAAUAUUGUUUACUCAAGGGUGAUUCGUGAGGAGCAAAACAUGGCAACUACCCGAUCUAAAGAGCAACGAACCGAAGCUUUAGGGUUCUCAGUUCAAACCGAGAAUUCCAAAGAGUUGGUUUCUGCCAAAACUGAUACUACUCCACGACCAAGAGAUCCUUCUCGAACUUGUACCCAUUGUGGUCGUACAGGUCACGAUAUAACAGAGUGCUUCUUGGUCCAUGGCUUUCCUGACUGGUACACUGAACAACAACAACAACGCAAUGGUUCAUCAUCAUAUCGAGGUGGACGUGGUGGUCGUUCUAACAACAAUCGUGGGCGUGGCCGCGGAAGAGCUAAUGCUGCACAAAGCAAUUCUCACCAACAAUCGGAUCAGAUUGCAUCUCUGAUCGCACUUCUCCAAAACCAACAAAGCAAUUUAUCAUCGGAACGCUUGUCGGGUAAAACAAUGCUUACUGACGUUAUUAUUGAUACAGGGGCAUCACACCAUAUGACGGGUGAUAUAUCAUUAUUACAUGAUGUCUAUGAUAUCCCAUCAUCAUCGGUUACAUUUCCUAAUGGACGUGAUUCUCUUGCUACGAAGCAAGGAUCUCUGCGUCUCAGCAAGGAUUAUGUGCUUCACGAUGUUCUCUGUGUCCCCGAUUUCUAUUGCACACUCAUAUCAGUUUCGAAACUUUUAAAACAAACUGGAUGCAUAGCAAUAUUUACUGAUACAUUGUGUGUUUUACAGGACCGUUUUUCGAGGACUCUGAUUGGAGCAGGUGAAGAACGUGAGGGGGUGUACUAUUUUACGGGGGUUAAGGUUGCACGAAUUCAUGGAGCUUCUAAGACAAAAUCUUCUUCUUCAACUCUGUGGCAUCGUCGACUUGGCCAUCCAUCCUACAAAGCUUUGUCUUCUUUACCGGUGUUUCAGAAUUUUAAAAUAGAUUUUAGUGAGUCUAAAUGUGAUAUUUGUUUCAAAGCAAAACAGACUCGCCAAGUGUUUCCCGAUAGUCUUAAUAAAGCUGUUUUUCCUUUUGCAUUAAUCCACUGCGAUGUUUGGGGACCUUAUAGAACACCAGCCUCUUGUGGGGCUGUAUACUUUCUUACCAUAGUGGAUGAUUACUCGCGAGCUGUAUGGACUUAUUUGAUGCUUGAAAAAUCAGAAGUCUCUUCUCUUAUACGCAACUUUUGUGCGAUGAGUGAACGCCAGUUUGGACAUAAAGUACAGACCAUACGGACAGAUAAUGGAACGGAAUUCAUGACACUCGGACCUUACUUUCGCGAGACCGGUAUCAUUCAUCAGACAUCUUGUACCUAUACACCCCAACAAAACGGUAGAGUGGAAAGGAAACACAGACACAUAUUGAAUGUGGCUCGUGCCUGCAUGUUCCAGUCACGAUUACCUAUUGAAUUUUGGGGAGAGAGCAUCUUGGCUGCGGCUCACGUCAUUAACCGAACACCUACUAACAUUCUUAAUGGUAAAACGCCUUAUGAAGUUCUUCAUGGUCGACCACCUAUCUAUGAGCAGUUAAGAGUGUUUGGUUGCCUCUGUUACGCUCACCUAAGACCUCGUGACAGAGACAAAUUUGCUACAAGAAGUCGAAAAUGCAUAUUCGUAGGUUACCCCUUUGGCAAGAAAGCUUGGCGCUUGUAUGAUGUCGAAACUAAUGAGUUUAUUGUUAGCCGGGAUGUGGUGUUUUUCGAGGAUCAGUUUCCAGGUAUUGAAGACUUACCUUCGGUUACAGUACCAGUUUCACAAACUGCUCUUCCUAUUGACGACUGGUUGAUAAAUUUUGAAACUCCAGUUCUCUCUACUACACCUGAACCUUCUCCUACUAUACCCACGACUUCCUCUCCUACUCACAAUACUACUACUACACCUGAUGUUUCUUCUCCGCCUUUACCAUCUACACCUACUGCCCCGUCUACAAGCAAUUCCCCACCAGAUACUGUUGUCCAACCAACUCCUAACCCUACUUCUGCAUCUCCACUACCGUCUCCAUCUUCACCAAUACGUGAUCAUGACAUAUCGGGAUCUUCUCCUGGCCUACUUGAUCUUCUUGGACGUGGUCAUCGAACAAAGAAACCAUCGGUCUUAUUGAAGAAUUUUCUCACGAACUCUGCAACUACAAACACCCCUCACGUUCUCAACAAGCAAUAUCAGAGUUCUCCAUCAACGGUCUCAGGUAAGACACUGUAUCCCAUUGCUGAUUACUCAUCUACCUCUGCUUUUACUGCUAACCACCAGGCGUUUCUAGCAAAAAUUACUACAGAUUUUGUUCCAAAGAAUUAUAAAGAAGCCGUCAAUGAUCCAAGGUUCAACGGUGCAAUGAAAACAGAGGUAACAGCUUUAGAAGCUAACCAUACUUGGGACAUUACAGCUCUCCCUCCUGGCAAGAAGGCAAUCGGGUGUGGCUGGAUUUAUACAAACAAGUAUAAAGCAGAUGGUACUCUUGAACGACCAAAAGCUCGCCUGGUUGCUCGUGGUAAUAGACAAAAAGAGGGACUUGAUUACAAAGAUACAUUCGCCCCUGUGGCAAAGAUGAAUACGGUUCGGUUUCUUCUGAAAGUUGCGGCUGCUAAGCGAUGGGAGAUCCACCAAAUGGAUGUCCACAACGCGUUUCUACAUGGAGAUCUCGAAGAAGAAAUAUAUAUGGAACUUCCUCCUGGUUUUAAAUCUGAUGAUCCAUCCAAAGUUUGUCGUCUUCGGAAGUCUUUGUAUGGUCUUAAACAAUCUCCUCGCUGCUGGUUUGCGAAACUUAGUCAAGCUCUCAAGUCGUUUGGCUUUGUUCAAAGCUACGAGGAUUACUCUCUGUUCUCAUUCAUGGAAGCUAACAUAUGUCUCCAUAUUCUGGUUUAUGUGGAUGAUUUUAUAAUUGCUGGCAAUGACGCUGCUACUAUUCAAAGAUUCAAGGAUUACUUACAUCGAUGCUUCAAAAUGAAAGACUUAGGCAAACUUAAAUAUUUUUUGGGUUUGGAAAUUGCUAGAGGACCUGAAGGGAUAUUUGUCUCUCAGAGGAAGUAUGCACUCGAUAUCAUAACCGAGUGUGGCUUACUUGGAGCGAAACCAGCGCCAGUCCCAACUGAACUCAACCACAAACUUGCACUCGCCAAGGGCAUGAGACUUCAGGAUCCGGGCAAGUAUCGUCGUCUUGUUGGACGAUUGAUAUAUCUUACUUUCACACGUCCGGAGCUAAGCUACAUUGUUCACAUUCUAUCACAAUUUAUGCAUAAACCGCUUGAAGAUCACUGGGCAGCUGCGUUACGAGUCAUCCGCUAUCUUAAAGGCUGUCCAGACCAAGGUAUCAUGCUGUCUUCCGACGCAAACCUUACUCUUACCGCAUACUCUGACUCGGAUUGGUCUGCGUGUCCUAUAACACGUCGUUCUCUAAGUGCCUACGUUGUUCUUCUUGGUGAUUCUCUUGUUUCGUGGAAAACAAAGAAGCAACGGACAGUGUCUAGAUCAUCAGCUGAAGCUGAGUAUAGAUCAAUGGCAGAUACUACAUGUGAGUUAAAAUGGCUCAAACGACUUCUUCUCCAGUUCGGCUUCUUUCAUCCUCAACCCAUGAGACUUUUCUGUGACAGUCAAUCUGCGCUCCAUAUUGCUAAGAAUCCUGUGUUCCAUGAACGUACCAAACAUGUCGAAAAUGAUUGUCACUUUGUUCGAGAUGCUGUGCGUGACAAGCUUAUUACUACUGAACACAUUACAACGAGGAAUCAGCCUGCGGACUUACUUACCAAAGCCUUGCCCACUCCGACAUUUCAUCAUUUGUUGUCCAAGUUGGGAAUUCGAGAUAUGUCAUUACCAACUUGAAGGGGGGUAAAGGGAUAAUGAUGUAUUCCUAUAUACUAGGGACUUAGGUUUAUCUACACGUUCAUAGAUUCUAUAUUCUCGUUGUAUAAGUACCAAGAUUGGUUGAUGAAUAAACACAGACUUUACAUUAUAUUUUAAUAGUACUCAUUUUCAAACUGUACUAUUAAUCAAUUUUCACUGUUUGGCUUCUUAAAAUAUUGGCUAGGUAAUUUAAAAUAUAUGAAUAGUAGCCAAUCAAAAACUUUAAGUUCUAAACUAAUAUUUGAUUGUUUAAACUUUUACUAAACUAUCCUAGAUUUUUUCCAAUUCUAAUAAUAAUAAUAAUAAUAAUAAUAAUAAUAAUAAUAAUAGAAAAGAGAGUAGGCUUAGGCAUUCGAUUUUUAGGUCAGGUACGGAUCAGUUUCUUUCGCGCAUAGGUCUUUCGGAUCCUAGACAUUUAGACCUAAGUAGGUAUUUGAAUUUUUUUUUUGUUUUGGGUUGGUGUCAGUUCUUCUUGUGUUUGGAUCAAUAAUUAAGAUACAUGUAAACUACAUAUAAUUUUUGGAUACCUAAUGAGUUCAGAUCGGUUCAGAUAUUUAGGAUCUAAAAAAGAUUCGAAGUACCAAAAACUUUAAAAAUACAUGAAACACAAAAAUAUUCAAAAGUAUUUAAAUACUCAAAAUGAUGUGAAUAUAUUAUUCAUUAAUAUAAUUGUUUUUGUACUGUUUUUAUCUUGUGCAGUUUUGAAAGUGCAAUAUGUAUUAUACUAAUUUAUGUCAUUAAUUUAAAUGACUAACAAAUGAUUGAAAAAAAAAAAUUUCAUAUGAACAUGUUUAUUUUCAAUCUGUUCAUCAUCAAAUGUAAUGGCAUGUAUAAAUGUUAAUUGUAUAACGUGAUGUAUCAUAGAUGAAAGAUUGCAAAAAAAAAAAAAUUAACAUCGAAAACUCAUUGCAAAUAAUCUAAGAGUUUUGGAGUAAUACAACCAAACAAUUAAACUCUAAAUCACCAAUAUACAACAUAAUAAACCUCAAUAAAACAGAGAUAAUGUAGAAAAAUACAGAUUUAAAAUGACAAUGACAAUGACAAAGAUGAUACAUUACCAUUUUUGGUUCAAUUAUUAAAUGAAACAUACUUUUUAUGAAUCAGACUUAGUAUAGGUUAUUGAGUCAAAUAUUUAAAUCAUACAAAUAAUUCAAUAUCACAUAUAUGUAUGGCCAAAACCUAUAUAUAGGUUAACAUAGAUGUAUGUCAAAAAUCUAAAAUACAAGUAUACCAUCAAUGAAAUAUCUAAGUUAGUGUUAAAUUAAGUGUCAUUUUUCGUUAAUAUAACUUAAACUUAAUAAGAAAAAUACCACUAACAAUUUUUUUUUGACAACAAUACCACUAACAAUUUAAAACAAUAAAUUAAAUUAUUGCAUGUGAACUAUAAAAUUUUAUAUCACUAAUCAUGUAAAACAAAUAUGUAUAUGUUAUGAACCAGAUUGUGGAUGGUUCAUAACCAAGAGAUUAUGAUUUGUAAUCUUUCCAUUUAUUUAUGACGGUGUAAUCUUCUAUAUAAGAAACCUCUAUGUUAUGAAUAAAGAUAGAUUUUUCCAUUACUUUUAUAACACGUUAUCAGCACGAAACUCUAAAUCUCUAAGCUAAUACCCAAAUAGGAAAACCCUAAAACCCUAACCCUAGCCGGUGAUCCGACGAACCCUAAACCCCGAUCGCGUCUCUUGUUCCCGCAUCUGUUCCAGCUCGCGUCCCCGAUCAACUUCAGCCCAAGGCAUUCAUGAUCCUAGCUCAGACGUUCGCGGCCCGAGAGCAGCUCCAGCACGCGACAUCUUCCUCGUUCGCUACAACAUCAGACAGCUCGCGUCCCGUUCGUGCCCAGCUCGUGGCUCAACUCCUUUGGUGGUCCGAUUCAACAAUCAUCUAAGGUUAAAAGGUAUUUCAAAACCUAAGAACCCAUAAUCGAACAUGGAUUGAUUGAUAAAAAAUGAAACCCUAAAACCCUAAUCUUUAUGAAUCAAAACCAUAGGGUAAUAGAUCAAAAAUCCUAAUUGAGUAAUUUGAGGUUUAAAUCCGUGUGAGUUAGGAUUGAUAGUUUUUAUAACCUGAUUGAAUGAUUUGAGGUUUAAUAUUGCAUGUUAGAAUCUGUUAUAAUAUAAACCCUAAUUCGAAUUGAUAAACCCUAAAAUAGAAUCUGUGUAUUGCAUAAUCCGAAUUGAAUGUUUUGAGGUUUCAUAUUAUACUAGGUUGAUAGUUUCAUGAUAUAAUCAAUUGUUCUGAGGUUUAAUAUUAUUUGCUAGAAGCUGAUUGAUUGAUAAAACCCUAAUUUCGAUUGAAACCCUAAACCCUAAUUUGCGUAUUCCUAAAAUCAGAUUGCUUGAUUCCAUCUUGCUAAUAUCAGCCUUGAAACGGAUAAAUAUCAGCCUUGAAACGGAUUAAUAAAAUUGAUAGAAUCAGCCUUGAAACUGAUUGUUUUGGUUUUUCAUGCUUCAAACCCUAUUUUUGGAUCGAAACCCUAAAUUGUGUAAUGCUUAAAUCCGUUUGAUUACUUUUGAUUAUUGAUCCAAUUGCUACUCUUGAUAAAACCUAAUUGAAUCUGAUUGUUAGUCUAGCUAAAUCUCAUACCUGAAACUGAUUGAUUAAUUGUUAAAUCUUGAUUGAAUGUUUUAAUAUUACCCUUGCACAUAUAGAAUCCGAUUGCUAAGAUUGAGUGCAUCAUAUCUACUUGGCCGUGUGGCCAGUUUGCAUCAUAUCUACUUGGCUGAUUGAUUACGCGUUUAAGCACACACCAAUUAACCUAAUGUGCCAACAAUACCACAAUCGAAUGGUAUGUCAUUGUAGCAUUUUAGGAUCGAAUCCACAGAGAACUAGAGACUUAUAACACCAAGAAUACACAAACCUUCCUAAUCUAAGCAAACAAGAAGAUAGAUGAUUUGUAACAAACUAAUAUCCUAGAAAUAUAAACAAGGUGAUCUCAGAUCCAAUCAAGAAAUAAGUGCAAGAAUUCAAUCAAAUACUAAGGAUGGAUCCAUGGUAAGGAUAAUUGAUAUAAAAUGAUCAAGGUUCAAUCUAAAGGUGGCAACAUUCAAUCAAUCUAUCAACCUUAGGCUUAGACACAAUCCUAAACAAACUCUAUCUCUAGAUGGAUGUUCAUUCACUAAGAUAACUCAAGCAUCAAAUCUCUUUGGUUGAAUAUUAUCUAAGCAAUCAUUAAAAUCAAGUCUAUUAGCCAUUUUAACACCUUUAACAACAAAUCUCUUUGGUAAAGAAUGUUAAAAGCUUAGGAGAGUUGGUUCAGACAUUUCAUCAANNNNNNNNNNNNUGUUUCUUGCCCACUCUUUUGAUAAUAAGAAAGCAAAUAUUAUACAGAAAAGUAGGAAAAAUCGUGCAAAGGAAAGGUGGGUGGAAGAAAGUGGGAAGUUGGUUAAUCCCAUCAACUUUCCAGUGGUCCCCGGCAAGGGUUGAUACACCUGUAGUAAAUCGAUUAUAACUUAUCCAAUACAGCUCCAAAUGACUUGAAACCACUUCCAUUGGAAAGCUAACUCAAUUUCCAGUGUCUCCACAAAUUUUGAGCUUCAGAAAAGAUCUUUAAGGCUUUCAUCCGUGUUCAUCUUUCACUCUCCGGAUUCGGGAGCGACCUCGCUGUGUCGCUGCGAGAGGUCGCUCCGGAUUCGUUGUCUCCGGGUGAUCAAUACGCGAGCGACUCUUCCCUGUCGCUCUAGUAAGGUCGCUCUGAUAGGGAGAUCAUAGCGACGUCAAGGUGUCGCUCCGGACUGGUCGCUCCGGGCGAUCAAUACGCGAGCGACUCUUCCCUGUCGCUCUAGUAAGGUCGCUCUGAUAGGGAGAUCAGAGCGACGUCAAGGUGUCGCUCCGGACUGGUCGCUCCCAUGCCUUGCUCGCCGAAUGACCACUCUAAACACUACUUUUUGACUCCAAUUGCACUCAAAAUCCCACCAAUGGUCCUCUAAUUCAUCCAUGGUGCUCUCCAACACCUGAUAUGUACAAAUGCAAUGAUAUGCAACCUAAAUGUGCCUAAAUGAUGCUCUAAAUGACCAAACCAUGCAAGAAUAAGAAGUUAAAAACAUGUAAAUUCACAAGAUAUCACUGUGUGGCCAGUUUGCAUCGUAUAUCAUCAUGACCAACAUGUUUAUGUUAUACGCAUGAUCUGAUUAUUAUCACCUUUGCAUGAUCUGAUUGUUUUAAAUUAAGGUUCCAUAAUUCCACUCAUGUACAUAUAGAAUCAGUAUGCUAGGUUUGCAUUAUAACCAUAUGACCACAUAUUGAUCAAAAAAAAAACAUAUGGCCACAUGAAAACAUAUAGAAAUUGCUUGUUUUGUCGAUACCCUUGCUUGAUAAAUCUGUGUGACUUAUUAUGCAUCAUAUAUCACUUUGGCCGUGUGGCCUUAUUGCAUUAUAUCACAUUUGGCCGUGUGGCUUGUUUGCUUAUUAGAAAUGUAUUGACUUGAUAGCAUGUCUUGUUUAUGGCCGUGUUUUAAAUAUUUUAUGAGAUCUAAAAUUGAUUGAUAUAUUAUUUGAGAUGUCGAAAAUCAACUUGGAUUUUGCUGCCCUAAAUCUCUCAUGAGAUAAUUAUUUGAAAUAGGCACUGGAUACUGAGUUUAUCUUAAAGUCAAAGGACUUGGUGAAUGAAUCACAAAAGGCGAUAAUGCCAAAUGAGAAAGAUUGAUACAUGGCAAUAUUAAUUAUUAGCCAUCAUCUUAAAAAGAGCCUCAAAGAUCAGUAUCUGACUAUAGAGAAUCAUCUAGACCUUUGGACAGAGUUAAAAAAAAUCGAGAAAUGAUCACCAAAGAACGGUGUUAUUACCAACGACCCUAUUUGAUUGGAGGAAUCCCAGAUUCCAGGACUAUAAGUCCGUGGAUGAGUCUAUUGCUAGCUGGGCAAAAUAAUGGAUUACUGAUGAGAAAAAGUGACUUGAGACCUCCUGGAUUAACCCUAUUACCUGAUUCCAAUAAGGCCGCAGAAAAAAAAAAAAAGGUAACCACGUCCAGAAUGAUAGACCACACGGUCAUAGCCGUGGAGGGUGGAAAGGACGUGGCCAUGGCCACUAUAACACAUUUGGCCGUGGUAAUCACUAUGGCAGAGGCCGUGGGUAUCAACCCAAUUUGAGCCAUGGUCAAGGCAGUGGCCGUGGUAUAUCCUUUAAACCACAAAGCUCGACCAAGUCAGUGUGCCAUAGAUGGAAUGGGAAACCAUUGGGCUAAGAUAUGAAGGACUCCCAAACAUUUUUGUGACCUCUAUCAAAGAGGGUCUGAAAGGGAAGAAUCCUGAAACACACUUGGUCUAUAAAGAUGGUGAAAAUAAUCUCGAACAUGAUCAAGAUGAUCUUAUGGAAUAUGAGACUUAUGAUUAUCUAAAAGAAUCAAGUUGAUAAUCUGAUUUCGACAUCAAACUUGUGUGAUUGCUUUGCUUGUAUGCUUUCUCUGAUUUUUAUCUCCUUGAAUUUAUUUCUAUUACAUUGUCUGCUUAGAUUAAAUGAAUGAAUGAUUUUUCUAUAUGAGUACACUGAAAAACGCCAAUAUAAGUACUAAAGCAGGUAUCGCCAGUCUGAAAGAAGACUAUGGCUAGGCUAAUAUAUUAUUGCCUAAGGGUAUGCAUCUAGAAAUCAGUGAUGCCUUAUAUUCACCCAGCUCUAAGAGCAAGAGCAGCCUAUUGAGUUUUAAAGAUAUAAGAAUGAAUGGUUUCCAUAUUGAAACAAUGGGCGAAGGAAACAAAGAGUUCCUUCAGAUAUAUGUAUAAAAUCGCCCAAGGCCAUAAUAAGUCCUAAAGACUAUACAUGCAUUCUCUACCGACCUAGACUAUGCAUAAAUCAGUAUGAUUGAGGCUAAAAGCCUGCGAAAAUAUACACUUUAUGGCACGACCGGAUUGGCCAUCCUGGUCCAAACAUGAUGCGAAAAUUGAUAUUCAAAAGGCACACAUUAAAAGAUAAGAAGAGUUAUCCCAAAGAAUCUCACGUGUGUAGCAUGUACACAAGGAAAACUCAUUAGGCCAUCACCAGUAAAACGGCUACGAGCCCCUUUUUCAUAAUAAAUACUAUAUGUAUAGAUACUACUGGUGAAUACAUGUCCCAAGCGUUUAAAUGAUUAUGGUAUGUCCAUAGGGGUAAGUGUGGACAAUUCUGUGAUACAUGUCCAUACCAAGAAAGGAUAUACCAUAACUUAUGAGGUCAAAACUCCCAUUCACAGCUUGGGCCACACGAAAUUUACAUGCACCUAAGCUAAUACGCAUCAUGCUAUUUAGUGAGCAUAGAUAUCCCGUAUCACAAUUAUUAACGGGUCAAAAGCCAGACAUACCCCAUCAUAAGACAUUUGGAUGUGCUGUCUAUGUACUAAUUGCUCCACCACAGAGAACUAAGAUGAGACCUCAAAAGGAGGAUGGGGAUAUAUGUUGGAUAUGAUUCUCCCACAAUAAUAAAAUACUUUGAGCCAACUAUGAGUGAUUAAAUUUGAGGCCAGGUACACGGAUUAUUUUAAGACUAGGAGGAGAGAAAAAUAAUAAAGCUGGUAAAAGAAUGGUAAAAGAAAUAGAAUGGAAUCAACCAUCAAUGUCUUGGCAAGAUCCUCGGACUAAAGAAUGUGAAAUAGACGUCUAAAGAUUAUACAUUUACAAAGCUAGCUAAUCAAAUGCCAGACACAUUUGCUGACCCGGAAAAGAAUGACUAAGUCAUAUAUAAACCAGCUUGUAAAGCACCAACGAAUUUGAUGUCGAAGAAGAGACACAGUCAAGUUGAUACAGAUUCUAGACAACGUAUGAACGUGGUGGACCAAUAGGUUCCAAAAGAUAAGAAUCCUCGGAAACAAAAGAAAUGUGCAGAGAAUGAUAAUCAAAAUCCAAAUCCGAGGUUACUAAGGAAACCAUCCCAGACAUGGAGAUAAGGCCGGCCGGCUCUAAGGUAGAGGUACCAAACAAUGUAGCUUGGGACGCCAAGCUGCAAAAUAUAAAGGUCCUGAUAAUAAUGAAUCUCAAUCGAUUAUAUCAAGUAUGGAACAUAAUGGAACCAAUAAGGAAUGUCGACAUAAGAUGAUUUAUUUGCAUACAAGGUAGCACUUGAAUUUAUGAAUAUAAGCGAAGAUCAUGAACCCACGUCAAUAUAAGAGUGCGCACUCGUAGAACAGAUUGGAUUUAAUGGAAACAUGGGGUUAAAUAGUUUAAAGAAUAAAGGUAUAUUUGGCCAUAUGAUUAAGACGCCAUAUGAUGUUAAAACCAGUGGAUAUAAAUGGGUCUUGUGAGAAAUAGAAAUAGUGAGAUAUAAAGCUGAUGUUGCACAAGGAUUCUCACAAAGACCAGUAAUAGAUUAGGAGGAGACAUACUCUUAUGUGGUGGAUGCAACUACUUUUAGAUUUCUCAUAAGUCUGGCUAUAUAAGAGAGAAAAUUAGACUUGCAGCAAGUUGAUGUAGUGACUGCAUAUUUAUAUGGUCCACUGGAUAAUGAAAGUACUAGAGGGUAUUGAGCUGAAAGUACAACAAGUUCUCGAGAACAAUAUUGAUAAUCAUCAAAGUAUAUGAUCUGAAUAUCCUAGGAACCUCUGGAUACAAUUUCCCAAACAGUUGAAUAUCUCAAGAAAGAGUUUGAGAUGAAAGAUCUUGGAAAACAAAGUUUUGUUUGGGAUUACAGCUUGAGUACAUUAACAAUGAAAUCCUUGUGCAUCAAAUAGUAUAUACAGAAAAGGGUACUCAAGAGAUUUAAUAUGGACCAGUCUCAACAUUUAUCUAGUACAUGGGCGUGAGAUCACUUGUUUUGGACACUGAUCCAUUCAGUCCAAAGGUGGAUGAUAAAGAAGUCCAUUUAGUCCUGAGAUGGACGAUGCAGAAGUCUUGUUUUAGACACUGAUCUGAUUGGUCUAUAAGAAGGACGAUGAAGAAACCUUUGAUUUUGAUUUAUUUUAUACUAACCAGCCCAAAGAGGGGUUAUUUGGUUUUGUUGAUUUGUUUUCAGACAUGUUAUGUUUUACACAUGGUGGUACACGCAUAUCACGGCAACAUCAUCCAAGAUUUCGUGUGUGUGUAUUUGAGGUUGAUGACUCAAUAUGUUCGAUCAGAUUGUGGCAUGGCCGAUGGUAAAGAAGAACCAACUAUCAUGUUCGAGGACGAAGCAUAUUCUGCCCAAGAUCUUCAUCACCCACGGAUUGCAAAAAAUUGGAGAAGUCCAAGGGACCUUCAGUAAUGUCCAAAUCAGGGGGAGUAAUGUGUGUUGUACUAUUUUUCCUUCACCAUGGUUUUGUCCCAAUUGGGUUUUCCUGGUGAGAUUUUAAUGAUGCAACAUUAAAGCACAUUACAAGCUCUAAAUGGUUAUGGCAUCCAAGGGAGAGUGUUAUGAACCAGAUUGUGGAUGGCUCAUAACCAAGAGAUUAUGAUUUGUAAUCUUUCCAUUUAUCUAUGACGGUGUAAUCUCUUAUAUAAGGAACCUCUAUGUUAUGAAUAAAGAUAGACUUUUCCAUUAUUACUUUUAUAACAGUAUACUUAUAAAAAUUGAAAUAAUUACCCACACGGUUGUGCGGGUAGAGAUCUAGUUUCUUAUUAAAUGUUUUGUUUUCUCCAUGUCCACACUCCCUUGUUUCUGAUUCAACCUUUGAUUGUUUGAUUAAAUAUGUAUAAUCUAAAUCAACAAUAACCAAAUAUAUAUAUAUACUCAACUAAAAUUUGGGUUUAACGAUCAUCGUCCAUUUUAUAAGAAAAUUCCUCUUGGAUCGAUCUUUUUAUAUUUUUCUUGAUUGACUUUUUAAUCGAAUCCAAGUCUUGCUUCUCUUUGUUUUGGUGUCCACGAUCUCGAAAAAGAAACAGCCAACUGAUUGGUCACUUUCACAGUCCCUCUGGUACGUUAUCCUUUGAUUUUUCAACAUUAUACUUAAAGCUCAAUACCAAAAUCUCAAAGAUAAGCCACUACAUGAUCAUGAUGUGUGUGACCUACGAGCUUGGACUCGAACCCACGAGCCAAUCAUGUAAGUAGCAAUGAAAAGAUCAAGCCAACACAAAUGAUGAAUAGGCCCAUGCCUUGCCCCCAUUCUGUUCCCUUCUUUAUUAAUCUACAGAAACAAAAUCUUCUUCAGAAGAAGAUGCGUGAGCUUUCAACACGAUAAAGAUUGAUGCAAAGUCAUAUAAGGAAACAGCCAAAUCAAUAGCUUGGUGGGUUUGGUCUUCCAAAAGUAAAUUAUGGAAGAACAUGAAUGUCUCUUAUGUACAUUGUCCUGGAAAGAGAGCUCUGAGACCUGAUUACGCAAAAGACUAAUUGCAGAUCACAAAAAAGGAGAAGAGAACGCUAUUUGGAACUGCAGGCAUUGAUACACAAACCAUAAUACAUUAAACACUUGACAAAAGUACAUGUUGAUAUGUCUGUCAGAUUACUACAAGAGUUUCUUUCACCAAUCUGCUUUGCUACCAAUGUACCCUAUGUAAGAGAGAUACUAUAAAGAUCUCCUCUCAACUAUAGUAUAUACACAUUCCUCUGUUUUAGGAAAUGUUAGUUAUUAUCUAACUUAGUCUCCAAGACUAAACUCUGUAUAUAAACCUCUAUUGUACAUUACGUUCAAGAUAUCAUAAUACAUUUCCUAUACCCUAAAUAAGAUAAGUAAACACACAAAAAAGAGCAUUGCUCUAACUUAAAACCUAGUGAGUAAGAAUAAUAACAGUUUUCUCCAAUUUCGAUGAUCUCUCAGAUCCAACCAUUGCUCCCUUGCUCAACCACAGUAUAGCUUCUCCACAAUCUAAUCCCUACAAAUUCUUAUCUGUACAGCAACAACAACAACGCACAAUUCACGUUUUCAGUAACUCAUUUGAGCAGAUGCUCAAAGUUAUGGUUCCAAAUCAACAAUCUGAGACCUCACAAGGUAACAUAGAGUUUCAAUCUUCAAAAUCACAUAAGAAUGAAAAUUCUAACCAUAUAUUCACAAUUGCUUGGCAGAAACAGAGACCAAGAAAGUUCCCAUCCUCUGCUUCUAUAACUCAAUCAUCAUCCUCUACUUCACUAAAACAAUCCACUACCAAUUAAAUUGGUAAAAACAGGGUGAAGCUAUCAAGAAAAUAUCAGACUACGUUGCACAGCUAAGAAGAAUCGGAAAGGGUCACUAAGAUCAUAUUUUAAAAGUAAGACUGCACUUUCUUGUGGAUGUGUUUAUACGUUAAUAACACCGUUUCUGGUGUGAAAAACUGCAGGAGUGUGGCAUUUUGAUCAAAUGCUUCUGAAUGAGGUUUAAGGAAGAAAGUUGGAGCUUUUGAUGACAUAUCUUUUCCUUGUGCUACGGCACUCUUCUAUGUUUAGUUUACAUAGACGUCUCUAAAGUUUGAUAUGGAUAAUGGAUUUUCACUUUUUCUGUUCUUGUGUUGUUUUAACUUUUAACUGAAUGCUUUGUGAGUAUGUUAAUAGUAUAAGUCGUAGUAGUCUGAGAAUAAAUGCAUAUCCAAUGCUUGUCCAUAAAAAGUUGGUUUAAUUUUGGGUGUCCAUAAAAGUCAGUGACGUGUUGUUUUUGACAUAGGAAUCGUAUUUGAACAAAGAUUGUCUCCUUGAGUAGCCUCACGAAUUCUAAAACAGAGCAAAAACUGGGUUCUGCAAUAAACAUAUUGAUUCACCGAGUUUGGUUACAUCUACAGACAAAACAAAAUUAUUAUUGGAGACGAUUUUCAGAAUUAAAUUAGUUAUUAGAAUUAGUUAGAACACAAGAUAUAUAUAGAAUAUCUCUAAUCUUGAAAGAUCUUAGUGUGCAUCAGACUCAUGGGUUUAGGUCUCACAAUCGACACAACUUCCAAUGAUGUAAUGCAUUUGAUGCAUAUCAGCAAAACCAUCGAUCCAUCUUUUGUUUUAUUUUUGUUAUAAGAGAGAAUAGCUACUGGCCAUAUAUUGAAGAAACAAGAACACGAUCGAGCAAAGUCUGGGGUUUUCCUUACCAUCUCGCCCUGAGGAAUACUAGUUGAAUAAUGUACUCACGAUGAUAUGGCUCGAUCAUAAGUAGAUUCACGAGAAAGAGUUGGUUCUUCUGUCAUGAAGCAUGUACUCACUAUUUAUUUGAUUUCAAGCAGGUUAAUAUUUUGUUCAUUUUGAUUGAUUCUUAGAAAAUAUUUGAUUUUUUUUUUGUCAUGUUUGCAUAUAUUUCUCAUUAUGAAAGUUAUGAGGAAUAAACCAAAAAUAAGACUUUUCUCCGUUGAUUUUUCUUGAAAACGUUGAUGUUUGUUUUUAUUCUUAUUUUUUAAAAAGAGAUUCUUUCUUAUUUUGAAAUCCCAUCAAAAUUAAACUAGUUUAGCAGUUAUCUCAAUUAGUUCUUUUUUUAAUUAAAGCAAGAGGAAUGUCAUAAAAUCCUGAAUUUUUAAAAAGAUAAAACAUUUACUAUCAAAUCGAAAGAUUACAAUAUAUGCAAAUGCAGGGGUCUCGUAAACGUUAGUUUUUAGGUCAAUAUGCAUGCGCGUCUUGUAAACGUUAAUUUAACUCCAAACAUACACCUAAGCAAAAUAAGACUUCGUAAAUUACGUCUUCUAUGGUGUGGACAGUUUUUUUUUUUUAAAAAUACUUGUAAUUAGUAAAGGGGACCAAUAUGCGCGGAAAUUUGACCUAAUAGUUUUCUCUCUGGCCCGAUAAUCGAGGUGCCGUCUCAACCGUUUCACUCCGACGCCGGUAGAGCCAUGGCUCGCCGGCGUCGGGUGCUUCAACCUCCGCGUCGUCCUCUUUCUUUUCGUAUCUGUUCAAGCUCAAGAUCCCGUGCUCUGUUCACCGUUCGUAUGACCCUUUCUUGGUCGAAGUUGUCUUCCAUUUCGUAUUUUUCCGGGGGUUCCCGACUACAGUUUUCACUCCCCUCCUCUACUCAACGCCAUCAACGCCAUAGCUCUGCUGGUCCGGCUAUUAUCUAACUUAGUCUCCAAGACUAAACUCUGUAUAUAAACCUCUAUUGUACAUUACGUUCAAGAUAUCAUAAUACAUUUCCUAUACCCUAAAUAAGAUAAGUAAACACACAAAAAAAAAGCAUUGCUCUAACUUGAAACCUAGUGAGUAAGAAUAAUAACAGUUGUCUCCAAUUUCGAUGAUCUCUCAGAUCCAACCAUUGCUCCCUUGCUCAACCACAGUAUAGCUUCUCCACAAUCUAAUCCCUACAAAUUCUUAUCUGUACAGCAACAACAACAAGGCACAAUUCACGUUUUCAGUAACUCAUUUGAGCAGAUGCUCAAAGUUAUGGUUCCAAAUCAACAAUCUGAGACCUCACAAGCUAACAUAGAGUUUCAAUCUUCAAAAUCACAUAAGAAUGAAAAUUCUAACCAUAUAUUCACAAUUGCUUAGCAGAAACAGAGACCAAGAAAGUUCCCAUCCUCUGCUUCUAUAACUCAAUCAUCAUCCUCUACUUCACUAAAACAAUCCACUACCAAUUAAAUUGGUAAAAACAGGGUGAAGCUAUCAAGAAAAUAUCAGACUACGUUGCACAGCUAAGAAGAAUCGGAAAGGGUCACUAAGAUCAUAUUUUAAAAGUAAGACUGCACUUUCUUGUGGAUGUGUUUAUACGUUAAUAACACCGUUUCUGGUGUGAAAAACUGCAGGAGUGUGGCAUUUUGAUCAAAUGCUUCUGAAUGAGGUUUAAGGAAGAAAGUUGGAGCUUUUGAUGACAUAUCUUUUCCUUGUGCUACGGCACUCUUCUAUGUUUAGUUUACAUAGACGUCUCUAAAGUUUGAUAUGGAUAAUGGAUUUUCACUUUUUCUGUUCUUGUGUUGUUUUAACUUUUAACUGAAUGCUUUGUGAGUAUGUUAAUAGUAUAAGUCGUAGUAGUCUGAGAAUAAAUGCAUAUCCAAUGCUUGUCCAUAAAAAGUUGGUUUAAUUUUGGGUGUCCAUAAAAGUCAGUGACGUGUUGUUUUUGACAUAGGAAUCGUAUUUGAACAAAGAUUGUCUCCUUGAGUAGCCUCACGAAUUCUAAAACAGAGCAAAAACUGGGUUCUGCAAUAAACAUAUUGAUUCACCGAGUUUGGUUACAUCUACAGACAAAACAAAAUUAUUAUUGGAGACGAUUUUCAGAAUUAAAUUAGUUAUUAGAAUUAGUUAGAACACAAGAUAUAUAUAGAAUAUCUCUAAUCUUGAAAGAUCUUAGUGUGCAUCAGACUCAUGGGUUUAGGUCUCACAAUCGACACAACUUCCAAUGAUGUAAUGCAUUUGAUGCAUAUCAGCAAAACCAUCGAUCCAUCUUUUGUUUUAUUUUUGUUAUAAGAGAGAAUAGCUACUGGCCAUAUAUUGAAGAAACAAGAACAGGAUCGAGCAAAGUCUGGGGUUUUCCUUACCAUCUCGCCCUGAGGAAUACUAGUUGAAUAAUGUACUCACGAUGAUAUGGCUCGAUCAUAAGUAGAUUCACGAGAAAGAGUUGGUUCUUCUGUCAUGAAGCAUGUACUCACUAUUUAUUUGAUUUCAAGCAGGUUAAUAUUUUGUUCAUUUUGAUUGAUUCUUAGAAAAUAUUUGAUUUUUUCUUUGUCAUGUUUGCAUAUAUUUCUCAUUAUGAAAGUUAUGAGGAAUAAACCAAAAAUAAGACUUUUCUCUGUUGAUUUUUUUUGAAAACGUUGAUGUUUGUUUUUAUUCUUAUUUUUUAAAAAGAGAUUCUUUCUUAUUUUGAAAUCCCAUCAAAAUUAAACUAGUUUAGCAGUUAUCUCAAUUAGUUCUUUUUUUAAUUAAAGCAAGAGGAAUGUCAUAAAAUCCUGAAUUUUUAAAAAGAUAAAACAUUUACUAUCAAAUCGAAAGAUUACAAUAUAUGCAAAUGCAGGGGUCUCGUAAACGUUAGUUUUUAGGUCAAUAUGCAUGCGUCUUGUAAACGUUAAUUUAACUCCAAACAUACACCUAAGCAAAAUAAGACUUCGUAAAUUACGUCUUCUAUGGUGUGGACAAUUUUUUUUAAAAAAAAUUCUUGUAAUUAGUAAAGGGGACCAAUAUGCGUGGAAAUUUGACCUAAUACUUUUCUGUUUCACUCCGACGCCGGUAGAGCCAUGGCUCGCCGGCGUCGGGCGUUUCAACCUCCGCGUCGUCCUCUUUCUUUUCGUAUCUGUUCAAGCUCAAGAUCCCGUGCUCUGUUCACUGUUCAUAUGACCCUUUCUUGGUCGAAGUUGUCUUCCAUUUCGUAUUUUUCCGGGGGCUCCCGACUACAGUUUUCACUCCCCUCCUCUACUCAACGCCAUCAACGCCAUAGCUCUGCUGGUCCGGCUUCCGUCAAGAAUCAGAUCUGUGAGGCUCAAUCUUCCUCUCCUCCCUACGUGUCUCCUCGGCUAGAAAGCCCCCUCCGACAUUCGUCUUCCAUACCACCACAAGUCCAACUUCAAGCUUCGGCUUCCGACGUCUACAAACCCGGUGUCCGUGGGGCUCCACAAUUAACUCGGAUUUUAGAUCUGGAAUUUUGUCAGUUGUCUCGGUUGUGCUCACCUUAUGUCUCCUCUCUAUCACCACUGUCGCUGGCCUUCCUACUCCUCUCACCGCUCCAUUGUCAUCAUCUCAGCCAUAUCAGCUAAACAUCGCCGCUUCUUUGCUCCGCCGUGAUUCCUCGCAGUUCAUCGGGUUCUUUGACCGAGGAAGGCUGAGUCAUUUUGUUCAUGAGAUGGGCUACUUUCAUUUUGCAGUGAGCUUGACAAGCCCAAUAAAGCUCCAAGGCUCCCAUCUCUUCCUAGCAGUUUCACAGCCCACUUUGAUGUGGGGUGGAUUCGUCUCCUUGACUAAUCUUCUAAAAAUGUUUGGCGGGUUCACUAGCGUUUUUACAGAGACAUAUAUACACACAAAGUUUCAUCUCUCUUGUUUGAAGAGUAGCCUUUCUUUCCAUUUACCGGUGGGUUCACCGGGACCAUCAUGUUCAUCCUUUGCUUCCUUUUUAAGGAGUACUUUCCCUCCAAUCUUGUGGAGGUGUUUGUCCAUAUCUAUAACCGUCUUGCUAUCUUGUGCAGCGGUCCGUUCGGGGCCUGAAAAUGCAGCGGGAUUCGUUUCGACGAGUUUCCGAGGUGCGGAUUGGAUGUCAACGCCACAAUUUAAUGUGACUAUUUCUCUGCUGUCCGACCAUGUCGUGAAAGCUACACUGACGCAUUCAAGCAUUGUCUUGAGUUCGUUGUCAUCUUCUUCUUUUGAAGACCUAUCCUUUUUAUCUUAUGUUGGUGUAGUUUAUGUUUUCAAUUAAAGCGGAUGGAUAAUUCCCUCUAUUAUUUGUAAUCAAGCAAGUUGAACUUAAUGAAAAAGUUGUGUUUCAAAAAAAAAAAGAUUUUGCUUUCGACGUGAUGAAUAUUGGAUUUAUCUCUGUGGGUAUUUUUUGUGUGGAAUAAAAACGAAGUCUAUUAUUGUGCUAUAAAGAGGUGGCCAUGGAAGCAUGUUACUCAUCACCAAUUUCCCUGUUCUUUUUUGCUCUUUCAUUUUAAAGUUAAAUAAGCUUAAAAGAAGAAUGAAAGGCUUUUGGAACAUAACGAGUACCAUUUCUCUUACUCUUUCCAUACUUUUCUUAUUCAGCUACAGUUAUGAGGACGUGUCUGCGGUUCCAACUAGGCACUUGUGUCGUCCGGAACAAAGGGAUGCACUUCCCCAAUUCAAGACCGAGUUCGAGGUUCUAAACUCUUCCUUUUCUUCUUAUAAUUGUUAUAUCAAUGAUGAUAUACUAGUGUCUUAUCGGAAGACGGACUCAUGGGCGAAUAACAGCGACUGCUGUAAUUGGGAGGGUGUCACGUGCGAUGCCAAAUCCGGUGAAGUGAUCGAGCUAGACCUUAGUUGCAGCAACCUACGUGGCGAGUUUCAUUCCAAUAGCAGUCUUCAAAGCCUUCAUUCUCUAAACACUCUAAACCUUUCACGUAAUGAUUUCAAUGGUCAAAUCAUGUCUUCAAUUGGAAACCUUUCUCAUAUCACCUCUCUCGACCUUUCACAAAAUUAUUUCAGCGAGUUCAUUCCUUCUUCGAUAGUAGACCUUUCUCAUCUCACCUUUCUCGAUCUUUCAUUUAAUAGCUUUUCUGGUCAGAUUCCAUCUUCGAUUGGAAAUCAUUCUCAUCUCACCAAUCUUGGCCUUUCUUAUAACCAGAUUUCUGGUCAGAUUCCAUCUUCUAUUGGAAAUCUUUAUAAGCUCACUCGUCUUGAUCUUUCUGAUAACAAUAUUGUUGGAGAAACCCCAUCUUCUUUUGGCAAUCUAAACCAGUUGACCAGCUUAAAUGUUGGUCUCAAUAGGCUCAAUGGAAGCUUUCCCAUUGCACUACUGAAUUUGACAAAGUUGUCAUCUUUGCUACUCUUAUGACAAUCAGUUCACAGGAACAAUUCCUCAUAACAUCACUUCACUAUCCAAAUUGACGACCUUUUAUGCAAGCGACAACGCUUUCACUGGGACCCUGCCUUCUUCUCUCUUCACCAUUCCUUCUAUGGAACGUGUUGAUUUGUCUGAUAACCAACUCAACGGUAAUCUUGAGCUUGGGAAUAUAUCUUCACCACCUAAGCUACGAGAGUUAACAAUAACAACUUGAGAGGGCCAAUCCCAGUCACGAUAUCAAAAUUUACCAACCUUGUCCGACUUGACCUUUCCCACUACAAGACACAAGGUCCAAUUGAUUUUAGUAUCUUCUCGCAUCUCAAGUGGCUGGAAGUUCUUGACCUAUCCUAUUUGAACACGACCACUACCAUUGACUUGAAUGAUAUCUUGUCGUAUUUUAAGAGGCUCAGUUACUUGCUUCUCUCAGGCAACCUUGUUUCAUUCAACCUUUGCUGCGUUAUUUGGAAUUGUCAGGCUGUGGUAUCACCGAGUUUCCAGAGUUUGCAAGAUCGCAAAAUAUGAGGAGUCUAGACAUUUCCAACAAUAAAAUCAAAGGACAAGUGCCUGGCUGGUUAUGGACACUACCAAAUCUGUAUCACCUGGAUCUUUCCAACAACACUUUCAUUGGCUUCGAAAAACCAACAACAGUUUUAGUUUCAAGGCUAUCCUUGCUUGCCUCCAACAACAAUUUUACGGGAAAGAUUCCCUCUUUCAUAUGUGAUUUGCGCAAUGUAGACACUCUUGAUUUAUCAAACAACAACUUCAGUGGUUUAAUCCCUAGUUGUCUGGGAAAUCUCAAGCCUACUCUUGAAUAUCUAAACCUUCGUCAGAAUCGUCUUCAUGGAGGUCUUCCAGAGAAUAUAUUUGGAAACUUAAGAACGCUUGACAUCGGUCAUAACCAACUGACGGGAAAGCUUCCAAGAUCUUUGAUCCGGUUCUCUAGUCUUGAAGUUCUGAACGUGGAAAGCAACAUUAUCAAUGGUACGUUUCCGUUUUGGUUGAGUUCUCUACCGGAACUCAAAGUUCUUGUGUUACGCUUUAAUGCCUUCCAUGGACCGAUACAUCAAACUUCGUUCCCUGAGUUGCAAAUCAUCGACAUAUCACACAAUCACUUCAAUGGAGCUUUGCCAUCAGACUUCUUUGUGAAGUGGAGUGCUAUGUCAUCACUUGGGACUGUUUAUUAUGAUCAGCAUGAUCAGCUGGAUGACAAGUACAUGGGAGGUUCCUAUUACCAUGAUUCAAUGGUGUUGAUGAAUAAAGGUAUAGAGAUGGAGUUUGUACGUAUCCUAAAGAUCUACACAGCACUCGACUUUUCAGGAAACAAAUUUGAAGGAGAGAUCCCAAGGUCCAUUGGCCUAUUAAAAGAGCUUCUUGUGCUCAACUUGUCUAACAAUGCUUUCUCUGGCCACAUCCCUUCAUCUAUGGGAAACCUGACGGCUCUUGAGUCACUGGACGUUUCCCAAAACCAGCUUUCAGGAGAAAUACCGCAAGAGCUAGGGGAACUCUCAUUCCUUUCCUACAUGAACUUCUCUCAUAACAAGCUUACAGGUCUAGUACCAGGAGGCACUCAGUUUCUAAGGCUCAACUGCACUUCUUUUGAGGAUAAUCCGGGACUUUCUGGCCCUUCUCUUGAAGAAAUUUGCAGAGAUAUGCACACGCCAACACCGCAUGAAACGCUGGAAUCUGUUGAAGAAGAAGAGGAAGAGGUGUUGAGUUGGAUAGCAGCUGUCAUAGGAGUCAUACCUGGUAUUGCCUUUGGAUGGGUGAUUGGAUACAUACUUUUUUCCUACAAACCACAGUGGUUCAUGAACCCUUUUGCCCGAAACAAGCGCAGAAUCAGCAGCACCACAACUCAUUAAAAAGGUAAUUUUCCAGAGUUUUAAAUCAACUUGUUAGAAAACACUGGAAGAAACAAAAAUAUUAUAGUGAAAUCACCUGAGUUAACCUUUUCUUUUUUUUUGGUACAUGUCUUUUAUAAGCUACCUGAGGAAUCUGGAAGAAGAAAUCCAAAGGAACCACUAUGUCUAUCGUAUCAAAUAAGAUUUGGGGUAUCGUUUCUGGUUUAGCUUGGUGUUUUUCUCAUUACUCUGUUUUUACUCUCUCUUUUUUUUCUAGCAAACUUCUUUGUUCCUCUGGUAUUGUUUCUGUUUUAGCUUGGUGUGUUUUUUCUCUAUCUCUAUUUUUUUUUUACGUUUUAUUAAACUUCUUUGUUUCUCUGUAAUUGAACAACCAUGUUGCUUACGCUGAAAAUUACAAGCACCAGUCAAAGAUGUGUCGUCUUUUCCCCUCUUGUGAAUCUAAACAUCAACUGUUUAGACGUGAGAUGAGCAAUGAACAGAUGAUCCAGAUCAACGCUAUAAACCUUGCAGGGUUUUAGAAAAGGAUAUACAUAUUAUAUAUGGAUAUUUCGAUUUCUUAUAUCACUGAGACACAUAAAUUCAUAGAAACUAUAGAUUAAUAAUGACCAGAAAAAAGAUAUAUGCUCAACUUAAUUUGUUUUAACGAUCAUAUGAAAAUUCUUCUUUGAUCAGUGUGAAAUCUAUUUUAUAUUUUCUUUAACUGACUUUUACAUCUACUCUCAAGUCUUGCUUCUCUUUAAUUUGAUGUCCACAAUCUCAAAUAGAGACAUCAAUAGCUUGGUGGGUUUGAUCAGUUCCAAAAAGUGAAUUAUGGAAAGAACAUCUAUGAUGUCAAUAUGAAUGUCUCCAAAGAACCCCUUUAUGCAUUGUGUUAAAUCUGUUAAGGCAAUUCUGAGACCUGAUUACGCAAAAAGACUAACUGCAGAUCAUAAAAAAAAAAAAAAAAAGAGAAAUGAGACCACAGGCGUUGAUACAGAAACCAUAAUACAUUAAACACUUGACAAAAGUACAUGUUGAUAUGUCAGUCAGAUUACUACAAGAGUUUCUUUCCCCAAUCUCGAUCAGCUUCUCAGAACCAACGAGUGUUCCUUUGCUCUACCACAGUAUAGCUUCUCCACAAAUCUAAUCCCUACAACUUCUUCCCUGUACAACAGCACCACAAAAUUCAAGUUUCAGUAACUCAUCAUCAUAUAUGAUGAACAAAUAUAACAUUAACAAACAGAACCUGAAACCUCAGAAGCUUACCUAAAGUUUCAACAUGUUCAUCCGUUGCAACUCAAGCUCCUUUGCAGCUUCCAUCCUCUGCUUCUCCAACUCAACCAUCAUCCUCUGCUUCACACCUUCAAUCCUCUCGUACACCUCUCCCAACUUCAAAAUCGCUCUCGCCAGCUCCCUACAAGANNNNNNNNNNNNNNNNNNNNNNNNNNNNNNNNNNNNNNNNNNNNNNNNNNNNNNNNNNNNNCGACGACCCUUCGCCUCCACUCGGAUCCACAUCCUCCACUCUCCGAUGCUUCCUCACCACAAACCCCCAAUCUCCCACCUCAUCAUCAUCAUCCUCCUCCUCCAAAGAGCUCCCACUCGAUUUAGAUCCCGUCGGAUUCUUCAACGCCGGUCUCACAACUCCGGUGGAUUUCUUCGCCGCGACGGGACCGAUCAAGAAAUCGAGCCUCUCGAAGAAGCACCAAGACGACGGAGAAGGCUUACUUCUUCUCUCAUAACCAGCUUGUCGGUCUAGUACUGCACUUCCUUUGACGGUAAUCCGGGACUUUCUGGCCCUUCUCUUGAAGAAAUUUGCAGAGAUAUUCACAAGCCAGUCAGAGGAAGAAGAAGAGGAAGAGGUGUUGAGUUGGAUAGCAGUUGUAAUAGGAGUCAUACCUGGUUUUGCCUUUGGUUGGGUGAUUGGAUACAUAUUUGUUUCCCACAAGCCACAGAGGGAUUCAUGAAUCCUUUUGUCCGAAACAAACGCAGACGCAGCAGUACAACAACUCAUUAAAGAGGUAAUAUUCCAGAGUUUUAAAUCAACUUGUUAUUACCAAACAUUGGAAGAAACAAAAUUAUUAUAGUGAAAUCACCUGAAUAAACCUGACAAAUAUGGAAGACUGGGAUUGGGAAAAGAGUGGGACAGAGUUCUGUGAAGUUAAAUGGAGUGAAGACUGAAUGAAGAUGGAAAAACAUGGACAGUGCCCCUGAACUAACACAAAACAAGGGGUCGUGUCUACAUCAAUAGUGGUUGGAGAUGUUUUUGCCGCUCAAUUUGAAAAAGAGCCAACGUUUUAUUGGCUUUUAAUCUUGUGCAAACGCUCAUCAGAGCAAUCCAAAACAAACUCCAGAUUAAAGAAAUCUUCGGUAUCGUCUCAGAUAUCAUGCAGAUCUCCUCGGCGUUUGAAUCUAUCUCUUUCUCCUUUGUUCCACAAUCAGAAAACCAAAAGGCUGACUGUUUAGCCAAACGGGCUCUGAUCUCUUCUGUUUCUGCACUUGUUUGAACAUCUGGGUAUUGGGCUUUGUUUUCGGCCCUUUAUCUUUCCUUUGCUUUUAAUAUAAUCUCGUUGCACAAAAAAAAAAAAAAAAAAAUCUUGUGCAAACAGGUACAAACCCUGUUCUCCAGUUGUGUUCGUCCUACAACCGAAACUGUCUCCGAGCUUCUUCUUCAUCUUCAUCUUCAACAAGCCAAGAAAGAUUCUUGACACUGACUCCAACACCAUACACUCUCAAGAAGUCUAAUUUGGUAAGUUUUCAUCAAUACACCCAGCAUUGUAUCUGAGUUGUUUUAAUGUUUUGAAGUCUUUAUUAAGUCUACCGGGCAAGCUUGUGUGGUUGAAUGGUAGUGAGAAGGCAAGGACGAUAACUCUCGUGGACAGAUACGGUUUCAAAAGGUCAACGAGUCUUGAAGCUGAUAACAAAUCUGGAAGAAUGUGACUGGGAAAAGAGUGUAGAGCGUUCUGUGAAGCUAAUGGAGUGAAGGCUGGUGAGUCCUUUAAGCUAGAAUUCAUCAAAGAUGAAAAAUUCACAGCGACUCAACUACUUAAGCUAUGUUCUAAAGUCUUAAACUCUCUCUGAGUUCGUUUUGAUUAUGUAAUAUCUACGUACAGUGUGUAUUUUGAUUUUUGGCAGGCUUGUCAGGCAAGGCUGUAGUAACUUGGUAUGAGACGAACCUAGGCUAUGUUAAAUUGACUCUCCUUUGGAGAAUAGACCCUCAAAAAUACAUUGUCAUUCAGUAUAAUAUUUUUUUUUUUGAUCUAUAAUAACGUUUACAAAAACACCAAUGAAUACUAACUAACUUUUUACUCUGCCCCCUGAACGCUCAUCUUCUCAUAGUAGAGAGGCAAAUUUGAUUACAUCAUCCAGUGUAUCAAACAACUUACCAUCCAAAUCCAAACCAUUCUUUUGAUUGCUUUCUUUAUACGAAUUUGUGCUUUAGCUCAUGUUUUGUUCUUGGUUUUUCACUAAAUUAGCAGCUUAUAUGUAUUCUUCCUAUAAAGAACGUUCUCUCGGACUUUCUCUCAAGCAAGUACACGAGCAGGUCUACACGGUUGCGUGGCGUAACCUGAUAGACCCGUCUGUCAGUCUCAGUCUGCUUCGAAAUCAAUGAGGAGGGCAACUGGUGCAUAUAGUCUGCUUUCUGACUAUUAAAUAUGACCAGAGAAAUUUCCACACAUGAACUUAAUAUUGAUUAGGAAAGUUGUUUUGCUUUCGCUGUAAUGUAUAGUGAAUUUUUCUUUGUGUAAUAAAUAUACAGUUAAAUUAGCUUAAAGAAAAAUGAGAGGCUUUUGGAACUUAACGUGUACCAUUUCUCUUAUUCUUUCUAUAAUUUUCUUAUUCUGCUACAAUUAUGAGGACGUGUCUGCGGAUACUACUAGGCACUUGUGUCGUCCUGAUCAAAGGGAUGCACUUCUCCAUCUUCGAUUGGAAAUCUUUCUCAUCUCAUCUCACCUACCUUGACUUUUCUUCUACUCAAAUUUUGGGUCAGAUUCCAUCUUCUACUGGAAAUCUUUAUAAGCUCACUUAUCUUGACCUUUCUAACAACAAUAGCUAUGUUCUUUUGAUUAACGCAGCUUCUCGCGUCAGCGACUCCAAAUCUUAUGGUGGCUGCUUCGUGUGAAACGACGCGGACAAUGGUGAUGACAUAAAAAGUGUUGCCGUAAUAGUAAAAAAUAGUCGCCGCGUGAGUCGUAACUGACGCUACAAUUUUUAGCGAUCAAUUAUCAUCCCAAAACUAACGCUGCGUCUCUUAUAAUUAACUUCGGCAAAGUGGGUUUUCAGCAAUCUUGCUUUUAAAGUAACGGAAAUACAGAGCGAAAAAGAGACGCAGACGCUAACGCAGCGUUUAUCAAAAGAACAUGACUAUUGUUGGUGAUAUCCAAUCUUCUAUUGGCUAUCUAAACCAGCUGACCACCUUAAGUGUUUAUAAAAAUAAGCUCAAUGGAAGCUUGCCCAUUACACUACUGAAUCUGACAGAGUUGUCAUAUUUAGUACUCAGCGUCAAUCAGUUUACAGGAAUAGUUCCUCAUAACAUGUUACGUAUGAGGCUAGAAGGCCACCAAUACUGUACCAGUGCGAGAGGAGAAAGAAAGGCCCAGUUCAGAAAAAGUGACUAAGCACAAGAAGCAUCUAGAAGAAAUCAAUAAAAGAGGAGAAAGGAUGAAUCACAGCAACGGCCUUGGGCACGAGCACAUGGGUUGUCUGUGACGUGUCCCCUGCUUUUUCACUUUAUAAGUAGUAGUAAGGAAUAAUAGUUUGUGAUCGAGAGAGAGGAUCGAUCUGGUAGUGAUUGGAGAGAGAGUACUCCUGUCUAAAAACUCUAAAUCAUUGUAUUUGCUUGUUCUUUAAGGAGUCUUCAUAAAGUUCUUUACACGAUCGAGCUUUUACAAUACUAGUCGUAACAAACUUGGUAUCAGAGCAAGACGAACCUGAGGGCUUGUGAUGGGACCGAAGAAGAAUGACGACAAGGUAGCGGAGCAGAUCCAUCGCGAUGAUGACCGUAUCGUGGUGGUGGAGAGCAAGAUAUCUGCGGUGGAGGACCGAUUGAACGAGAUGAUGAAGUUCAUCGCCAGUGGGUUUGAGAGGAUCGAGCCGCGGAAGGAGGAUCAGACGGAGGGAAAGGAUCGGCGAGGAGAAGGGCUGAUACCCUCUGGUCUGACCUCCAACCCAGCCGGUGCUUCUAAACCUAUGGUGCUGCAAGGUGAAGGCUCGGGGAAGCAGAUCCUCGAAGAACCGAGAAGCAUCUCCGGAGUGAGGUCGACGGCGGCGUCAGGACCAGGAGCGGAUUCUGUCAACACCCAAACCUCAUACCGGAGUAUCUUGGGAGGCAAGGAAGAGUGGUUACCAAAGAGAUUGGAGAUCCCAACGUUUGACGGAGAAGAGCCGGAGAACUGGGUGUUACGUGUGGAACAUUAUUUUGAGUUGGGAGAUUUUACGGAGGAAGAAAAGUUGCGCGCCGUCAGGAUGUGUUUUAUCGGCGACGCGUUACCUUGGUACCGAUGGGAAAGGAGUCGGAAUCCGUUCCUGAGCUGGGAACAGAUGAAGACAAGGGUAUUGGAGCAGUUUUUGGCGGUGCGCGAUACGAGCGCCGGUGAGCAUAUCCUGUGUCCCCGACAGACCGGGACGGUGCGAAGCUUUCGCAGCGAGUUUAUCGCGUUAGCUUCCAACGCUCUGGGGAUUCCCGAUCCGAUCUUAGAGAUGGCUUUUAUGAACGGGUUGAAGCCUAAAAUAAAAGCGGGAGUGAGGAUGAUGAGUGUAAGAGGGUUAGAGAAGGUGAUGGACGCCGCGAAAUUGUUGGAGGACUGGUCCGAAGGAGGGGAGACGACGGAGGAGACGACAGAGACGUCGUCUAAGACUGGCCGUGUUACGAGUGGUUGUCAUCUAGCCCAAACAAAUAAACCGGCCCAAUCAACCGGUCAAAUCCCAAACCUUAACAAGGGAAGGCCCACUUUCAAUGGAACGACGGCGUCGAGCAAUACCCAGACGAAACCUAAUCACAAUCGAUUGAAACCAUCCUUUCGGCGGUUGACUCCGGCAGAGGUGGCGAAAUGGAAGGCGGAGGGGUUGUGUUACCGGUGCGACGAGAAGUACAUAUAUCCUCACCGUUGCGCCCAGCCCGAGGUGGUGGUCUUGAUGGUGCUGGAGGACGGAACAGAGAUAGAUGUGCUAAACUGUUCCGUCGAGUUAGAGGAAGAGGAGAUCGCAGAGGAAGUGGAAGUAGCAGCGAUUUCGAUCAGCUCCAUUGUGGGAAUCUCCUCAACUCAUACAAUCAAGCUCAAAGGAAAGUUGAUGGGAAGAGAAGUGGUGGUUUUGAUCGACAGCGGGGCCACCCACAAUUUCGUAUCGAAGGAGCUAGUGACACAGUUGAAGUUACAGACGGAUAGAACUCGCGGCUAUAGUGUGAUGACAGCCGGUGGAGUGACCUUCAAGGGAGCAGGGUUGUGUAGCGAGUUAGAGCUGGAGCUACAAGGUUGUACGAUCACCUCAAGUUUCCUACCAUUGGAAUUAGGAAGCGCUGAUGUCAUAUUAGGCAUUCAGUGGUUGGAAACACUCGGGAAUAUGAAGGUCAAUUGGAAGCUACAAAUUCUACGUUUCAAGGUGGGAUCGCAUAAGUAUGUCCUACAAGGAGAUCCCAGCCUCUGUUGUUCAGCGGCGUCUCUCAAAUCUAUUCUGAAGACGUUACAGCAGGACGGAGAGGUGAUGUUGAUUGAAUACAACGGGAUGCAGUUGGAGGGAGAAGAAUCCGGGAAAGCCUCUCAGAUUCCUCAGUCCUUACAAGACAUCUUGAAAGAGUUUACAGAGGUCUUUGAUGAACCUAGGGGGCUCCUUCCGUCAAGAGGAAAGGCGCACGCUAUUGAGUUGAAGAAGGAAGCAAGCCCCGUGAGCGUCAGGCCCUUUCGAUACCCUCAAGCUCAACGUGAGGAGAUUGAGAAACAAAUCGCAGCUAUACUCACUGCAGGGAUCAUCAGAGACAGUAACAGCCCAUUCUCGAGCCCUGUGCUGUUGGUGAAGAAGAAGGACGGAAGCUGGCGGUUCUGCGUUGAUUACCGCGCCCUUAACAAGGUCACCAUCGCAGACUGCUACCAUAUACCGAUGAUAGAUCAACUGCUGGAUGAGUUGCAAGGAGCAGUCGUCUUUUCGAAGUUGGAUUUGAAGUCAGGUUACCAUCAAAUUCUGGUGAAAGCGGAGGACGUGCAGAAGACAGCGUUCCGUACUCACGACGGCCACUAUGAGUUCCUAGUGUGCCGUUCGGACUGUCAAACGUACCAGCUACAUUCCAGUCGUUGAUGAAUGAGAUAUUCCGAAGCUAUUUAAGGAAAUUCGUCCUCGUCUUCUUUGACGACAUAUUAGUUUAUAGUAAGACAGAGAAGGAACACGCGGUGCAUCUCAGACUGGUGCUAGAGAAACUAAAGGCACAGAAGUUAUAUGCCAACCAAAAAAAGUGCGAAUUUGGGAGCUCUCGAAUAGAGUACUUGGGGCAUGUAAUCAGUAAGGAAGGAGUAGUAGCUGAUGAGGGGAAGAUUCAAGCCAUGACAAAUUGGACGACGCCAAGAACCGUGAAGGAGUUGCGCAGGUUCUUGGGUUUAACCGGGUACUAUCGGAAGUUUGUACAAAGCUAUGGAGAGAUUGCAAGACCUUUAACAUCAUUUCUCCGCAAGGACCAGUUCAGAUGGUCUGAAGGAGCGACGGGUGCUUUCCAACAGCUGAAGAGAGCCAUGACAACGGUACCGGUGCUUGCCUUGCCUGAUUUCAAGGAGCAGUUUGUAGUGGAAUCAGAUGCAUCGGGAGUGGGAUUGGGAGCGGUCUUGAUGCAGAAGCAGCGACCCAUCACGUACUUCAGUCAAGCACUGACAGAGAAGCAACAGCUGAAGUCAGUAUAUGAGAGGGAGUUAAUGGCUAUAGUCUUUGCCAUACAGAAGUGGGCGACAUUACUUACUCGGAAGAAAGUUUCUAGUAAGAACGGACCAGAAGAGUCUCAAGUUUUUAUUGGAGCAACGUGAAAUCAACAUGGAGUAUCAGAAAUGGCUGACGAAGAUUCUUGGUUUCGACUUCGACAUUCAUUACAAGCCCGGACUCGAGAAUAAAGCCGCAGACGGCCUUUCUCGAAAAAGUGCAAUACUAGAGUUAUUUGCAGUAUCGGUUCCAGUAUCUAUUCAGUUGGAGGAACUAGGUUCUGAGGUGGGGAGGGAUGAAGAGUUGUCUAAGAUAAUGGAAGACCUGUCUCGAGAUCUGAAUUCACAUCCUAACUACUCUAUGGUACAAGGGAGACUGCUGAGACAGGGGAAGCUUGUACUACCUAAGACGUCUCAGUUGAUUGGAGUUAUCUUGAAAGAAUACCACGACAGCAAGUAUGGGGGGCAUGGCGGAGUAUUAAAGACACAAAAACGCAUUGGAGCUUUGUUCUAUUGGCAGGGCAUGAUGACUGACAUCAGGAAGUAUGUGGCGUCAUGUCAGACUUGCCAACGACAGAAGUACUCCACGUUGGCACCGGGGGGGGGGGGGGGNNNNNNNNNNNNNNNNNNNNNNNNNNNNNNNNNNNNNNNNNNNNNNNNNNGGGGGGGGGGGGGGGGGGGGUCUCCUCCAGCCUCUACUGAUACCGUCCAACGUGUGGGAAGACAUUUCGCUUGAUUUCAUUGAGGGGCUGCCUAAGUCGGGAGGAGUCAACACUGUUCUCGUGGUGAUAGACCGUCUUACAAAGUAUGCUCACUUUGUGGGUCUCAGGCAUCCGUUCACUGCUGUUGAUGUGGCUAUGGUCUUCAUGCAGGAGAUAGUCAGACUACACGGGUUCCCUAAGACCAUAGUGUCAGAUCGUGACAGGAUAUUCACAGGGCAGUUUUGGAAGGAGCUGUUCCGUUUAGCAGGGACCAGUCUAUGCUUUUCAACGGCUUACCACCCACAGUCUGACGGACAGACCGAGGUUACCAAUAGGGGAUUAGAAACAUAUCUACGUUGCUUUGCGGGAGAGAAACCACGAACGUGGGCAAGCUACUUGCAGUGGGCGGAGUUUAGCUACAACACGUCGUUCCACUCUGCUAUUAAUAUGUCACCGUUCCAAGGCUUGUAUGGUAGAGAGCCACCUUCGCUGUUACAGUACGAGAAUGGCUCUACCAACAAUGCUGAGUUGGAAGCACGGCUGCAGGAGCGUGACGACAAUUUGGCAUUGCUUCGCCAACAGUUGUUGAAAGCUCAACAAACUAUGAAGGCAAGAGCAGAUGAGCACAGGAGGGAGGUGGAAUUUCAAGUAGGGGAUAAGGUCUUUGUGAAACUCAGGCCUUACAGAGAGAAGACGUUGGCUAAGAGAAUUAAUGAGAAGCUAUCGGCUCGCUUCUAUGGGCCGUACGAGAUAGAGAGACGCAUGGGGAAGGUGGCGUAUAAACUACGGUUACCAGCAGAGGCCCGCAUUUAUCCCACUGUUCAUGUUUCACAGCUAAAGAAAGCGGUGGGUGAGUCCUUCGAGUCAGUGACCCUGCCAUCACAGCUCACCGCUGACGGGGUAUUGGAGGUAGUUCCAGAGGCCGUGCGAGCUCACAGGUUCAACACCACGACAGGCCACGAAGAGUUGUUGAUCAAAUGGGUCGGGUUGACAGAAGCUGACUGCACGUGGGAAUGGAAGAGUAUGAUUGAGAAGCAGUUUCCAGAGCUUGACCUUGAGGACAAGAUCAGUUUCAAUGGAGGGAGUAAUGUUACGUAUGAGGCUAGAAGGCCACCAAUACUGUACCAGUACGAGAGGAGAAAGAAAGGCCCAGUUCAGAAAGAGUGACUAAGCACAAGAAGCAUCAAGAAGAAAUCAAUAAAAGAGGAGGAAGGAUGAAUCACAGCAACCGCCUUGGGCACGAGCACAUGGGUUGUCUGUGACGUGUCCCCUGCUUUUUCACUUUAUAAGUAGUAGUAAGGAAUAAUAGUUUGUGAUUGAGAGAGAGGAUCGAUCUGGUAGUGAUUGGAGAGAGAGUACUCCUGUGUAAAAACUCUAAAUCAUUGUAUUUGCUUGUUCUUUAAGGAAUCUUCAUAAAGUUCUUUACACGAUCGAGCUUUUACAAUACUAGUCGUAACAUAUCAUCACUUCACUAUCCAAAUUGAGAAUUUUCGAUGCAAGUAACAAUGCUUUCACUGGAACCCUGCCUUCUUCUCUCUUCACAAUUCCUUCUAUUGAUUACGUUAAUUUGUCUAAUAACCAACUCAACGGUAUUCUUGAGCUUGGGAAUAUAUCUUCACCAUCUAAGCUACAAGUGUUAAACGUUGGCAGAAACAACUUCACAGGGCCAAUUCCAAGCACGAUAUCCAAAUUUACCAACCUCGUACGGCUUGACCUUUUCCAUUACAAGCCACAAGGUCCAGUUGAUUUCAGUAUCUUCUCACAGCUCAAGCGGUCGAAUAUCUUGAUCUAUCCUAUUUGAACACGACCACCACUAUAGACCUGAGUGAUAUAUUGUCAUAUUUUAAGAGGCUCCGUCUGUUGUUUUUCUCAGGCAACCAUGUCUCAGCCACAAACAAGAGUCCAGUUUCAGUUCCCCCUUUGCUGUAUGAGUUGCACUUGUCAGGCUGCGGUAUCAACGAGUUUCCGGAGUGGAGUUCGCAAGAAACAAACAUAUGUCGGUUCUAAACAUUUCCAACAAUAAAAUCAAAGGUCAAGUGCCUGGCUGGUUAUGGAGGCUACCAGAUCUGACUUACCUGAAUCUUUCCAACAACAGUUUCAAGAGUGUCUACAUUGCGCAUAUCUUCUUCCUGAUCCACCACUUUUUUAUCUGAUUUUAUUUGCAAUCAGAUUCCAGUUUUUGAAACUGUUUUUUUUUUGUCAAAUAAGUGAGUUCACAUUAAAGGAGAAAGAUUUGUAAGUUACAAAAUGUUGUAGCUAUUAAGGAUUUCCUUGGCAAAAAAAAAGAUAAUAAAAGGAAAGCCCAUAGUUGAAUGAAAAAUAGUUAGAGAAGCCAUUCAUGUCGUAACCAAAUUUGAUGAGAUACAUGAAUGGUAUCCUCUUUCUUUUGCCUAGGAUGAUGUCACCUACAGUCAUGUCAAUAAUUUUGAAGACCAUCGUUGUUAGCGCUUGUUUCUUUUGGUCCAAAUAUUACAAAUUGUAGCAUGUGUAGCAAUGCGCUUAAGGGUUCGGGAGCAUGAGUCCUUCAAUGAAAGCCAAUCAGGGAAAGCAUUCCAGAUUUCUCAGAGACCUAUGAUGAGAAUCCCAACGUUUGUAACCUAUCCUUUGAAGAACCAAAUCCCAUAUUUCUCAGAGACGUAAAUUGGAGACGAUAAUUAGCGAUUUAAGUGAAUCAUUGCAAGUGUUUGGUGAACAGUUACAACUUCUUAAAUGAAAAAUUGCAAUUGUUGGUGAAUGUAAUUAUAGUGAUGAACCAUUGCAUUUCUUGGUAGUUGUAGUUUUUUGGUGAUAAAUCAUUGCAAUUUUGGUGUAAACCAACCAUUGCAAUCCUUAAUCCUCUAUAUAAAGAGUUAUGGACAUUGACAAAGCAUAUCAAUCACAAAUAGACUAGAAAAAUGAGAGAUUCAUAGUCAAAAGAUCAUCAAAAGUAAUGAUAUGCUUUUAUGUGUCUUUUUCAUUUAAAAUAUUUUUUUACUGAUAUGUUUUUGGUUAUUUUCUCACUUUCACUUAUAUUAUACUUUUUUAAAAUCUAUGGAAAGUUUAUGGAUAUGUUUUUCUCUCUUUUGUGACACAUAAACUUCUUUGAAAACAAAAAUAAGAUACUUUAUAUAAAAUAUCAUAAAUUAUACAAGUGGCAAAUAUUUUUUAAAAUAAAAGUAGUUAACAAUAAUAACCUAAAACAUGCAUACAAAUUUCAAUAUGUGUGCAUUUACCAAUUGAUUAUAUUCUUUUAGUUGCGGUCUAUUUUUUAUGUAACAAUUGAAUAGUUUAUGAGUAUUUAUUUUCAUAAUUCUCAAUUUUAUCUCUAUUUGAUCAAAUUUUAUUUUAUUUUACAUGCAAAAGAUGAAUUUAUUCAAGGAUUUUUCUGUUGAAUAGAUGCAUCCUUUAAAAUACUUAAAAUGUUGUAAAAAUGUAUCCUUUCAGAAAAUUAAUAUUUUUAUAUUUAAAUUAUAUUUCAGAUAAAAGUUGAUCUGUUUAUAUGGGUGUAUCUUUGCCUUUUGAUUAAAUGAAUUGAAAUAUGUUUUAGACUCAUUGAUAAAGACAUAUUUAAAAUAAAUAGAUUUGCAUAUAUUAACAUAUUAUAAAAACAUAAAAUUUGAAAGAUGAUGAAAUUAUGUUUUAAAAAUCAUAUUUUUUUGUUCAUACCUUUUGAAAACGAUACAAAUGGAAAUAAAUAAAUAUAUAUUAAUUAUGAAAUAUUGAUACAAAAAAACUUGGAAAUAAAUAAUGUAAAUACUUUAAAGACUCAACAUAAUUGAAUAUAUUUUUAGGACCAAAAUAAGUUGAAUAAUUUUUAUACAUUUAUAAUAUUUUCUAGUACAGUAGUAAAUAUUUAUUUUUAUAAAAUGAGUUUCCGUGGGACAUCGCAUGGAUUCCUUACCUAGUAUACACAGUAACAGACUGUGUAUUUAUUCCACAAAGAAAAAUCCACGGAGAAAAAUCCAUGGUGAAAAAUCAAAUAUUCAUCACAUAACCAGGACGAGUUAGUUUGGUGGUAAACGGUUUGCGGCUGCAAGUACGGUCCCGGGUUCAACUCGCACUGGCCACCAGGAAAUUUACAUGCGGACUUGCUCUGGCGCCCGAGACCGAAGACCGUUGCCUGGCCAUGACCCACCCUCGGGUGUGCGUCCGCGCCGCUAAAGGUUCGGUCUCUAGUCGGACCACCACGGUGGGGCUAGGACACUCGGUUAUAAAAAAAAAAAAAAAAAAAAUUCAUCACAUCGGCAGCAAUAUCUUUGUGUCGAAUAGGGGCCCCCGGUUAAAAAAAAAAAAAAAAAAAAAAAUUCAUCACAUCGGCAGCAAUAUCUUUGUGUCGAAUAGUCAAGUUUCCACACAUAUUGGUCCCCUACACUAAUAAUUAAAUGAAUUUUCAAAAAAUAAUUGUCCACACGACCAAACCAAAUAAAAGUAUUUACGAAGUCUUUUGGAUUAAACUAAUUAACGUUUACGAGACCCAUGCAUAUAAUGUAGUCUUUCGUUGUGAUUUUUUUUGUGUGGACGAGUCUUUUUGCUGGACAGUUUUGGUAACACCUAAAUAGGACCAUGUCCAAAUUAGACCAUACCCAAAAAAGAUUAUGAUCAGUUGGGUUGUCCAUGAGGUCCAGACGCUCAUUUAGUAUAAAUAAGUUAAUUUUUAUUGUAAAAGAUGGAAAUAUACUAAAUUUCGUAUAUAUUAUAGACUUAAACUUUAUUAUUUUGCAAUUUAAAUUUUUACGAGAAAAUUUGAUUUUGAGAUUUUUGUGAUUUUGAUGAAAAAUAUGACUUUCAGUUUCCAUAAAACGUGAUUUUGCGGUUUUGACCGAGAAAAAUGUAAUUUUAAGGAAAAUUGCGUUUGCAGUUUUGGCGAAAAACACGAUUUUAUGGUUUUGAUGGAGAAAAUACAAUUUUACGGGAAAAAUAUGAUUUUUCGGUUUUGGCGAAAACUCGAUUUUAUGAUUUUGGUAAGACAAAUUAAAAUUGUACUUUUUUCCUAAUUUUCUAAACCUAGAUAUUUUAGCUAUUUGGGCUGUCCAGUGUCCAGAUGGUCAAAACCGCAAAAUCACGUUUUCCGGAAACCGAAAGUCAUAUUUUUCACCAAAAUCACAAAAAUCUCAAAAUCAAAUUUUCUUGUAAAAAUUCAAAUUGCAAAAUAAUAAAGUUUAAGUCUAUAAUAUAUAUGAAAUUUAGUAUAUUUCCAUCUUUUACAAUAAAAAUUAACUUAUUUAUAUUAAAUGGGCAUCUGGACGGCAUGGACAACCCAACUGAUCAUGGUUUUUUUUUGGUAUGGUCUUAUUUGGACAUGGUCCUAUUUAGGUGUCGACCAAAACUGUCCAGCAAAAAGACACGUCCAUAUGGACACGCCCAAAUAGGCCCAACCCGCCCAUUUGACAUCUCUACCUACGAAGCUACCUUUUGUCUCAAGAAUCCUGUUUACGGUUGCAUGAGCCAUAGCUUCUCCGCAGAAGAAGAUGCUUGAGCUUCAACAUGAUAUAGCCCUUGCUCGCUCUAGACUACUUGUCCAUUAUUUGCCAAGUGAUUUCACACAUGUUUUCUUUACAAUCAUUUUCACUAAAAAAAUAUGACAUGACAUACUAAAAUUGAUGAUAUGAUGUAUGGUUAAAAGUGACAUAGACAACUACAUUUAAUGUUAAUUUUAAUUUUUGUUAACUUUUGAUAAUAUGGUAAUAAUUCAUAAAUCAUCAUUAAAAUAAAUAUAUUCAAAUAUUUCAUUAAAAAUACGAUAAGAAAGAUAUAAAAUAUUUUUAAAAUUUCGAAAUAUUAUUUAAAUAUAUUUUUAUAAUCAUAAGAGUUUUAUUAUUAAAUAAUAUUUUCAAAAUUUUAUACAACCUUUUUAAAAAAAAUUAAAUUUUUAAUUGUAAUAUUCAUUUGUUUAUUUUUGAUAUCUACAAAUUUUAGAAAUUCUUUUAGUUUAAUAUUUUGAUAAUUAUAAAAAAUUUAUAUCAAUUUUACUUUACACAAGUUAAUUUAAUAUAUCUUAACCAAAAUAAAUAAAUGAAAUAUAUCUAAAUUAUAAUUUUAAAUAUAACUUAAAUCUAAUUUUAAAUAAAUCAGAAUAUUUAUUUUAUCUUAAUUCUAUAAAGGGUCUCGUAAACGUUAGUUUAAUCCAAAAGACUUCGUAAAUACUUUUAUGGGAAAUUUGCCAAAUAUGACUCAUAACUUGAUUUCAAACACAAAGGUAAACCCAAACUUGAAUCAAAUGCAAAAGUAACCUAAAAGACUAUUGAAAUUACAACCAGCCCCUUGUGAACAAACAAAAAAACCGAUUUGUUUUUACUUUUCUAACCCCCGUAAGUCGCCUGGAAUAUUUUUUAAGUGAAAAAUUGAAAUCAUGUAAUUAACAUAUGUUUUAAGAGAUAUAAAUUAAGUUAUAACAAAAUUUAAUUGUUUUCAACAUAGUUGAGUGAAAGUAGUGAGUCAUGAUAUUCUUUGGUUUAGGUUUUGCCAAAAUAUGUUGUAGUAUUGUAUGUGUUCUUAUGGUUAGAUUUUGGAAUGCAUAAAUGUUUUUUUGAAAACUUUAAAAUUUACCUAAGUGUGUUUAUUUCUGUGUAUAGUAAACACUAUUUAAGUAUAACUACGGCUUAAUAACGUGGUUAGUUAGUUAAUUUAGUCAAUUUAGUUUAGGGGUUAAAUUUAGGGUCUGAGAAGUAAGUCGUCUGAUGUACAAUAUUCAACAGACGACUUACUAGUAAGUCGUCCAAACCGGACCGAACCUUUAAUUUUACAAUGUACUUUUAAACCUAACCGAAUUAUUUACCGGCCAUAUAUAAGGUGUUUUUUUUUAUUCACUGUUUCGCGAAAAUCAGAAAACCCUAACGCCGUUUCUCUCAAAGGCGAUUUCGAAGGCGAUUUUUGUCGAUUCUCUCUAAUCCAUCGUUCUCACCGCCGGUUAUCUCUCCGCCGUUAUCACCGUCGUUCUCACCACCGUUCUCACAGCCGCUUCCUCUAUUUAAGAUCCGAGAGGAAACCCUAGCGCGCAUUCUCUCAGAGGCGUCUCGUUGAACUCCGCCGCGGGUAAAUUAUAUCUCUUACUGUCGAGUGAUUGAUUGAGGAAAAGAUGAACAUAAAACUGGAAGUCUUGGAAGACUUAUAAUUAAGUCGUCUGCAGGAAGACUUUCCAGGCGACUUAAUUAUAAGUCUUUCAGCUGGAAAACUUGCGAGACGACUUAAUUAUAAGUCUUUGAUUGUUUGAGAUGGUUGUCUUUGAUUGUUUUGCAGACAAAAAAAAUGGAAAUGCCAGAACUCCCCCGUAGGAUAUAUAUAUUAGGGGAAGAGCCCCCAGCAGUGCAUAACAUUUCGUAUCAUACUUGUUGGACGUUGCAUGCUGCUUUAAAGAAAGCUCUUCAUGAUGACGAAUAUGAAGAGCUAAAGGAGUCGAAGUUGGGAGUUUUCAUCAAGUUCCAAGAGCUGGGAUUUGAUCGGGCUUCAAGGCUGGUUCACUACAUGCUCAGUUUCCAGCUGGACAUAAAGAAGAAGUAUGAGCUGUGGAGUCUCGUUGGUCCACAACCUGUGAGGUUUUCACUGUUAGAGUUUGAAAACCUCACUGGUCUAAACUGCGAGUACAUCGAGGUCCUUGAGAGACCUCACUGUGUUGUUACAAAGGAGUUGACUUCUUUUUGGGAGAUGUUGGGAGUUCAUGUCGAAGCUGAGCCAUCUACUCAGGAGAUAAUAGCAACAUUUGAGAGAUGCGAAGGGUGGUCUCGGGAUGAUCGCAAGCGGCUCGCGUACCUUGCCAUCUUCACUGGAUACAUUGAAGGGAGAAAGUAUUCAACCCCUACACGGGUUAGUCCGGCAAGGCUAGUGAUGGAGCUAGAACAGUUUGAGAAUUAUCCAUUGGGGAGAGUCGCGUUUAAAGUGCUGAUGGACUUUGUGAAGGGCAGAGAUAUUUCGGGUUGUUACACUAUUAAUGGGUUUUCACAAGCUCUCCAGGUCUGGGUGUACACAACUCUUCCGGAAUUGGGUGAUACUUAUGGUAAUCCUCUCCCAAACAAUCCGUCUCCCCGAUACUGGCUUACAAGGGUCGCAAAGGACGCAUACAGUUUAAAGAGGCUAUCCUCAGUCAGGUAUUUACUUCAAUCUGGACGACUUCACAGAAGACUUAUAAUUAAGUCGUCUGAUAAGUCUUUCAACUGGACGACUUAGUAGAAGAUUUGUAAUUAAGUCGUCUGGAAAGUCUUCCAGCUGGAAGACUUUCCAGACAACUUAAUUAUAAGUUGUCUACUAAGUCGUCCAACUGGAAGACUUUCCAGAUGACUUAAUUAUAAGUCGUCUGCGAAGUCUUUUCUUUCCAUCUUUCUUACAACUGGAAGACUUUCCAGACGACUUAAUUAUAAGCCGUCUGCGAAGUCUUUUCUUUCCUUCUUUCUUUAUCCGUCAAAUAUCUAAGUUCAUAUCUUCUAUUUACUGCAGACUAGGGUGAUCAACUUUGUUCAGAAGGACAUUGGUCAAAUGUUUCCAAAAUGGGAGCUUGAUGUUGAGGACACGCCCGCGGAAAACAUAAUUGAACUCAUGUUUGUGAAGAAACCGUGGAAGUGGACCAUAGAUUACUGGGAAGUCACCGGUACUUGGGUCAAUACAAAGUCGGCGGUCGUGAGUCCAGCGAAGAAAAAGGUAGUGAAGGAAGACAAUCCAAGACCUCGGAAGAAAGCUCGUAAAGAGGCACCUGCAGAAGCUAGUGAAGAGGCAGCUGCAGAGGCUGGUGAAGAGGCAGCUGCAGAGGCUAGUGAAGAGGUGACUACGACUGUUGGUGGGUUGACCAAAGAGGAUAUUAAAACCAUGUUCAAGGACAUAGCUGAUGCCAUGAGGGAAGGGUUUGAGACGUGUCUUAAGGAGAUCAAGUAUCUGUCGGAAAGGGUGGAAGCUGUGGAGAAGAAGGUUGGUAUCACCACAAAACGGAAAAGGACAUCAUCUCAAAACACUACCUCUCCACCUAAACCGACGCUCAAACCCGGGGUUAGUAACAAAUCCUCUCCCAACAAGAGAUUGACUAGACAAAGUCUUAAGAAUAAGAACUGAAAAGUUGCAUUUGCUUUGUUUCUUGUAUGUCAGAACAUGUGUGCUUUGUUUAUAGUGUAUGGAUUUUAUAUAUGUAUUUUGUUUCAUGUUUGAAGACACUCAUUGGUUAUUAUUGUUUGAAAUGAAUCUUUGGUUAUUAUUGUAUAAACUCAUCUUGUAUAUUGCAGAGUGAAAGUGUUAAUGGGACGAACGCGGGAAGGAAGAGCUUGGCGGAGGAUAAAGGUCCAAACGUGCCCGCAGCUGUGCCCGCAGAUGCUAGUUCCUCGAAAGAUAAAACUCCAGAACCGAGCCUUGUUCUAUUGGACAAAAAUCAACCCACAAUUUCGGAUUUACAGAAGGAGGAUGCUAGAUAUCAGGAAAAGGGGGAUGCUGCUUUCGCACUUUGCCGUGCAAGCUGGACAUAAAGAAGAAGUAUGAGCUGUGGAGUCUCGUUGGUCCACAACCUGUGAGGUUUUCACUAUUAGAGUUUGAAAACCUCACUGGUCUAAACUGCGAGUACAUCAAGGACCUUGAGAGACCUCACUGUGUUGUUACAAAGGAGUUGACUUCUUUUUGGGAGAUGUUGGGAGUUCAUGUCGAAGCUGGGCCUUCUACUCAGGAGAUAAUAGCAGCAUUUGAGAGAUGCGAAGGGUGGUCUCGGGAUGAUCGCAAGCGGCUCGCGUACCUUGCCAUCUUCACUGGAUACAUUGAAGGGAGAAAGUAUUCAACCCCUACACGGGUUAGCUUGGCAAGGCUAGUGAUGGAGCUAGAACGGUUUGAGAAUUAUCCAUUGGGGAGAGUCGCGUUUAAGGUGCUGAUGGACUCUGUGAAGGGCAGAGAUAUUUCGGGUUGUUACACUAUUAAUGGGUUUGUGCAAGCUCUCCAGGUCUGUGUACACAGCUCUUCCGGAAUUGGGUGCUACUUAUGGUAAUCCUCUCCCAAACAAUCCGUCUCCACCGAUACUGGCUUACAAGGGUCGCAAAGGAGGCAUACAGUUUAAAGAGGCUAUCAUCAGUCAGGUAUUUACUUCAAUCUGGACGACUUUGCAGAAGACUUAUAAUUAAGUCGUCUGAUAAGUCUUCCAACUGGACGACUUAGUAGAAGACUUAUAAUUAAGUCGUCUGGAAAGUCUUCCAGCUGGAUGACUUAGUAGAAGACUUAUAAUUAAGUCGUCUGGGAAGACUAUCCAGACUACUUAAUUAUAAGUCUUCUACUAAGUCUUCCAGCAGGAAAACUUUCCAGACGACUUAAUUAUAAGUCGUCUACUAAGUCGUCCAACUGGAAGACUUUCCAGACGACUUAAUUAUAAGUCGUCUACUAAGUCGUCCAACUGGAAGACUUUCCAGACGACUUAAUUAUAAGCCGUCUGCGAAGUCUUUUCUUUCCUUCUUUCUUUAUCCGUCAAAUAUCUAAGUUCAUAUCUUCUAUUUACUGCAGACUAGGGUGAUCAACUUUGUUCAGAAGGACAUUGGUCAAAUGUUUCCAAAAAGGGAGUUUGAUGUUGAGGACAUGCCCGCGGAGAACAUAAUUAAACUCAUGUUUGUGAAGAAACCGUGGAAGUGGACCAUGGAUUGCUGGAAAGUCACCGGUACUUGGGUCAGUACAAAAUCGGCGGUUGUGAGUCCAGCGAAGAAAAAAGUAGUGAAGGAAGACAAUCCAAGACCUCAAAAGAAAGCUCGUAAAGAGGCACCUGCAGAGGCUAGUGAAGAGGCAGCUGCAAAGGCUAGUGAAGAGGUGACUAUGACUGUCGGUGGGUUGACCAAAGAGGAUAUUAAAACCAUGUUCAAGGACAUAGCUGAUGCCAUGAGGGAAGGGUUUGAGACGUGUCUUAAGGAGAUCAAGUAUCUGUCGGAAAUGGUGGAAGCUGUGGAGAAGAAGGUUGGUAUCACCACAAAACGGAAAGGGACAUCAUCUCAAAACACUACCUCUCCACCUAAACCGACGCUCAAACCCGGGGUUAGUAACGAAUCCUCUCCCAACAAGAGAUUGACUAGACAAAGUCUUAAGAAUAAGAACUGAAAAGUUGCAUUUGCUUUGUUUCUUGUAUGUCAGAACAUGUGUGCUUUGUUUAUAGUGUAUGGAUUUUAUAUAUGUAUUUUGUUUCAUGUUUCAAGACACUCAUUGGUUAUUAUUGUUUGAAAUGGAUCUUUGGUUUUUAUUGUAUAAACCCAUCUUGUAUAUUGCAGAGUGAAAGUGUUAAUGGGACGAACGCGAGAAGGAAGAGCUUGGCGGAGGAUAAAGGUCCAGAUGUGCCCUCAGCUGUGCCCGCAGAUGCUAGUUCCUCGAAAGAUAAAACUCCAGAACCGAGCCUUGUUCUAUUGGACAAAAAACAACCCACUGUUUCGGAUUUACAGAAGGAGGAUGCUAGAUAUCAGGAAAAGAGGGAUGCUGCUUUCACACAUUGCCGUGCAAAGAGUGAUCGAACAAGGAAACUUGAUGCCUCACAGCAAUCUCCUUAUACGGCAAACUGCACGGCCAGAGUGAUCAUUCCAAACAAAAAGCUUUAUCCAGGCUAUAAUCCUUUUGCACCAAUUGACAAGAAGAAGUUGAAGGAGCUCGCUGAUUGGUUGAAAACUUUUCCGUAAGUGUUUGCUUUUCCCAUGAUAGCUUGCUUUUCCCAUAAUAGCUUGCUUUAGUCUACAAAAACUGAUUGCUUUUCAACAUUUUGUGUUUGCAGUCAUUAUAGAACACAUCUCGAUAAAAAACCACGAAAAAGUAGAACUUGGUGGUAUCAAAUCCCCCGAACCUCCUUAGAUUGGCUGGAGGACUGUGUAAGUCUUCUGCUAUGACUUAGAUGACUUACUGAUUAGUCUUCUUUGUAGACGACUUUCCAAUAAGUCAUCUGGUAAGUCGUCUACGUACACGACUUACCAGACGACUUAAUUCGUCCAUGAAUUACUUGUAAGUCGUCUACGUAGAAGACUUACCAGUAAGUCGUCUGAUAUCUUCUGAUUUGUACCCUAUUUUAUAUGCAGCAUAUUGAUGCUUGGAUUAAUGUGUUGAGGAAGAGGUACAACGCUAACCAACAUCAUUUCAGGAGCGAGAGAAUGUGCUUCCUUGAUCAUCUCUUUGCUCAGCAAUGGAGAUUCAACUUCAAGGAUUUUAAGGACUCGAAGCCCGAUCAGAACGGUUUAGGAAGAAGACUCCCUGGUGGGGUGGAAUUAUUAUGCAGGCACUAUACCAUCAUUUUGCCAAUCAAACAAGGUUUGGGGGACGAAUAUUGAUGAUAUCUAUGUGCCAGUGAACUAUGCCGACACUCAUUGGAUUGCUAUGUGGAUAUUGAUCCCUAAGAGGCACAUAGUCGUCUUUGACAACAUUUGUUCCAGUAUCUCCCCAGAAGAACUUGAUGUGGUAAUGGAGCAUUUUCUCUACAUGGUCCCUUAUCUGCUUGUUGAGUGCGUUUCCUCAGACGAACUACGUGCCCAAUACAGCCUGGAGCCAUUCACAUAUGAGAGACCGACCAAUAUACCUCCGGCCCGAGCUGGUGAUUGUGGUGUGUACACUCUAAAGUACAUUGAAUGUCAUGCUCUUGGGAUAGAGUUUAGUAAAAAAGACUUUGCUAAGGCCAACGGGAAGACUAUGAGGGAUAAGAUGGCGGUUGAUAUAUUUCAAGAGCUUCCUGAUGCGCAUGAGUUCGAAAACAAGGACAAUGAUGCCAACCUGGGUGUGUAUGAGGGGUGAUAAAUAGGCUACGUUAGAUUAUUUUGUAUGAUAGAUUAGGCUGAUGUGUGUAUUUGAACUUGAUUGCUAUUUUGUAUUUGAACUUGAUCCCUAUUUUGUAACUAUAUUCUGCGCAGAAGACUUACAGUUAAGUCGUCUAGAAUGUUGGACGACUUAACUAUAAGUAGUCUGGAAAAUCUUCUGAGCAGUGACCUUUUGUAACUAUAUUUCGGAUAAUAUAAAGGGCAAGACCAUCUCAAAUUUGUUUGGUAGUGCAAUUUGACAAAGAAGUUGACACAGAUAAGUUCAUAACACAAAAUUUUAAUAUAUAGACUAAACACUGGACGACUAACUGGAUGACCUUCUGGACGACUUAAUUGAAGGUCUUCGGGAAGACUAAACACUAGACGACUAACUUGAAGGUCUUCUGGAAGAAAAAACCCUGGACGACUAACUGGACGACCUUCUGGACGACUUAAUUGAAGGUCUUCUGGAAGACUAAACACUGGACGAAUAACUUGAAGGUCUUCUGGAAGAAAAAACCCUGGACGACUAACUAGACGACCUUCUGGACGACUUAAUUGAAGGUCUUCUGGAAGACUAAACACUGGACGACUUACUUGAAGGUCUUCUGGAAGAAAAAACCCUGAACGACUAACUGGAUGACCUUCUGGACGACUUAAUUGAAGGUCUUCUGGAAGACUAAACACUGGACGACUUACAUUGUGGUUUCGUAUGGCCAGUUCCUUGCAUUUUGAGCAUCUAUAAACCCUGUGUUGCUUCCGGGGUUUGCGUCCUCUCAUCCUGGAUAGCUCCAACCAAGAUUGCCAUCUUGAUUUCUUCUGUCUUCCCAGACCACGCUUUACAUCCGGAGGAAAGCAUGUGCGUUCCUCAACUUGUUGUCCAACACAAGCAUAUAUAUUCUCUGAGUAUCCUGCAAACAGAAAAUCCUUUGAGUACACUGGACAUACAAGUGUGGAGAUAUGCAAACCAGCAGAUGUUCCAGCAGCUAUAGCAUGAGAGCAAGGUAUUUUUUCCACUGCAUAGACACCACAAUCACACUUUCCAUGUUCCAAAUCAACCACACAGUCCAUUUUGCCACUUUUCACAAAGAAUCACCAUCCAUCAAUUGGUUGUACCGUCAUCAUAUCCGCUAUCUCCGAUCGAACAACAAGCAAGUAUUCAACACCUCGACUAUGUUGAGUUGGGAGACUCAAAGCAUCUUCUCUCCUUUUCCAAAACCACUUUCCUAGCUUCUCCCUUAUGAACUCCAACAGGAACUGAACCGGAAAUCCUUUAGCUCGCUUCAGAGCAGAAUUAAUAGAUUCAACGAUGUUGCUUGUCUUUAUGUUGUACCUGUCCCCCUGACAAUAAACCCUUGACCAUAGGCUGACGUCGGCACUCUCCAAAUACGUUGCAAGGUCCGGGUUUGCACUCCGUAUCUCAGCCAUGUACCGGUCAAAAUCUGAAACCGUAUGAGCAUAAGCAACACCUUUCACCAAGUACAAGAGAUGUUUCCCUUUAUACUUUUUGACAAUGUUCUCUUGAAGGUGAUAAUAACAUAUUCCUCGGGUUGCCCAAGGAAACACCUUAUCACACGCACUUUUAAUGGCCGCGUGCCGGUUGGAGACUAUCACCAGAGGCUGCUCAUCAGAUACACAACAAGCCAAUUUUGUGAAAAAUCAUUCCCAAGAAGGUUCAUCUUCAGCAUCUAUGAUCCCAAAAGCCAAUGGAAAUAUCUGAAAAUUCUCAUCUUGUACGGCUGCAACCAACAUAACACCUCCAUACUUCCCACUUAGGUGAGUCCCAUCCACCACAAUGACCAUUCUUUGAUACUUAAAACCUUUGAUAGAAGCUCUAAAAGAGAAAUAUAUACUUAAAUCUAUUGAUAGGAUCAAGUUCUAUAGCCGUGAUAGAAUCGGGAUUUGCUAAGGAGAUUAGCUCGAGAUAUGAUGGCAGACGCGAAUACCCAUCUUCUGCUGAUCCUCUCACCAAUGUUUGUGCAUAUAAAAGUGCUCUGUAUGAAGUGGUGUAAUCACGCGUCAUGCCAAACAUGUUCUUCAUUGCAUCAGUGAUAUGCUGCGGAUUCAACCCAUCAAUGAUUCCAACACGAUCAAUGAAAAGCCUACCAACAUACUUCAGAGUACAGUGUCUCCGCUGAGCGAAUCGGUCUCCCACUGAGCAUGUAUGUUUUUCCACAUACUUUGUUACCCAAAACGUGUUUGUCCCAUGUUUCACACUCGCUCUGACUUUCCACUGACAACCACUAACCGGACAUGUUGUCACAAGGAGAGUUUUCGUUGACUUGUAUAUUCUGAAGGAGAACCCAAACCUCACUGCUGUCAACCGCAGCUCUGAAAUCAGUGCAUCCUUGCUAACAAAACUCUAAUUGACAUAGAUAGUGUUACCAUUCGAUCUUCCUCCUUCAAUCUUUUUGAUAUCUUCAAAACACAUAUCAUCAUCUUCCUCAUCCUCAUCUUCAACCUUUCCAUAAACACUGUAAUCCUAACCAUUCUCGUCCGUUUCAGCAACAAUAGAGAUACCAACAUCCUCCUCCCCAUCGUCCUCCUCCCCAUCAUCCUCCUCCCCAUCAUGAUUUUCAUCUUCAACCAAAUCAUCAUCAUCAUCAUCAUCAUCUUCAAAACAUUCAUCAGCUUCAUCAUCUUCUUCCCUGAACUAUGAAACCGUUUCCACCUUGCUACGGCUUGAUACACAAAGCUGUACUCCAUGUGUUUUGGUUAUCUCGAGCAAGUUUCGAACUUUUCUAUCACUUGUAACAUGAAUAGGAGGGGUGUCUGGAGCCUGCAUCAUUUCUGCUGAUAAUGAGUAGUAGGUUAUCUCCACAGAUUCUGUGCUCAUGUCCAGGUUAUAAUCUUCUUGAGCCAUUGCAAGAAGUUCAACAUGUGUCGACAUGCUCCUUCCCCAAAAAAAAUGAUUCUCGCUCCUUUGACAUUAUCAACCACAAAAUUCCAACGGCAGUCUUUCAACAACCAUUCUCCAUACACUGCAUGUAACUGACGCAUCAUCUACAAAAAUUAAAAAUAAAACACAUUAGUAAACAUAGAGAAAAUGAAAGUUUACUAAACAUUGACGCAGACGACAUACCAGUAAGUCGUCUGGAAGACUUACCAGUAAGUCGUCCAAACAGGUCAUUUUUGAAAUUGAAUUUUAAAUAGGACGAUUUACAAGUAAGUCGUCCAGUUUUGUUUGUUAAAAAAAACCCCUAUUUUAUUAAACGGGUUAGUUUUGCAUUUGACUGAAUUGUGUCAGAUAUUUGACUUUUUCUGGACGACUUACCAGUAAGUCGUCUCCGGGAAAACAAAAAUUUCAAUAUUUUAUUAAAGCUAGACAACUUAUUUGUAAGUCUUCUCAGGUUAGUUUGCAAUUCGAAAAAGAAACUUAAAUAUUUUAGUUUACCCAGACGACUUACUUGAAAGUCGUCCAGGCAGACAACGUACGAGAAAGUCGUCCGAGAUAAGCAAGGUUUGACCAUAAUCUAGGAAAUAAAUCUGGACGACUUUGCUUAUCCUGGACGACUUUCAAGUAAGUCGUCUUACUUGACGACUUCCGCAUAAGUCGUCUGGGAAAAGUUAAAUAUUUAAGUUUUAUUUUCCAAUUGCAAAAGUAACUUGAGACGACUUACAGAUAACUCGUCCAUCUUUUAUAAAAUAUUGAAAAUUUUGUUUUCUCGGAGACGACUUACUGGUAAGUCGUCCAGGAAAAAUCAAAUAUCUGACACAAUUCGGUCAAAUGCAAAACUAACUCGUUUAUCCUAGACGACUUAUCAGUAAGUCGUCUAGGGUAUUGUCUAGGAUUUUUUUUAACAAACAAAGAUCACGACUAAAAAUUAAGUCGUCCGUUUGACCAGAAGACUUACCCGUAAGUCUUCUACAGCCAGACUACUUACGGGUAAGUCCUCUACACAAACAGAUCUAGAAAGAAUUUCAAUUUCAUACCUUAAACUAGUGAGAUGACUUCCUUAUCACACAGAGUCUUCUCCAACCACCCAGAAUCUCAAACGAAAGUAACCCACCAAGAAUAGUAUGCUUGAAUGACUUUAUCAACCAUAAAAAAAAUUUGAAUCAAAAGCUUGAGUUUUUUGGAUGAAUAUGGAAGCAAAGUGAAAGAGAUGUUAUUUUUAGUUCAUAACAAGUGAGAAAGAGAGAGUGUAAAUCGAUUUUAGGUGCAUUAAGAACUUGAAAUUGGUUGUUCAUGGUGGUUGGGGUAUUGAUGACAAUGACAAUCUUGUAAUUACUUGAAAAUGAUGAGGGUGAGAGAGUAAAAAUGUCAUUUUCGGAAAAAAUAAAUAAAAAAAUUUGAUGGGGUGAAUAGGACAAAAAAAAUCUAAGAAAAGCAUGAGUUAGUUUUAGGUUUGACUUUAAGUUUUGAGUCAAUUUGAAAAAAAAACCCUACUUUUAUUUGGUUCGGUCGUGUGGACAAUUAUUUUUUGAAAAUUCAUUUAAUUAUUAGUGUAGGGGACCAAUAUGUGUGGAAACUUGACUAUUCGACACAAAGAUAUUGCUUUUGAUGUGAUGAAUAUUUGAUUUUUCACCAUGGAUUUUUCUCCGUGGAUUUUUCUUUGUGGAAUAAAUACACAGUCUGUUAUUAUGUAUAUAAACAGAUGGACAUGGAAGCAAUGUUACUCAUCACCAAUUUUCUUUUUGUUAUUGCUCUUUCAAUUUUGAUAUUCAGGAAUGAAAGGUUUUCGGAGCUUAACGAGUACCAGUUUUCUUACUCUUUUUAUACUUUUCUUAUUCGGUUACAAUUCUGAGGUAGCGUCUACGGUUCCUACUAGACACUUGUGUCGUCCGGAACAAAGGAAUGCACUUCUCCAGUUGAAGAACGAGUUUGAGGUUUUGAACUCUUCCUUGACUUAUAAUUGUAUUAUCAAUGAUGAAAUAGUAGACCCUCAUCCAAAGACGGAGUCAUGGGGGAAUUACAGCGAUUGCUGUACUUGGGAGGGUAUCACCUGCAAUGCCAAGUCUGGUGAAGUGAUCGAGCUGAACCUUGGUUGCAGCAACCUACGUGGCCAGUUUCAUUCCAAUAGCAGUCUUCAAAACCUUCAUUCUCUAACCACUCUAGUCCUUUCAGGAAAUCUUUUUAAUGGUCAAAUCAUGUCUUCAAUUGGAAACAUUUCUCAUCUCACCUCUCUGGACCUUUCUCAAAAUAAUUUCAGCGAGUUCAAUCCUUCUUCAAUAGUAGACCUUUCUUAUCUCACUUUUCUAGAUCUUUCUCGUAAUCGUUUUUCGGGUCAGAUUCCAUCUUCCAUUAGGAAUCUCUCUCCUCUCACCUAUCUUGACAUUUCUGGUAAUCAAAUUUCGGGUCAGAUUCCAUCUUGGAUUGGAAACCUUUAUAAGCUCACUCAUCUUGACCUUUCUUUGAACAAUCUUGUUGGUGAAAUCCCACCUUCUAUUGGUAAUCUAAACCAGCUGACCACCUUAAGUGUUUAUCGGAAUAAGCUAAAUGGAAGCUUGCCCAAUGCACUACUGAAUUUGACAGAGUUGUCAAAUUUAGAACUCAACUUCAAUCACUUCACAGGCACAUUUCUUCCUAACGUCACUUCACUAUCCAAAUUGACGCAUUUGGAAGCAGCUACCAACAUGUUCACUGGAACCCUGCCUUCAUCUCUCUUCACCCUUCCUUCUAUUGAUACUGUUAUUCUGUCUGAUAACCAAUUCAAUGGUAUUCUUGAGCUUGGGAAUAUAUCUUUACCCUCUAAGCUACGAGUGUUAGAUGUUGGCAACAACAACUUGAGAGGGCCAAUCCCGGCCACGUUAUCCAAAUUUACCAACCUUGACCGACUUGUCCUUUCUUAUUACAAGACACAAGGUCCAGUUGAUUUUAGUAUCUUUUCGCAUCUCAAAAAGAUGGAAGAUCUUGACAUAUCCUAUUUGAACACGACCACCACGAUUGAAUUGAAUGAUUUCUUGUCACAUUUCAAGAGGCUCCGUUGGGUGGUUCUCUCAGGCAACCAUGUUUCUGUCACAGAUAAGAGUCCAGUUUCAGAUCCCCCUUUGCGAUUGAUGUAUAAGUUGUACUUGUCAGGCUGCGGUAUCACCGAGUUUCCUAAGUUUGCAACAGCGGAAAAUAUGUCGAGUCUAGACAUUUCCAAAAAUAAAAUCAAAGGAAAAGUGCCGGGCUGGUUAUGGACGACGCUACCGAAUCUGGAUUAUCUAAAUCUUUCCAACAACUCUUUCACCGGCUUCGAAAACUCAACGAAACAUGGGCUAUCUAUGACAAACUUCUUAGCAUCCAACAACAAUUUCAGUGGAAAUAUUCCAUCUUUCAUAUGCGAUUGGCGCGGUCUUGCCACUCUUGAUUUAUCGAACAACAACUUUAAUGGUUCAAUCCCUCGUUGUAUGGGAAAUCUCAAGAGUUCUCUUUUAGAUCUAAACCUUCGUCAAAAUCGUCUUAACGGAGGUCUUCCUGAGAAUAUAUAUGAAAGCUUAAGAACGCUUGACAUCGGUCAUAACCAACUGACGGGAAAGCUUCCAAGAUCAUUGAUCCGUUUCUCUAGUCUUGAAGUUCUGAACGUGGAAAGCAACAUUAUCAAUGACGUGUUCCCGUCUUGGUUGAGUUCUCUACCGGAGCUUAGAGUUCUUUUAUUAAGCUCAAAUGCCUUCCAUGGACCAAUACCUCAAACUUCGUUCCCUAAGUUACAAAUCAUAGACAUAUCGCACAAUCACUUCAAUGGAGCUUUGCCAUCAGACUACUUUGUUAAGUGGAGUGCUAUGUCAUCACUUGUGACAGAUUAUGAUCUGGACCAAAAGUACAUGAGAGAUUUCUAUUACUAUAAUUCAAUAGUUUUGAUGAAUAAAGGCUUCGAGUUGGAGCUACAACGUAUCUCACAAGUCUUCGCAGCACUCGACUUUUCAGGAAACAAAUUUGAAGGAGAGAUCCCAAGGUCCAUCGGUCUAUUGAAAGAGCUUCAUGUUCUCAACUUGUCCAACAAUGCUUUCACCGGCCAUAUCCCAUCGUCUCUGGGAAACCUGACGGCUCUUGAGUCACUGGACGUUUCCCAAAACCAGCUGUCAGGAGAAAUUCCGCAAGAGCUAGGGGAACUCUCGUUUCUUUCCUACAUGAACUUCUCUCAUAACCAGCUUGCAGGUCUAGUACCUGGAGGCACUCAGUUUCGAAGGCUGAAUUGCAGUUCGUUCGAGGAUAACAUGGGACUUUUUGGCCCUUCUCUAGACGAAAUUUGCAGAGAUAUUCACACGUCAACAGUGACGCAACAGUAUGAAAUGCCGGAAUCAGAGGAUGUAGAAGAGAUGUUGAGUUGGACAGCAGCUUUAAUAGGAGUCUUACCUGGUAUUGCCUUUGGAUGGGUUAUUGGAUACAUACUUGUUCCUUACAAACCAGAGUGGUUCAUGAAACUCUUUUUUCUACGUAGACGCAGACACCACAACUCAUUAAAGAGGUAAUGUUCCGAGUUUUGAACCAAUUUGUUAACAAACAUUUGAAAAAAACAAAAAUAUAUUAGUUAAAAACCUUUUUGUUGUACAGGUUUUUCGUAACAUACGUGAAGAAUCUGAAAGAAGAAAUUUAAAGCAACCACUAUGUAUGAAUCCAGAUUAGCUAGCAUUAGGGGUAUCGUUUCCGGUUUAGUUUGGUGUGUUUUCCCAUUACUCCUUUAUAUAACUUUGUUUGAAAGAUUGUUUGUUUCUCUGUUAUUGUUUCCGGUAUAGUUUGGUGUGUUUUCUCUCUCUGCCUCUCUAUUUUAUUUUUUACUUUUAGCCAACUUCUUUGUGUCUCUGUAAUUGAACAACUAUGUUCCUUACGUCAUCUAAAUAUCAACGGUAUAGACGUGAUCAGAGCAACAAACAUAUGACCAAGAUCAACGCUAUAAGCAGCACGUGACUUUGGAAAAAGGAUAUACAAACUUUUUUUUGGUUAGAGGAUAUACAUACUAUAUAUGGAUAUUUCGAUUGUUCAUGUCAAUGAAACAUAUGAAUACAUAGAAACUCUAGACCUUUCAAAUAUUUGUAUCAAAAGAAUCCAUUUGCUAUCAAAAGGUUCAAGAUAUCGAGAAUCUUUGGAUUAGUUAAGUUGUUAUUAGAGCAUCUCCAAUAUAAAACGCCAUUUUUUCCUCCAAAAUGGGUACCCAUUUUAAGAUUGUUAGGCUUUUUGAAAGUUUUUUUGACAAAACAAAACAAAAGGAAAACAAGUUUUGCAUUGAAGUCAUGCCAAAGAAGUUGCAUGAAUUUUUUUUUUUUUUGAUAACCGAGUGUCCUGGUCCCACCGUGGUGGUCCAGACUAGAGACCGAGUCCGUAGCAGGUUCAACACCCAGACAAUGGUCUUCGGUCUCGGGCGCCAGAGCAAGUCCGCAUGUGAAUUCCCUGGUGGCCAGUGGAAAUCGAACCCGGGUCCGUAUUGGGACCGAAGCUCCCUCAAGACCACUAGGCUAACCCCGCUGGUCAAGUUGCAUGAAUUAAAUCUAGCAAAAACUAGCAGUGAUAAUCAUUGAUCUAGGUUCUUACCUUUAGAUAAAAUUACUGGUUAUAACAAAAAGAAAAGCUCAAAUCUGAUGCCUAUCACACCCUUCACCAAGAACAAACGAGGAAUCUGGGUGGAAAAAUAAACUUACAAGAAUAACAAAGAGAUCACAAUCUUUAUGCUUAUUGUGACCACUGUUAAUAAAAGGAAAAUGACAAAGCUUCUCCUAGAAUUUAACACAACAAAGGAUUCCAUGCGAUUGCUGGAAAAAUCUUGUCGGAUAAAAACAUGACGAUUAUUUACAUGGUUUCUCUGUCCAAAAAAAUAUAAACAGAACUAAAUCUAUAAAAUAUCUUUCAAAUCAUUUAGCAUCACUCUGAAACACUAUGCAGCCUAAAAUUGUACUGUUUUUUCUAUACACCUAAUUUUCAUGUCUUUCAUUGGUUUUGAGCUAAUUCACCCAAAGAGAGAACUUACUUUGAUCUGACAUUACAAAAAGAUAUGAGUACAUGAAGUAAGAUCUAACCAAAUCUUUUUACAUGAUUUUGCCUAUCAAAAACGUAGAGUUAAUUUUGGAGGAAUAGGAGCAGGAGAGUCGCAAUUAAUUAUGCACAGUCUAUUGGUACGUAGUUAAUUAUGAGAAAGUUCUUUGGUAGGAACACUAAUUUCUCAUUAAAAUUUGGGUUUAACGAUCAUCUUCCAAUUUAUAACAAAAUUCCUCUUGGAUCAACCUAUAUUUUAAUUUCCUUGAUUGUCUUUUUAAAGUCUUGCUUCCCUUUUGUUUAAUGUCCACAAUCAACAAAAAGAGACAUCCAACUGAUUGGUUAUUUAAGUCUCUCUCUGGUACGUUAUCCUUUGAAUUUUCAACAUUAUACUUUGCAUUUUCUCUCCUUAUUUCCCCUCAAGGACCCCAUAACUUUCUCCAAACUCCAUAAAGUAUUUGGAGCCCGCAACGUCAGUAAGCUUCUCAGUGAGGUCCUUGAAGAACAGAGACAAGAAACCGAUAACUCGUUUGUCUUAUGAGACUGACGUUCGUCUCAAGGAUCCAGUUUACGGUUGCAUUGUAGCCAAUAGCUUCUCUGCAGAAGAAGAUGCUUGAGCUUGAACAUGAUAUAGCCCUUGCUCGCUCUCGACUACUUGGCCAUUCUGGAGUUAACAACAACAAAGCUGCAGUCUACUCUGAUGCCGUUCUCUGAGUUUUGAUCACGAGGAGAAGGGAGAUGCAUUGUAUGGUGAAUUUAAUUCAAGCUCAGGCAGCUAUGCUCGUAGCAAGCUUUUCGUGCAAGCUAUGAAUUGAAGCAUGUAAUUUCCAUGUCCUGGAGUCUUCACUUGAAAACAAUGAUAUUUUUUCUCAUAUAUGCUAUGGUUUUUUAUCUAUGCGUACGUGCUACGGAAGCGAAUAAUGACGUCAUCUUAUUUUCAUAUGCUAUAUUUAUUUUUAUUUUAAUUUCCAUGUGCUGGAGGGAGAGCUUCUUCGCGCCUAUUUCUCACGAAGAACGCUCCUCACCUCAUUCCCUCUCUCCCUCAUCAUGCCCAAAUCCAACGACGGCGGCGCAGAUUCCGAGUCCGAGUCCGAGUCCGUCCCGCUGCUCGAUCUAUCGAAACCGUCAUCACCGAUCUCCUUCCCGAUCAAAUCUCUCCAAUAUUUAAAAUCACGUUCGUACUUCGACUCUUUCCACUUUCAGUUCAAUCGCUCCACAGUCCCUCUCCGGCGAGACUUACCUGAUCGGCCAAGGGUUUUAGUCUGCCACGAUAUGAAAGGAGGGUACGUAGACGACAAGUGGAUCCAAGGGUGUGAAAACGACGCCGGGUUUGCUAUUUGGCAUUGGUUUUUGAUGGAUGUGUUUGUUUACUUCUCUCACUCUCUGGUGACGAUUCCUCCUCCUUGCUGGACCAAUACAGCUCACAGGCAUGGCGUUAAGGUGAAGAUUAGGCAUUCUUGUGGAUACAUUAGUUUAUUAGGAUGUGUAGAUAUGAAUUGGGGUUAAGUAUUUACUUUCUUGUGUAUCUAUGGAAAUGUUAAAAAGGUGUUGGGGACUUUCAUCACGGAAUGGGAUGAAGGAAAAGCUACCUGCAAUGAGAUGCUUGCCACUAAGGAGUCUGCUCAGAUGUAUGCUGAGCGUUUGGCUGAGCUUGCUACUUCUCUAGGUUUCGAUGGAUGGCUGGUGAGUUUUGUCUUUUGGUAGAUACUUCUUGAUUCUUCUGUUCAUCUGCGUUUGAAGUGUAAGCUCUUACCUGCAGAUAAAUAUAGAGAACGAAAUAGAUAAAGAACAGGUUCCUAAUUUGAUGGAGUUCGUCAGCCAUCUAACAAAAGUCUUGCAUUUAUCCACUCCUGGGUCUUUGGUUAUAUGGUAAGUUGUGCACAAGUUCUUUCUUUUGGUAAAACCACUUUGAAUCUGAUCACUUCUUUUUGCAGGUACGAUAGUGUCACUGCUCAUGGCCAUCUUAAAUGGCAAGAUCAUUUGAAUGAAAAGAACAAACCUUUCUUUGACUUGUGUGAUGGUAUCUUCAUGAACUAUACAUGGAAGGUACCGUUCAAUUUCUUCAGUUUGUGUUUCUUCUAUAUGCAUUUGCCUGGUAUUUGAGUGGGUGAUGGUAUUUCAGGAGAGCUACCCAAAAUUAUCAGCUGAAGUUGCCGGGGACAGAAAAUAUGAUGUUUACAUGGGAAUUGAUGUCUUCGGUCGCGGCUCCUUUGGUGGUGGUCAAUGGACUGUAUGUUUUCAGAAACUCUUGUGAAAACCAACCAAUAAUUUUUCAUAUUAUUCUUCUUCAUUGUCUCAUUAAUAUCUAUAUAUAUGCUAGGUUGAUACUGCUCUUGAUUUGCUGAAGAGAAACAAUGUAUCAGCGGCCAUCUUCGCUCCUGGAUGGGUAUAUGAGACUGCACAACCACCUAAUUUCCACACAGCUCAGAAUAAGUAAUACUCUUCUUUUGCCUGUUUGAUUGUCAAAGAAAUUUUGCCAUUUUCUUUGUCAUCUUAUUAUCGUUCAUGCUUUUUUUCUUCAGGUGGUGGUCACUUGUUGAGAAGUCAUGGGGAAUAGUCCAAACAUAUCCACAAGUGUUGCCAUUUUACUCGGAUUUCAAUCAGGUCAAGUGAGAUUGAUUUCAACUUUCUUCCCAUCUUGUUAGAAUAACACCAGGGUAAAGUAUGCAUCGACUGUCUUGCCUAUGAUUUAUGUUCUGAAAAACUCUGUUCUUGCUUAUCCAGGGCUUUGGUAACCAUGUAUCACUCGAGGGUCGCCAGUUAUCUGAUGCUCCAUGGUACAACAUUUCUUGCCAGAGUCUUCAGGUUCAACCAUCUUUAUUGUCCACUCUUUAACUCCACAUAUAAUAUUUACACGAACCAAAAACUUAUUUUCUUGAUCUGGGUUUGUCUCUCCUCUCAUCUGAUUGUUGUGUUAUUCACGUCAGCCACUCCUCGAGUUCAAGGAAGACAACACUGAUAUCAUUCAGGUCACUAUUGAGUGAGUUCUGGCCCCUGAUACUAAAAAAAAUGUUUUUAACUUCUUGUUGAUUUAGAUACAUUUGUUUGCAAACGGAUAACGGUGAGCACAUGACUUUGUUUAGUACUAGAGAUGCAUCUUAUAACGGAGGAGGGAACAUCGUUUUUAAAGGAAGACUCGAGGGAGAUGUGUAUUUCACAGCAAGGCUCUUUAAACCUCUCCUUCAUCUUUCUUCUUCCCCCAUCACAGUCUCCUACUCUGUAAGUCCCUUGCUUUUAGAUACAUCACAUUAUGAGAUGAUCUUGUUUCUCUUCCUAAUGGAUGAUUUUGGAUUUGGUGCAGGUGAAAUCAGAUGAGACUUUUAAACUUGGACUCCUGCUUUCUUUCUCGUCCGCAUCACACGGGACUAAAUCCAUACUUGUGGCGCCACAAGAACCCAUCCCUAGAUUAGAUCACAUGUUCUUGAAGUGCCUCGUUACAUCAGAGCAGACUGUAUCAGAGUGGACGGUACACGAGACAAGCCUUGUCAUGGAUGAACACACACUAACUGAAAUCUCUUUCUUUUGCUACAGAACAGAGAACUCGACGAAGGCAUCAGAGUACGUUGCAUUGCUCGGUCACAUUUCAAUCAAAGAUCAUGUUCAGCUCCUCCAGCAAAACUUCGUUUCCUUACCUCCAGCAUCAUCAUGGGUCAUCGAGGCUCAUAACAUAGAGCUCAUGGUAGAUUCGGACGUGAAAGGGGUCAGCUUCGUGGUGCAACCGUGUGGUGAAGAUGGGUUAUGGAGAAAGCUUGAUGAUUCCCCUAACCUUCUUGUGGACUUGGAGGGUCUCUCGUAGGUUGCUGGAAACAAUGAAACGAUUCAUAAUGUAUAUUACAAAAUUACAUUAAUCUAGAAAGUGGGGAAAACAUGAUAAAAAAAACCUGAACUGAUAACAGAUCAUCAUCGUACAACUUCUUAAAAAUAUAAUUAAUGUACAUUAAUUUCCUUGUAUUUUAUAAUUAUAAAGAGAUCUUUUCCUUGUGCUAUACCGCAUACAAAUUUUUGUGCUAUACGGUAUUAUCUUCGUUUUGUUGUUAUGCCGUAUAUCACAAGCAUUUGAAAAGAUUUUAGGUGUCCAUCAAAGAUUGUCCCCUUGAGGAACUUAACUAUUCUAAACACAGAGCCAAAUCUGGGUUCUGCAAUGCUGGCACAAGUUCAGUGUUCAACGAACUAAGCCAUUAAUACAGUGUUCAAUCAACCUGCCUUUUAACUGAAAAUUCGAGUAGGCUUGAGCAGCAAUUCAUCGCCUGUAUGCUAAAGAGAUGUGAUGAUGAUAGAGAUAUUGAUACUGCGGUGAUUGCUUGCGGAUCUCUCAUUUGAUUUGCCACUGAGAUGGUUAAGAGAGAGGGAGACCACGUGCAUGCAUGUGUUUGCAUGCACGGGGAAUAUGGCAAAGCUAUCAGAGAAUUGAGUUCAUAAACUUGACUGCUCCAAAGUUAUUGGAGACGUUUAGAACAUCAGUUGGUGCUGGGAUCGUCUUACCAACUAGUCUCUUCCUAGUCGUCUCUUUUCUGUAUAUUUUAUUGGAUGAAAAGUGAGAUGAUUAUCAACAAAACUUGUUAUUAAGGUGGUGAGAAGUAACAGAUGUGUGAUUCACCAAUUUGAUUACAUCCACAGACAAAAAAAGACUUUAUUAUUGGAGACGACUUUCAGAAUUAAAUUAGAGUUAUAAGAACACAAGAUAUUUAUAGAACAUCUCUAAUCUUCAAAAAAAAAUCUUAGUGUACAUCAGACUCAUGGGUUUAGGUCUCAUAAUCGAUACAAUUUCCAAUGAUGUAAUGCAUUUAAUGCAUAUCAACAAAACCAUUGUUUAAUGGAGAUUCGCAAGAAGAAGUCUCCUGACAUCACCUUCCUGAUGGAAUCAAAAAACACAGAGGAAACAAUUAGAAAAGAACUCCACUGGCUGAAAGAAGAAAACAACUUCAUAGUUCCCCCACAUCUGGAGGUGGAGGCUUGAUUCUCAGUUGGAAGAAAGAUGUAGAUUUAACAGUCCUAUCAUCCUCCCAAAACUACAUAGACACGAGGAUCAUCUCAAAGGGAAAAUCAUUCCUAGCUACCUUUGUUUAUGGUGAACCAGACCACACAAAGAGAAAUGCAUUUUGGUCUACUCUAUCCUCUCUACACCCAAAACCGAAAGGCCCAUGGUUCCUAACUGGAGACUUCAACGAACUAAUCGACAAUACUGAGAAGAAAGGAGGCCCAAUAAGAGCGGAAGGUACCUUUUUGGAGCUUUUCGAACCUUCCUCUCAGAGAAUGAUCUGUUUGAUCUUAAACACUCUUGUAAUCUCUUCUCAUGGAGAGGUAAAAGAGGAGAUCACCUAGUGCGAUGCCGCCUUGACAGAUCCCUCAGCAACCCUGAAUGGACAGAGCUCUUCCCUUCUUGCCGUUGCCAAUACCUCAAGUUUGAAGCUUCUGAUCAUCGUCCAAUCCUCUCCUACCUAGACACCACCAAGAAGAAAGGUCGCAAUCUAUUUCGCUAUGACAGACGACUCAAAGAUUGUAAAGAGAUAAAAGCACUAGUAACAGAGAUUUGGACAACCUGUGCAUAUCUUGGGGUAGAAGCAAGACUGGCUCUAUGUAGAAGAGCAAUCUACAAGUGGUGUAAGCUGUUCCAUGAGAACAGCAGAAAAACAAUUGAGAAUCUCAGAGAGGAUCUAGAAUUUCAGAUGACAAGUGAGACUCCUAAUGGUGACAGGAUUAUAGAGAUAAAUAAGGGCUUCUUAAAAGCAUAUCAAUCCGAAGAAGCCUAUUGGAAACAAAGGAGUCGCCAACUCUGACUAACCUUAGGAGAUUCAAAUUCAGGGUAUUUUCAUGCCGUCACAAAAGCUAGAAAAGCAAAAAACAGAGUAACUGUCCUAGAGAAAGAUGAUGGAAUACCUCUUUUCGAAGAAGAUCAAAUUUCGGCUCGGUCUGCUCUUAUUACAACAAGAUGUUCACAGCAAAUCCCAGAGACGAUAAUGAGGACACAAUCUUCCGUGCUCUCAAACCUUGCGUGGCGCCAUAGUGGAAUGAAUCUCUCACCAGACACCCGUCCCCAGCAGAAAUUAAAGAUGCUCUCUUUGCAAUCCACGCAGACAAAGCACCUGGCCCAGACGACUUCUUCGCGAGCUUCUUCCACUUUAACUGGGACGUAAUUGGCCCCUCCAUUAUAGAAGAGAUCCAACGCUUCUUCUCCACAGGAAUUAUGCCCCCUAGUUUAAAUGAGACUCAUGUCAGACUUAUUCCUAAGAUCCAAACUGCAAAGAGAGUAGAAGAGUACAUACCUAUCGCCUUGUGUAACGUAUACUAUAAAGUGAUCUCCAAACUUCUCUUCCUGCACCUGAAACCAGUCCUUAAAGAGAUCAUCUCAGAGAACCAAUCUGCUUUUAUCCCUGGAAGAGCAAUAACAGACAACGUGUUAAUUACUCAUGAAGUGCUGCAGUAUCUGAAAACCUCACAAGCACAAAAACAAUGCUCAAUGGCGGUUAAAAUGGACAUGUCUAAAGCCUAUGACCGUGUUGAAUGGGAUUUCGUUGCACAAGUAAUGUCAAGACUAGGUUUUAGCAACAAGUGGACCAAUUGGGUAAUGCAAUGUAUCACAACAGUUUCCUACUCGUUCCUAAUAAAUGAUUCAGUCUACGGGAAAGUGCAACCUCACCGUGGCAUUAGGCAAGGAGACCCGAUCUCGCCCUAUCUGUUCAUCCUGUGUGGUGAAAUUCUUUCAGGCCUUUACAGAACAGCAGAGCUUCACGGAUCUAUGAGAGGAAUUCGCGUGGCCAGAGGUAGUCCCCACGUCAAUCAUCUUCUCUUCGCAGAUGAUACUAUGAUGUUCUGCAAUUUAUCAUCUGAAAGCUGCCUCUCUCUGCUCCAAAUCCUACAAGAAUACGAGAAAGUUUCAGGUCAAAAGGUCAAUAUAUCCAAAUCCUCUAUUACUUUCUCUGUCAAAACCCCACAAGAGGUUAAGAACUCAGCAAAACUCAUCUUGGGCAUUGAGAAAGAAGGAGGAGUGGGAAAAUAUUUAGGGCUUCCAGAACAUUUUGGAAGGAGGAAGAGGAACUUGUUUACCUCUAUAGUAGAUAGGAUCAGGCAGAGAGCCUCCAACUGGUCGACUCGAUUCCUAUCUCGAGCUGGCAAGCUCACUAUGCUCAAGCCUGUCCUGACUGCAAUACCCACCUACACCAUGUCAUGCUUCCAACUCCAGUAAGCCUCUGCAAUAGAAUCAAAUCUACACUUACUCGGUUCUGGUGGGAUCAUUCAGCAGAAAAGAAAAGCAUGUGUUGGGUGGCCCUGGACAAAUUAACCAAGCCAAAAGCCUCAGGGGGUUUAGGACCGAGAGAUAUUCAAUUAUUCAACCAAGCACUUUUGGGAAAAGUUGCCUGGAGAAUAUUAACCUCCCCCAACUGUUUACUUGCACGUGUUCUUACCGGGAAAUACUGCCAUAAGAAGAGCUUCCUAGACGCCCAACUCCCAGCAGUGUGUUCACAUGGUUGGAGGAGCAUCCUACAUGGCAGGGACCUACUCAAGGAGAACCUGAGAAAAGCAAUCGGCAACGGUCAGAAUACAAAAGUCUGGAAAGACACAUGGAUAUCAUUGGACAACAGUUCUAAGCCUAUGGGUCCAAUUCAUGAAUCUGCUCUCGAUAUGAGAGUCUCAGAUCUUCCCACUGAUGACUUACAAUGGAAAAAGGCGAGAAUUGAGCAAUACUUACCAGAUUUCAGCUCGCAGAUCCAAUGUAUAAAGCCAAGCAAGGUAGGGGCAGAGGACAUUUAUGUCUGACUCCCUCUUCAAACAUGAAUUUACUCAACCAAGUCUGGCUAUAACUCGCAUGCUCAACAAACUGUACCGUCGAAUCUCCACCUUCUAGCUAACCCCUCCUCACAGAAUGACCUGGAGUUUAAUUGGUUAAAAGAUGUUUGGUCAGCAAAAACGAACCCAAAGCUUAAGAUAUUCCUCUGGUCAAUCAUACAAGGGGCCUUACCAAUAGGCGCAAAGCUCAAAAGAAGGGGAAUGAUCUCCGCAGCUCACUGCCCCCGCUGCAACGAGGUAGAAACAUCAAUGCACACAUUCUUCCUCUGCCCCUUUGCUAAAGAAGUCUGGAACUACAUACCUCUCAAGUCACCAGUUCACAUAGCUGAGGACACUGAUUUCAGAUUGGAACUACUUCACUUCCGACAAGCAAUCUGUCUUCCCCCAACAGGAAUUCGAUCUCCCAUCCUCCCCUGGGUCUGCUGGUUCCUCUGGACGGCCAGAAACAAACUUAUUUUUGAAGACAAGAGCAGCCGUCCUGUGGAGAUAGCAACUAGAGGACUGUCAGCGGCUUUAGAAUGGGACGAAGCUCAAGAUGUGGAGAAAGAACAAAAGAGUAAUCACCUACCGCUCAAGGCCGCUCCAACACAGACGGAUCGAUCAAGCUACGAAAAUCCCUGCUUCGUAGACGCCGCGUGGGAUGUUUCCUCAAAGCAAGCAGGAGUCAUUUGAUGCAUACUCCUAUCAAGUAUCAACAAAACCAUCCAUACAUCUUUUGUUUUGCUUUUGUUAAAAAGACAGAAUAGCUACUGGCCAUAUAUUGAAGAAACAAGAAAACGAUCGAGCAAAGUCUGGGUUUUUCCUUACGAUCUCGCCCUGACUCCUGAGGAAUAUUAGUUGAAUAUUUAAUGUACUCACUAUCUAUGAUAGGCUCGAUCGUGAGUAUAUUCACGAGGAAGAGUUGAUUCUUCUGUCAUGAGGAAUGCUCUCACUAUUAUUUGAUUUCAAGAAGAUUGAUAUUUUGUUUAUUUUGAUUGAUUCUUAGAAAAGAGUUGAUUCUUUUUGUCAUGUUUGCAUAUAUUUCUCAUUUUGGAAGUCAUAAGGAAUAAACCAAAAAUAAGACUGUUCGCCGUUGAUUUUUCUUAAAAACGUUGAUGUUUUUUUUUAUUCUUACUAAAAAGAUUCAUUCAAUUAAGUCAUUUUGGUCUAGUGGUAAAGAAGUGCCGCUAAAGCUUUCGCCAUGGAUUUUUUUUUUAUUAAGUCAUUUCGGACUUUUCUCUUGGUCUUGUCUCAAGCAAGUACCCGAGCUGUCUACGGGGUUAGGUGGCUUAACGUUAUAGAACCGUCUCUCAGCGAAGCCAUCCAGGAACAAAAUGGUGUGGCGAGAUCAUCUACAGAAGCGGAGUAUCGUGCAGUUGCAAACGCAACAUCAGAAAUUAUAUGGAUUUGCAGUCUUCUCUCUGAGCUUGGGGUCUCGCUUCCAUCAGCUCCAGUCGUCUUCUGCGACAAUGUAGGAGCAACAUUCCUCUGUGCUAAUCCGAUAUUCCAUUCUCGCAUGAAACACAUCGCCAUUGACUAUCACUUUGUUCGGGGACAAGUACAACGCGGAGCUCUAACUGUUUCACAUGUCAACACUCGUGAUCAGUUAGCGGAUGCAUUAACGAAACCACUCACUCGAGCUCGCUUCUUGGAACUGCGGAACAAGCUUGGCGUGGCACCCACGCUGCAGCUUGAGAGGGUGUGUAAGAGAGAUACUAUAAAGAUCUCCUCUCAACUAUAGUAUAUACACAUUCCUCUGUUUUAGGAAAUGUUAGUUAUUAUCUAACUUAGUCUCCAAGACUAAACUCUGUAUAUAAACCUCUAUUGUACAUUACGUUCAAGAUAUCAAAAUACAUUUCCUAUACCCUAAAUAAGAUAAGUAAACACACAAAAAAGAGCAUUGCUCUAACUUAAAACCUAGUGAGUAAGAAUAAUAACAGUUUUCUCCAAUUUCGAUGAUCUCUCAGAUCCAACCAUUGCUCCCUUGCUCAACCACAGUAUAGCUUCUCCACAAUCUAAUCCCUACAAAUUCUUAUCUGUACAGCAACAACAACAACGCACAAUUCACGUUUUCAGUAACUCAUUUGAGCAGAUGCUCAAAGUUAUGGUUCCAAAUCAACAAUCUGAGACCUCACAAGGUAACAUAGAGUUUCAAUCUUCAAAAUCACAUAAGAAUGAAAAUUCUAACCAUAUAUUCACAAUUGCUUGGCAGAAACAGAGACCAAGAAAGUUCCCAUCCUCUACUUCGCGCCUUCGAUCCUCUCGUACACCUCUCCCAACUUCAAAAUUGCUCUCACCAGCUCCGUACACGAAGAUCCUUCACCUUCACUCGGAUCCACCUCCUCCACUCUCCGAUGCUUCCUCACCACAAACCCGCAGUCACCAGCGUCAUCAUCAUUGUCUAAUGUAGGAAACCAAAUAUGCAAAAUCAAAUACUUACUUCUGUCCUUUGUAAAAGAAACUUAGAUUAACUCUAAAAGUAAGGCAAGUCUCAGUCUGCCUCAAAAUCAAUGUGACAUAGUCUGCUCCAAAUUUUGAAACUCUCUUCAAAUUUUUUUGCUUCCUGUAAUGUCUACCCGCUGUGUUGCUUUUUUGGCUGUAUAUGUAACAUGCAAGGCUUUUAGGAGCUUGUGAUGAACAGAGGAAAACAGUUAACAACCUUGUUGUUCAUUGGCAUUGUAAACAAUUUGUUGAACUCAUCAAAAGAUUCUUAAGCUCCACAAUUUGUUUAAUUUAGCUGGUUUCGUUGAUGUUCCUUCUCGUACGUACUUAUCGUACCUUCCAACAAGAUUUGUCUACACUUCUCUGUUUUUGAUCUUCAUCUGCUUUUAGACCUCUAGAGGUCCUGACAAAAUCUAUUGGCUGACUAAUAAUAAUCUUAUUGUAGCAGCAGUUAGUAUACUUAAGUUAGACAACGAUUCGAGUCUUGAAGAGCGAGGUCAUGCUGAGAAGUUUAUGGAGUACCAGGUAUAGUUUCAAGAAUCUUUGACGAAUAUUAUGCUCUUGAUGAUCUCUUACUCUUUGACGAAUCAGCUAUGGAGCUUGCCCUAUCUUUGGAGAAACUCACUAAUUAUGAAAAGCUUCUCAUGUUGCAAAGUGUAAGUACCUUUUAUUGCAUCAUCAUUGAGUGGUAAUGCUGAGCCUUACGCAAAACAAUCCACUACCAAUUAAAUUGGUAAAAACAGGGUCGAAGCUAUCAAAGAUUGUCUCCUUGAGUAGCCUCACGAAUUCUAAAACAGAGCAAAAACUGGGUUCUGCAAUAAACAUAUUGAUUCACCGAGUUUGGUUACAUCUACAGACAAAACAAAAUUAUUAUUGGAGACGAUUUUCAGAAUUAAAUUAGUUAUUAGAAUUAGUUAGAACACAAGAUAUAUAUAGAAUAUCUCUAAUCUUGAAAGAUCUUAGUGUGCAUCAGACUCAUGGGUUUAGGUCUCACAAUCGACACAACUUCCAAUGAUGUAAUGCAUUUGAUGCAUAUCAGCAAAACCAUCGAUCCAUCUUUUGUUUUAUUUUUGUUAUAAGAGAGAAUAGCUACUGGCCAUAUAUUGAAGAAACAAGAACACGAUCGAGCAAAGUCUGGGGUUUUCCUUACCAUCUCGCCCUGAGGAAUACUAGUUGAAUAAUGUACUCACGAUGAUAUGGCUCGAUCAUAAGUAGAUUCACGAGAAAGAGUUGGUUCUUCUGUCAUGAAGCAUGUACUCACUAUUUAUUUGAUUUCAAGCAGGUUAAUAUUUUGUUCAUUUUGAUUGAUUCUUAGAAAAUAUUUGAUUUUUUUUUUGUCAUGUUUGCAUAUAUUUCUCAUUAUGAAAGUUAUGAGGAAUAAACCAAAAAUAAGACUUUUCUCCGUUGAUUUUUCUUGAAAACGUUGAUGUUUGUUUUUAUUCUUAUUUUUUAAAAAGAGAUUCUUUCUUAUUUUGAAAUCCCAUCAAAAUUAAACUAGUUUAGCAGUUAUCUCAAUUAGUUCUUUUUUUAAUUAAAGCAAGAGGAAUGUCAUAAAAUCCUGAUUUUUUAAAAAGAUAAAACAUUUACUAUCAAAUCGAAAGAUUACAAUAUAUGCAAAUGCAGGGGUCUCGUAAACGUUAGUUUUUAGGUCAAUAUGCAUGCGCGUCUUGUAAACGUUAAUUUAACUCCAAACAUACACCUAAGCAAAAUAAGACUUCGUAAAUUACGUCUUCUAUGGUGUGGACAGUUUUUUUUUUUUAAAAAUACUUGUAAUUAGUAAAGGGGACCAAUAUGCGCGGAAAUUUGACCUAAUAGUUUUCUCUCUGGCCCGAUAAUCGAGGUGCCGUCUCAACCGUUUCACUCCGACGCCGGUAGAGCCAUGGCUCGCCGGCGUCGGGCGUUUCAACCUCCGCGUCGUCCUCUUUCUUUUCGUAUCUGUUCAAGCUCAAGAUCCCGUGCUCUGUUCACUGUUCAUAUGACCCUUUCUUGGUCGAAGUUGUCUUCCAUUUCGUAUUUUUCCGGGGGCUCCCGACUACAGUUUUCACUCCCCUCCUCUACUCAACGCCAUCAACGCCAUAGCUCUGCUGGUCCGGCUUCCGUCAAGAAUCAGAUCUGUGAGGCUCAAUCUUCCUCUCCUCCCUACGUGUCUCCUCGGCUAGAAAGCCCCCUCCGACAUUCGUCUUCCAUACCACCACAAGUCCAACUUCAAGCUUCGGCUUCCGACGUCUACAAACCCGGUGUCCGUGGGGCUCAACAAUUAACUCGGAUUUUAGAUCUGGAAUUUUGUCAGUUGUCUCGGUUGUGUUCACCUUAUGUCUCCUCUAUCACCACUGUCGCUGGACUUCCUACUCCGCUAUCCAUUGUCAUCAUCUCAACCAUAUCAGUUAAACAUCGCCGCUUCUUUGCUCCGCCGUGAUUCCUCGCAGUUCAUCGGGUUCUUUGACCGAGGAAGGCUGAGUCAUUGUGUUCAUGAGAUGGGCUACUUUCAUUUUGCAGUGAGCUUGACAAGCCCAAUAAAGCUCCAAGGCUCCCAUCUCUUCCUAGCAGUUUCACAGCCCACUUUGAUGUGGGGUGGAUUGGUCUCCUUGACUAAUCUUCUAAAAAUGUUUGGUGGAUUCACUAGCGUUUUUACAGAGACAUAUAUACACACAAAGUUUCAUCUCUCUUGUUCGAAGAGUAGCCUUUCUUUCCAUUUACCGGUGGGUUCACCGGGACCAUCAUGUUCAUCCUUUGCUUCCUUUUUAAGGAGUACUUUCCCUCCAAUCUUGUGGAGGUGUUUGUCCAUAUCUAUAACCGUCUUGCUAUCUUGUGGAGCGGUCCGUUCGGGGCCUGAAGAUGCAGCGGGAUUCGUUUCGACGAGUUUCCGAGGUGUGGAUUGGAUGUCAACUUCACAAUUUAAGCUGACUAUUUCUCUGCUGUCCGACCAUGUCGUGAAAGCUACACUGACGCAUUCAAGCACCGUCUUGAGUUCGCUGUCAUCUUCUUCUUUUGAAGACCUAUCCUUUUUAUCUUAUGUUGGUGUAGUUUAUCUUUUCAAUUAAAGCGGAUGGAUAAUUCCCUCUAUUAUUUGUAAUCAAGCAACUUGAACUUAAUGAAAAAGUUGUGUUUCGAAAAAAAAAGAACGAUUUUGCUUUCGACGUGAUGAAUAUUGGAUUUAUCUCUCUGGAUAUUUUUUGUGUGGAAUAAAAACGAAGUCUAUUAUUGCGCUAUAAAGAGAUGGGCAUAGAAGCAUGUUACUCAUCACCAAUUUCCCUUUUCAUUUCAAAGUUAAAUAAGCUUAAAGAAGAAUGAAAGGCUUUUGGAACAUAACGAGUACCAUUUCUCUUACUCUUUCUAUACUUUUCUUAUUCGGCUACAGUUAUGAGGACGUGUCUACGGUUCUUAAUACGCACUUGUGUCGUCCGGAACAAAGGGAUGCACUUCUCCAAUUCAAGACCGAGUUCGAGGUUCUAAACUCUUCCUUUGCUUAUGGUUGUUAUGAUAUCAAUGAUGAUAUACUAGUGUCUCAUGGGAAGACGGACUCAUGGGCGAAUAACAGCGACUGCUGUAAUUGGGAGGGUAUCACGUGCGAUGCCAAAUCCGGUGAAGUGAUCGAGCUAGACCUUAGUUGCAGCUACCUACGUGGCACGUUUCAUUCCAAUAGCAGUCUUCAAAGCCUUCAUUCUCUAACCACUCUAAACCUUUCACGUAAUGAUUUCAAUGGUCAAAUAAUGUCUUCAAUUGGAAACCUUUCUCAUAUCACCUCUCUCGACCUUUCACGUAAUCGUUUUUCGGGUCCACUUCCAUCUUCGAUUGGAAAUCUUUCUCAUCUCACCAAUCUUAACCUUCGUUUGAAUCAAAUUUCGGGCAAGAUUCCAUCUUCUAUUGGAAAUCUUUAUAACCUCACUUAUUGUUGGAAAUCUUUAUAACCUCAAAUUGAGCCUAUUGGACCUUUCUAGGAAUGAUAUUGUUGGAGAAAUCCCAUCUUCUUUUGGCAAUCUAAACCAGUUGACCAGCUUAGAUGUUUUUCUCAAUAGGCUCAAUGGAAGCUUUCCCAUUGCACUACUGAAUUUGACAAAUUUGUCAUCUUUAGAACUCAGCUACAAUCAGUUCACAGGAACAAUUCCUCAUAACAUCACUUCACUAUCCAAAUUGACGACCUUUGAUGCAAGUAACAACGCUUUCACUGGGACCCUGCCUUCUUCUCUCUUCACCAUUCCUUCUAUUGAAUAUGUUAUAUUGUCUGAUAACCAACUCAACGGUAUUCUUGAGCUUGGGAAUAUAUCUUCACCACCUAAGCUGCAAAGGUUAGACGUUAACAGAAACAACUUGAGAGGGCCAAUCCCGGCCACAAUAUCCAAAUUUACCAACCUUGUCGACCUUCGCCUUUCCCACUACAAUGCACAAGGUCCAGUUGACUUUAGUAUCUUCUCGCAUCUCAAGUGGCUCGAACUUCUUGACCUAUUCUAUUUGAACACGACCACUACGAUUGACUUGAAUGAUAUCUUGUCAUAGUUUAAGAGGCUCACUGGGCUGGUUCUCUCAGGCAACCAUGUUUCAGCCACAAACAAGAGUCCAGUUUCAGAUACCCCUUUGCGAUUCUUGAAUACGUUGCAUUUGUCAGGCUGUGGUAUCACCGAGAUUCCGGAAUUUGCAAGAACGCAAAAUAUGCCUGGCUGGUUAUGGACGCUACCAAAUCUGUUUUACCUGGAUCUUUCCAACAACACUUUCACUGGCUUCCAAAACUCAACUACAGUUUCACCUUCAAGGCUAUAUAGCAUAAACGUGCUUGCCUCAGACAACAAUUUCACGGGAAAUAUCCCCUCUUUCAUAUGCGAUUUGCCCACUUUAUACAUUCUUGAUUUAUCAAACAAUAACUUCAGUGGUUUAAUCCCUCGCUGUUUGGGAAAUCUCAAGCUUACUCUUGAAGUUCUAAACCUUCGUCAAAAUCGUCUUCAUGGAGGUCUUCCGGAGAAUAUAUUUGAAAGCUUAAUAACGCUUGACGUCGGUCAUAAUCAACUGACGGGAAAGCUUCCAAGAUCUUUGAUCCAUUCCCCUUUUCUUGAAGUUCUGAACGUGGAAAGCAACAUAAUCAAUGAUACGUUUCCGUUUUGGUUGAGUUCUCUACCACGUUUAACAAUUCUUGUGUUAAGCUCCAAUGCCUUCCAUGGACCGAUAUAUCACAUAAUUACUUCAAUGGAACUUUGUCAUCUGACUACUUUGAGAGGUGGGGUGCUAUGUCAUCACUUGAGUCUACAGUUUAUUAUGAUAAGUACGGAAAGUACAUGAGCGAUAAUUCUUACUUUGACUCAAUGGUUUUGAUGAAUAAAGGGUUAGUGAUGGAGCUACCAUUUAUCCCAAAAGUCUACACAGCACUCGAAUUUUCAGGAAACAAACUUGAAGGAGAGAUCCUAAGGUCCAUUGGUUUAUUGAAAGAGCUUCUUGUGCUCAACUUGUCGAACAAUGCUUUCACUGGCCACAUCCCUUCAACUCUGGGAAACCUGACAGCUCUUGAGUCAUUGGACGUUUCCCAAAACCAGCUUUCAGGAGAAAUUCCGCAAGAGCUAGGGGAACUCUCAUUCCUUUCUUACAUGAACUUCUCUCAUAACCAGCUUGCGGGUCUAGUACCAGGAGGCACUCAGUUUCGAAGGCUGAAUUGCACUUCCUUUGAGGGGAACCAGGGACUUUUUGGCCCUUCUCUUGACGAAAUUUGCAUAGAUAUUCACAUGCUGAGACCACAUGAAACGCCAGAAUCAGAGGAAGAAGAGGAAGAGGAGGUGUUGAGUUGGAUAGCAGCUGCAAUAGGAGUCAUACCUGGUAUUGCGUUUGGAUGGGUGAUUGGAUACAUACUUUUUUCCUACAAACCAGAGUGGUUCAUGAACCCUUUUGCCCGAAACAAGCGCAGAAUCAGCAGCACCACAACUCAUUAAAAAGGUAAUUUUCCAGAGGUUUAAAUCAACUUGUUAGCAAACACUGGUACAAAUAAAAAUAUUAUAGUGAAGUCACCUGAAUAAACCUUCUUCUUUUUGGUCUUUCAGGUCUUUUAUAAGCUACCUAAGGAAUCUGGAAGAAGAAAUCCAAAGGAACCAUUAUGUCUAUCCGUAUCAAAUAAGAUUUGGGGUAUCGUUUCUGGUUUAGCUUGGUGUUUUCUCAUUACUCUGUUUUUUUUCUUUUUUGUUUUUUUACUUUGUUCCUCUGGUACUGUUUCCGUUUUAGCUUGGCGCGUAUUUUCUCUACAUCUCUGUUUUUUACUUUUCAGCAAACUUCUUUUUUCUCUGUAAUUGAACAACUAUGUUUCUUACGCUAAAAAUUAUAUGCACAAUAAAAAAUGUGUAUCUUUUCCCCUUUCCUGCAUCUAACAUCAUCUGUAAAGACGUGAGAUGAGAAAAUAAACAGAAGAUCCAGAUCAACCCUAUAAACUAUUGAAGUUAAACUUGAUUUUGGGCUAUCCUUAAUUAUGGGUUUCAAUAAUCUUAUUUGGCUAAACCCAAAGUUAAGUUAAGGUUCUAGAAUCUCUUUAGAAAAAUCAUAAAAGAUUAUCACCUGCUCAAGUGUUCGCCUCGGUGUGUUGGAUCUCUCAGGAAACCAUGUUUCAGCCACAAACAAGAGUCCAGUUCCCGUUUCCCCUUUGUUGUAUCAGUUGCACUUGUCGGGCUGCGGUAUCACCAAGCUUCCGGAGUUUGUAAGAUUGAAAAAUUUGGACAGUCUAGACAUUUCCAACAAUAAAAUCAAAGGGCAAAUGCCUGGCUGGUUAUGGACGCUACCAAAUCUUACUUACCUGGAUCUUUCCAACAACACUUUCACUGGCUUCGGAAACUCAAUGAAACAUGGGCUAUCUAUGGGAAAAUUGUUUGCCUCCAACAACAAUUUCACAGGAAAUAUUCCCUCAUUCAUAUGCGAUCUGCGUGGUUUAUCCAUUCUUGAUUUAUCAAACAACAACUUCAGUGGUGUAAUCCCUCCUUGUAUGGAAAAUCUCUAUCUGACAGUUCUAAGCCUUCGUCAAAAUCGUCUCCAUGGAGGUCUUCCAGAGAAUAUAUGUCAAUUCUCAACAACGCUUGAUGUCGGUCAUAACAAACUGACAGGGAAGCUUCCAAAAUCUUUGAUCAAUUCCUCUUUUCUUGAAGUUCUGAACGUGGAAAGCAACAUUAUCAAUGAUACGUUUCCAUUUUGGUUGAGUUCUCUACCACAACUAAAAAUUCUUGUGUUACGCUCUAAUGCCUUCCAUGGACCGAUACAUUAUACUUCGUUCCCUAAAUUGCAAAUCGUCGACAUAUCCCACAAUCACUUCAAUGGAUCUUUGUCAUCAGACUACUUUGUGAAGUGGAGUGCUAUGUCAUCAUUGGGGGACAAUUAUGAUCAGCGGUUUGACAAGUACAUGGGGGAUUCCUAUUACCAUGAUUCAAUGGUGUUGAUGAACAAAGGUUUAGAGAUGGAGCUAGUACGUAUCCUAAAGAUCUACACAGCACUCGACUUUUCAGGAAACAAAUUUGAAGGAGAGAUCCCAAGGUCCAUUGGUCUAUUGAAAGAGCUCCAUGUGCUCAACUUGUCCAACAAUGCUUUCACCGGCCACAUCCCUUCAUCUAUGGGAAACCUGACGGCUCUUGAGUCACUAGACGUUUCCCAAAACCAGCUUUCAGGAGAAAUUCCGCUAGAGCUAGGGGAACUCUCAUUCCUUUCCUACAUGAACUUCUCUCAUAACAAGCUCACUGGUCUAGUACCCGGAAGCACUCAGUUUCGAAGGGUGAAUUGCACUUCCUUUGAGGAUAAUCCGGGACUUUUUGGCCCUUCUCUUGACGAAGUUUGCAGAGAUAUCCACAUGCCAACACCGCAUGAAACACCAGAAUCAGAGGAAGAAGAAGAGGAAGAGGUGUUGAGUUGGAUAGCAGCUGUAAUAGGAGUAAUACCUGGUAUUGCCUUUGGAUGGGUGAUUGGAUACAUACUUUUUUCCUACAAACCAGAGUGGUUCAUCAACCCUUUUGUCCUAAACAAAAGCAGACGCAACCGCACCACAACUCAUUAAAAAGGUAAUUUUCAAGAGUUUUAAAUCAACUUGUUAGCAAACACUGGAAGAAACAAAAAUAUUAUAGUCAAAUCACCUGAAUAAGCCUUCUUCUUCUUUUUUUGUACAGAUCUUUUAUAGCCUGCCUGAGGAAUCUGAAAGAAGAAAUACAAAGGAACCACUAUGUCUAUCCGUAUCAAAUAAGAUUUGGGGUAUCGUUUCUGGUUUUGCUUGGUGUUUUUCUCAUUACUCUGCUUUUUUACUUUUUUUAGCAAACUUCUUUGUUCCUCUGGUACUGUUUCCGUUUUAGCUUGGUGUGUUUUUUCUCUAUCUCUCUUUUUUACGUUUUAGCAAACUUCUUUGUUUCUCUGUAAUUGAACAACAACUAUGUUUCUUACGCUGAAAAUUACAAGCACA